RNAcentral lists this long non-coding RNA (129069 nucleotides) under Brassica napus (rape). Its description in RNAcentral is "long non-coding RNA (BNAP_LNC003831)". Lineage: Eukaryota; Viridiplantae; Streptophyta; Magnoliopsida; Brassicales; Brassicaceae. The record is from RNAcentral.
GAAAAAAAAAAGUGGUAAUGAAUGUUUACUUUUUCGUAGUUAAUAUGACUUAGAAUCUAGAAAAAAAAUAUCGAAUAACACAUCAUAACAAUGGGGAUUGGGAUCAAACUUGUAUAGAAAGAGUGGCUGAUCGUGUGAAUGUAUACUUAUUGUUGGGUAAUAACAUAUCUAAAGGCCCAUCGGAAAGAUAUGAGUUUUCCAUCUCCAUUUGAAUUUUCAAAGAAGUAGAAAAACAAAGUCUGAAAAUGGAGGCCCGGGGUAGACAAAGUGGGCGCCUACAAGAGAGACAAAGAGGGAUGACUUGAGAAAUCUCACCAUCAUUAAAUUUGGAAAAUUCCUUACACGGAUUUGAUUGAAACGUGUAAUCAUUGUUGCAUGGAAUUCAUAUCCCCUAUCAUAUAAUAUAAGCUUUAAUAUUCCCCUCUUUGUCUCUUUACUCAACCUAUGACCUUACAAUUAAUUGAUGUCUUUCAUCUUUUAGUUUCUCCAUUUCAUUUGUAUUUUGAUCCUUCCUUAUCUAGUAUUUCUAUUUGCAUAUACAUACGCGCGAUAACUAUGUUUCCAGUUUUCAUAUGAGAUUGAGAAAGUGUUGUUAUAUAUAGAAGUUGUAAUUUCUUUUUGUGAAAAUCCCCUUAUUAUUAAAAAGGAAGCAAAAACACAGAGUAACCUUAAAAUAGUAGUAUAUUUACAGGCGUGCCAUUAUGGCGACGUGUCAGACAGAUAGAGCUUCUCAGAUCCCUUUUGAAAACAGCUACACUCACCCUAGCAAUUUACUAUUAUUGCCAUUGGACAGACAUUUGAUAUUCGCAUCGCUCGAAUUCUUAAAAUUCUCGAGGCUCUUUUAGGCAAUGCUGUAUAUACUUCAUAUAACUUUAUAUGAUAUAGUUUGAUUUAGUAAAUUGGAAUAAUCGCUGACCAAUAAUCUCCUAUCUCCUUUUUAUAUUAGUUGAACUAUGUUACACACAUCAUCUACUAUAUCAAUUGUGCUUAAUCAAACUAUGUCUGUUUCACGCUCAUCAGUUUCUAUGAUCAUUUCCACGAAUUUAAAACACAAAAAGUAAUAUACGCUUAUUAAAUUGAAUCAUAAACAAAUAUAUGAACAGUUUAAGUUGAGAUGUUUUUCUCAAUUAUGAUUAUAAAUAUUCUCUUUAAAAUUGGAGAAAGCUCUUUUUUUAAUAUUCAAAUGUUAUUAUGAUCAUUUGUAUUUACAGGUACAAACAAAAUGAUUUAAUUUCAAAAUGAUUUCCGUAGCCAUUUCAAAAAUUAGUCAGCGUGUUAUUUUUGUGGACACCCUUUAUUAUGCAACUUGAAUUUUUUUUAAAGAAAACUAAUUUUUCUUUUUGAUUUUAGACAACUAUGAAAUAAGGCCCAACAAAAUUAAAUUAUUCUAUACAUCAAAAUUCACCAAAUAUAAACAAACAAUUUUAAGAAUUAAUGUCUAUUACAUAAAGUCCACUAUAUUUCAUUUCUAUAAAAUAUAUGCUUUUAAGUUCUAUAUAGUUCACUUUAUAUUAUACCAACCAUUCAAAAUACAGUUUCAUAAUUUUAAUACAUCAUUUUUAUAGAUCAUUUUAAUAUCAACCUCACUCCGCGCAGGGCGCGGAUCCAAUCCUAGUAACUAAUUAAAGGCUAGACGAUAUGUGCAUUUUUUGCGGUUAAACUAAUAUAUGAAUUAGCUUCUUUUUUAAUAUAUGAAUUAGCUGUUGGAACGUAAAACAUAAUAAGGUUUUAAAUAAAUGUAUUCCUUAGCUUUUGAAACUUAACUUGGCCAUCUUGGUGUCGGUAAGAAUAAAACCAAUGGUAUUCUAAAUUCUAAUGGCUGUUUAAGAAAGUGUUCCUUAUUAAGUUACUAGUUAAUUACGGAGUAUAUUGAACCAGUAAAGUAAAUAUAAAAUUUUGAUUAAUCCACUUUAAUCAUGUUCUAUGAUAUUGCACUACAAAAAAAAGUGUGAAUUACAUCACAUAAAUUAUAUCACAAAAAUAAAUGAUGCUAUUUUAAAUUACUUAUUUACAAAUGAUGUGAAUAUACCUAUUUUUAAAUCAAUUAUAAUAACUGAUGUUUUAUUAAUUAAUUUAACAUCAUUUCAGAAAAAUGAUAUUUUUUUUUUGUUAAUUUGUAUCACUUAAAUGAAAUUGAUGCUAUCAUAUAAAUUUAUAUCGAUUAAAUAACUGAUGCAUUUAUUAUUUUAGUUAACAUCAGUUAUUAACAUGAUACAUAAUUUAGAUCAAUUAGAAAACUGAUGCUAACAAAAAUUUAUAAUAUCUCUCUCUCUCUCUCUCUCUCUCUCACACAUUAUUGUCAUGCCAAAUGAAAAUGUCCCAAACUUCUCCAUUAAAUUAAGAUAAAUAUUACUUCAGCUAAUUUCUUAAAAUUUUGAUUCCUUAGGUUGCUUCAGAAUCAGACCAAAGUCCAAACCUUUUUUUGGCCUCAUUAUGGGCAUUAGGUUCAGUUAAUGAUGCAAGUUACUUGCUUAAAUAAAUGAAAGUAAAGUCGUUAACUAUUUGUCAAUUUAAGUUGAAGGAUUUAAGAUAACAUUCCACACAUCAUUAUCAACUUAUUGUACAAUCGGUGCAGGAAAAAACCAAGAUAUAAAUUCAGAUAUUAAUAUAUGUUCUAGUAAAUAUAGCCGAAUAAAUUUUUGUUUUGUUCGCGAUAUGAUUAUAGAACUUAUAGACACUUCACAUGAAGUUGACUGCUAAAGACACGAACGGUUCAGUUCAAAAAGAAAAAUGACAGGAAUGCUUCAAAUGAUUCGUUUAGAGGGUUUUUGACACGUGCGGGGACGUACACACGAAACCCUACCACUCUAUAUGAAAGCAAGAGAGGAUAAACGAUCAAAGUAAUAUUUAUAUCUAAUUAUUAAUAAAAAGUAUAGACAAAAUUAGUUUGAUACACUAUUUAAAAAUUGAUACACAUUAGUCAACAAAAGGGGAGAUUGAGAUUUAAUAAAAUGGAAGGAGGAAGAAGAGUAGUGGUCAAUAACUACGAUCUACAACAAGUGACAUCGUCGGCGACGAUCCAAGAAAAUAUGAACUUCCUCGUUCCAUUUGAAGAAACCAACGUCUUAACUUUCUUCUCUUCUUCUUCUUCCUCUUCCCUCCCCUCUCCUUCUUUCCCCAUUCACAACUCUUCUUCUACUACUAAUACUACUCAUGCACCUCUAGGGUUUUCGAAUAAUCUUCAGGUGUAGCUAUAUAUGAUCUAUCUUUGUAUUAUGCAUAGCAUGUGAUUAUCUUGUUUUUAUAGUUUUUAAGUAUUGGUUGUAUCUUAAUCUGAAGGGGUUUAAUAUGGGUUUUGUAGGUUGGAGGACCCUUGGGAUCAAAGGUGGUCAAUGAUGAUCACGAGAAUAUUGGAGGUGGAAUCAACAAUGAUGUCCAUUCUAAUUCUUGGUAAUUAAACUGAUUUAAGUUGAAGAUGAAUCCACUCCUUUCUUCUUCUUUUGGCAUAAACUAAUGGCUAAUGAAGAAAGUUAUUAUUGUUACCAUAAUUUUCCCAAUAAAUUGAUUUUCUUUCUCUCGGGUGUUUUGGAUGUGGCCAAAACACUGGAAAUGAAUGAUUUGAGAUCUCAUAGAGCGAAGAUAGACUUAUGUACAAAUAAGAACCUUAUGACAUAAGAUAUAUAUUAAACCUAAGAUAUUAAAGUUUCUGAUACAUUAUAGAGUGAUUGCAUUUGCAGGUGGAGAUCCAGUGGAGAGAUGAAGAACAAAGUUAAGAUAAGGAGGAAACUAAGAGAGCCAAGAUUCUGUUUCCAGACAAAAAGCGAUGUCGAUGUUCUUGACGAUGGAUACAAAUGGCGUAAAUACGGUCAGAAAGUCGUGAAGAACAGCCUUCACCCAAGGUAAUUCAUCUAAGUACACCACCAUUUUAUGUUUGUUUAAUGGACCUUAUUAUUAGUCUAAGUUAACAUACCAAUAGUUCUGAUGCCAUAUGUUAUAUAUAAUGAUUCUCGUAUAAUCACAUUGAUUGAUGACUGUUGUUUCGUAAAAGCUUAGAAUGUAUCAUAAUAUUCUCUAUUUAGACUGUUGCCAAACGCUAGCUCAAGGACUAGACAUGACUGCUUAUACAUAAUGUAUACAUUUUCUACAAAUUAAGAUUAUUUUUUUUUACGUAUUUUGCAAUUUUAGUAUGUAUCGUACGUCCCUCGAGGGCUGUCAUCAUUAAGAAUGCAAACAAUAUCUUCUGUUUUUGUCUCUUUUAUUGUGCAAUGUCUACACAUUUUCCAACUAAAUUCCACAUGUUUGUUUCUUGAGUUCUUUUUCUUUUUUUCACAUAUGGUUUACUGGAUCCAACUAUUAUGUACUAAUAAAUGGAAAAAAAAUUAUAUAUAUACAGGAGUUAUUACAGAUGCACACACAACAACUGUAGGGUGAAGAAGAGAGUGGAGCGACUGUCGGAAGAUUGUAGAAUGGUGAUUACUACUUACGAAGGUCGUCACAACCACAUUCCCUCUGAUGACUCCACCUCUCCUGACCACGAUUGUCUCUCUUCCUUUUAAUCUCUCUCCCUGAAUAUAUAUAGACAGAAUAUAUAUAUAUAUGCACAUAUAGAUGUGUGAUAUGUUGCACGUGUUUAUUAUUUGGGUCAAAUUGCAUGUGUGUGUUUCAAGAAUAUAUCAUCAGAUGUUUUAUAUUCUUGACUUUCCGUUUAUGAUAUACAUAUAUACACUCUUAGUGGAUAUUAGUUAUGAGUUUGGUUCAUCAUGACACUACCAAUGCAUAGAUUGUAGAAGAUUUAAAUGAGCCAAAGUAUAUAAAAAGAGUGCAUCAGUUUAUUAGUUAGUAACAACACUCAAGGCAACGUAGCUACAAACUAGCUCAUGGUCAAUAUAUUACACACAUAUAAUGUUAAGUAGGGUUAUAUUUAGCUAGUUAAGAAAUCAUCUGUCUUCCUAAUGAUCAGAUGAAGAUGUUAUAAGUAUAGAUGAUAGACUCAUGCAGCGGGAGCGUAAUCAUAUACUACAUCAUCGUCAUCAUCACCUUCGUUCAUGAAAGAUAUUGCAACUGCAGUUUGGCCGUUGUAAUGGAGAACCAAUCAAAUUCUAUUAUUGCAAACAUUUCUCUUUUAUACACUACUCAUUUAAAACUUGUUGAAAAGAAGGCUAAAGAAAGAAAACUUGAUUUACUAUAAAGUAGAGAUUGUUACUUGACUAUAUUUAUAGAUGUAAGCUAAUAGCAAACGGUGAACUCAUUAAAACUGAGUCAGGGGGCAUGUGACUCGCUGCUUAUAAUGUGUGCCUGACACAAGAGGAGUGUGAAAAACUGAGUAAGCCACCUAUUUUUGUGCCCUGACACAUCCGUCACUUUUUAUAUAUUUAUUGGUCCACCUCUUAUUACACAAUUUGUUAACACUUAUUAUUUCAUUAUGACAUAAUUUUCUUUCACGGAAUAAUAAACUUUUUUGAAGUAAAGAUCGAGAAACCCCUAAAGAGUUUUACUUUAUUUUGGAUUUUAGCCAAAAUGCAUUAUAGGGUAUUGAUUCCCUCUACCAAUAGCAACAUCAUAAGCAUCAUGCAUGGAACCUUGAGGGACAAAAACAAAGAUUAUGAUCUGUCUAGAUUUGUUUUGUGUUUUGUCUUCAUCUCAAGUGUACAUGGUAAAUAUUUGUUUUUUUUUCUUGACUCAGUUUUACAAUAUUUACUUUGAAACUGGGCUUUUGAUAAGGCAGUGGGAUGCUCACAAAAGGGUCCAUGUUAGGUCCAUUAUCCCCUCAAAAGAUGACGGUGAAGCGACGAAAUAAUGAGAUGAGCUAUAGUAAAAGAUUAAGAACAUCUCGGAUGAUUUACUCUAUUUUUUACCUUAAAUUAGAGUAAGAGUUUGAGUUUGUUCUAAUGAUAAACAAAAAAAAACAAAGUUGCUCUAUAUUUGGAGUAACCUAUUUUCACUCUAUUAUAAAGUGAGAAAUAGAAUACUAUUGAAACAUUUUUACUCUAAACUUUAUUUUAGAACGAAAAAGUGAGUGGGUUUGGAUGCCAUAACAUUGUCUUAAGCUUAGAUGAGGUUUUUCUUUUUUUGAUCGUGACAUGGCACCAAACAUUGGUUAAAUAUUAGAUUCUCACAAUCUUGGGCAAGCCAACAAGAUGUUUUUAGACGUUUUGGUCUUUUAGCCUCCACCCUCUACUAACCACAACCACCGGUUAACUUUUUUUUCUGAAUGAUUUUAAUCAUCACGAUCUUUUUGAAGAUAUUUAUAGAACAAUAUCGUAUGCAACCUAAAAAAGAAAUGGAUAUAUAAUAAUCUAGGCUGACGGCAAAUAAAAUGAAUUGGUUUCACUGAGAAUAAACUUACAGUUUACACACGCAUUCAGAAAUUUGUAUAGGCUACCAACUAAUGUGGUCCACCGAUCUUCACAUAAUUCUAAACAUUAUGCAUGGACAAGACUAUACCUAUACUAUACACCAAUAUAUUAAAUGUUCUCUGAAGCGCAAUAUUAUGAACUAUAUAUUUUCUCAUACUAUUAGUAUAUGAACUAGGAAAAGGAGUUUUUGAUGGAUGGGGAGGGUCACAUGGAGGAGCACAUGGAAAGUGGCUACGAAAAAGAUACGAGAAGCGAGAGACACGUUACGCAGCUGUUGUUGAUCCCCAAAAUGCUACGGAAAACUAUAUACAAAUAUUAUUUCUAUUUCUACAAUUCAUAUUAUACAACGUAUGUAUAAAAAGAAAUCUUUAUUCUUAGUUUUUCUAACGAGACAUGCUUUACUCUUUCAUCACUCCAAUCUCAAUCAGUUAACAUCUAACCUACCUGUCAUGUUUUAAUUAAUCGUUUCUCUCGUCACUUCAGGUACUAAUCAAGUUAUACGGUCAGUACUCGCAUCAUUAUAAGAUAACCAAGUAGCAUAAAAUAAUGGUCACAUAAUAUACGUCUAAACCAUGUGUACACUAAUCAAAUCUUGUCUGCUUCAGUUUGUAGUUCAUGAAUGUAGCUAGGAACUAUACUAUAAUGCUAUUUGGAAGAUAAAUUUACUAACGAACUAAAAAAUGCAUUAGUUUGAACGUAAGCUAGCAAUUCAAAUGAUCAAAUCACUCAAUGGUCACACAUAUCGUCCUGUAAAGAUCAAAUCUUUUCGUUUAACGUUUUCUUUAACGUGAAAUUUCUUUUCAUUGUUCUUGCUCUUUAACUUUUGGGUCUGCUUUGUCUAAGAACUUUGCCUAAGUGCGUCCAAAUUAGCUGUACAUCUUGGCAUGUUAGAUUUAGAUCGAUCUAUAGUUUAUUCAUAUCUACAUUUCUCUAGCAAUCUUAAAUAUAUAUAUUGGGCUAUAAAGAAGGAUUAAAUGUUAUGUUUACCAGAUGGGAAUUGAUUCGCAUUAUUAGCAACACAUGCACUUCGUAGGAUCACUAUCGUCAUGACUUUCUAGUUUAAAUAAAUCUCCCCACAUGUAAUGUAACAUGAUGAGUAUGGGAUCCCAUCUCCCCCAUUACAAAACCGAAAUUAAAAUUCACAUAUAAUCACACAUUUUCCUUAUAAACUCACAUUUUUAACGUAUAAUUUUCCCAAAAUCACAUCAAUAUUCGUUAUUGCGUACAUAUCAAAAGACACGAUAGAUUUGAUAUAUCGUGUUUAAUGCAUUAGUUUAAUGUUUCCCUCUUGUUAAAACUUAAGUUUUCAAAUUCAAUACUAAUCAUUAAUCCAACUUAUGAAAUAAAAAAGCACCACUUUCCUUUUUAUGUUCCAUAUUCUAAUGAGUUGCUUAUUUAUAUAUUUUGAAAUAUUUAUGUUUUUUCGGUUCCACCGCCGACGGUGAUAUAACAAGAAUUAAUGAUUCAUAACAAAUUCAAAAGAGUCACAUUCCUGAAAAUUUAAAAUUGUUUAUAUAAACAAGCAAAUAGAAAAUCAAGAAAAUACUUAUUAAAUAAAUAAAAAUACAAAAAAUACAAAAUAACUACCCAAUAUAACGACCACCUUAAUCACACCGUCACACGCCAUUAACAACAGAGCAGAGCAGAGCAAAGAAAGUAACUUUCUCUUCCUCUCUCUAUCCCAAACACACACAUACAAAAAUGGCUGAGCUUGAGAGUCCUGGAGUAAUGCCAAAGCUAAUAGCCUUCUUAUCUUCACUGCUAGAACGAGUUGCCGAGUCCAACGAUCUGACCCGGCGAGUCACGACUCAGUCGCAGAGUGUUUCCGUGUUCCACGGGCUGAGCCGGCCGACCAUUACGAUCCAGAGCUACCUCGAGAGGAUUUUCAAAUACGCCAAUUGCAGUCCUUCUUGCUUCGUCGUGGCUUACGUUUAUCUCGACCGUUUCACUCAGAGACAGCCUUCUCUUCCUAUCAACUCCUUUAACGUUCAUCGUCUCCUCAUUACCAGUGUCAUGGUCUCCGCUAAAUUCCUCGAUGAUCUGUAAGUUUCUACGUUUCAUUAAUCGAAAUCGAGGCCUAUGAAUCGAGGGUCGAGCUCAGGAUUCACUAUCACAGCUUAAAAUUUCAGUUAAUGAUCAGCCAAUGCUCUGUUUCUGAAAUGCUCUGUUUUUAUCUGCUCUGUUUUUAUCUGCUCUGUUUUUCUCUGUUUGUUCCUCUGAAACAUAAAGAUCCAAUUUUUAAAUUGAUUUGGUUAGUUAUUCACUAAAACUGUAACGUUGGUACCUUAAACAGGUACUACAACAAUGCGUAUUACGCGAAAGUGGGAGGGAUAAGCACGAAAGAGAUGAAUCUUCUAGAGCUGGAUUUCUUAUUCGGGUUAGGUUUCGAUUUAAACGUGAAGCCAAACACGUUCCACGCUUACUUCUCUUAUCUUCAAAAGGAAAUGACUCUUGUUCAACCCCUCUCUCUCGUUGUUGUCCCACCAAGAUCUGUCAUUACCUUCAACGACGAAGAAGCUUCUCACCAGAAACAACAACAGCAGCAACUCGCUGUUUAAUUCACACAUGAUUCCAAAAAAAAAUUGGUUCUCUGUUCUUAAUCAGUCUGGGCCUUGUUUUUAAUGAAAUGUGUAGUUGUAGAUGAUGUAGAGAUUAGUCGGCAGGGACUCUUAUCUUGUCUUAAUCAUAUCCUGAUUAAGAAAUUUCUUGAUCAUUUCUCUCUAUAUAUUAUAUCAUUUAUGUUUAGAUGUGGACAUGUGUGAUAUAGUUCAUCUUUACAGACUGGCUUGGCAACAUAAGUUUAAAUGUCACUAGUAACUCUAAAACUCAAAUAACCAAAAAUAUCUAUGUUAUGAUUAUUUAUGUUUUGUUUUUGUCUGAUGUUUAGAUGUUACCCAUGCUAGAUCAGAGACAUGGGUUAUUAUUUUAGUAACAAUAGUAACUAGGAGGUACAAUGAUUGUGAUUUGUGAAGAAAAUUUGUUGUUUUCUUGUUCUAUAGAGGGAACAAAAGAACAUGUGCAGAGCAGAGACAGACUGUAAUGAUAAAGAAAUCCACGGUCAAUAGACAAUUUGAAAGAGGCUUAAGUGACUGUGACUUGUGUGAGGAGUUUAUACAAAUAAUGUAUAUUAACAAAAUAAACCACAAAGUUUUAAGUUUAUAGGUUUUUACUCCAAUAUUUUCAUAGUUCAUACAUACAAUUCAAGAACACAAAUCAAAGAGAGGUUAAAAACAGAGAAAAAUGGAAUUUGAGACUGAUUUUUAGAAAGUGGAUGUUGUAGUAGUACUUGUAAGAGGAGAGAUUCUUGUUUUCUUGGAAUGAAGAACACACCUAAUACUACAUCAUGAAAAAGUGCAGCCAUUGCAAAUCCAUAGGUCAAGGCAAGGUAGAAAGGGAGUCCUUUUGUGAGUAAUGAGAUUUCUGUAAUUAAACAGAAGUGAAAAAACUACCGAUUUUAAGAAGAUGAAAAUGCCAUAAGAAAUCCAACUCUUUGAUCUCAUUAUAGUUGCUCCUGCGUAAUAAACCGGCUUAGUUUUAUGAUAACCAGUAGCCAUAAGUCGUUGCGGCUAUCAGAACCACUAAGACACGACGAAUUUCCAUUAAGUGAUGAGACUCUGUCUUUCUUGUACUUUAAGUAGGGGUUAUUGGUUGCUGUAUUUUAAUGAAUUUGAAAAUCCGAACUAAAUCUAGUGUUAUUGGUUUUAUGAUUUUCAAAUCUGUAUUAAAAUCAUGUGUUAUUGGUUUAAUGAUUCAUAAAUUCUGUAUCAAAUCAAGUGUUAUUCAAUCAUACGGAUUUACUAAUAUAUUUGAUUUUAUAAUGGAUUUGAAUGGAUUUGUUUGGAUUUGUUAGUUAAAAAUACAAAGACUCAAAUCCGAGGGAAAACCUCCGGAUUUGCAUAUUUUACUUGGAUUUAUAAAUACUAUAUGGAUUUCUAAAUCAAUCAAAAUAUAUAAACCAAUAACACCUCCUGAGUAAUCCAGUAGCAGAUUCUUGUUUACACACUACUUUGAGUCUUUGACAAGUUAAAUGUGUAUAGUAAUGGGCCUGUCCCACUAAUAUUAACCCAUAUAACUAAGCCUAUUAACUUUAAGCUAAUCCAAACUUCUAACAGCGUAGCUAAGUUUCUUUUUAACAUGGUAAUAGAUUCAAUUCAUGGCAAGAACUAGGCUAAACAAUGGGAAGCCUAUGUGCGCUCAUACUCUGGGCUCUAAGUGGUCAGAAAUUAUGAUUCGGCCCAUCUUUAUCAUGUUCCAACACAACUUUUCAUUUUACAUUGACAGUCUCUGGACAUUUUACCUGGACCCAAAAGCCCGACUCAAAGCUGAUCCGAUCGAAAACCGAAAAUUUAUAAAUAACUAGUGGAUCUAAAAAUUUAUAUCCGAAAGAACUGGAACCGAAAAAAACGACUCGAAUAGACUCAGACCCGAAAAAACCCGAUCCGAAUAAACCCGACCGAUAAAAAUUGAUUAAUAUCUUACUUAAAAACACGAAUAUCCAAAACUAUGAUUUAUUUGUUCUAUUUUCUAUAUUUUAUUUAAUGAUAUAGUUGAAAUAUAUUUUUGUUAAUAAUCCUGAAAUAUAUAUUUUGUUAACAAUCUUUGUUAUUAUUUUUGUAGCAUUUUGAAGUAAUACGAAGUUUUAAAUGUAAAAUUUAAAGUUUUAAAAUGUUUAUUAAUAAUUUACUUUAAAUUAUUUUGUAAAAUUUUAGAUAUAUAUAACAUAUUUUGACUAAAUUUCACGUAGUUUGGGUAUUUUGUGGUCCUUUCAGAUCAUAAAUACUCAACCCAAACUCGAUAUAAAUAAAAAAAUUUAGAAUAUUUUAAUUAUAGAUCUGAAUCGAUCCGAACCAAAGAUCCAACCCUAAUCCGAACCAAAAAUUUAUAAAUAUCGAUUGGAUCCAAAUGUCUAGGACCCGAAAGAUCUGGAUCCAAAAGGAACCAGUCUCAACCCGAACACCCAGGCCUAGACACUACCAAAGAAAGUUCAAACUACACAUGAGUAUAGAUUACAAGUACCCGACGACCCAAUUAUUUUUGAUCAUGAACUUUCUUCGGUCUUCCAUAAAAGGUGGAAAGUGUCAAGUGGCAUGCGUACAUGGGCCCCUUUUAAAAGCCCAUUUUAGCUGUCAUGUUAAAGAACCGCCGGAGCUCUAGCUCUCAGUUAUGUCGGAAAAUGUAACACUCGAAGGAUCUGUAUUCAGAAUUUGUUUUCUCUUUGUGGAUUACUACAAACAUAUUAACCGAGUGAAAUUAUAAGACAAAGAAAUUGAAUUUAGAACCGAUCUGUUUCUUGUCGGAACUUGGAACAUCGAACAAAAUUUAAACCUCCAGAGAACAAAAAAAAACUAUCAACACAGCCCAUCUGUCUCUCUAUCUCCCCAAACUCCACAUUCAUUUACAUAAAAACCAGAUCUACACUUUCUCAGAUUCCGACAUCGGAACAAAGAUAAGAUAGAAACAGAGCAAAACAUUGCUAAUAUAGAAAAGAAAAACUAUCUGCUUUUUGAUCUUCUUAUGUAAUAAAAACACGUCUACUACGCCACCACGAGAGUUCCUGUCCGUACGGUUUUGCCGGCGGCGGAAUCUUUAGCUGCUUCGGAAGAUUUUUUACGGAGAGAUCUUGAGGAAAGUCUCCAGCUUCUCUCCUUUGCUUCAUCGGACUCGAUCUGUUCUUCUCUACACUCUUUGCUACAAAACGCCUUGUCUCCUCUUUUAAAAAAAAAAUCAAGAAAACAUCUCAAUAUAUCAAUAAAGGCAAUCACUUUUCAAAAUCCAGAUCCAGGAAAUUGAUUUUAUUAUGAUCGGAUUAAGUACCUGUACAUGAAGAUGUCGGAGUUAAGACCAAUGUGUUUGCGGCAAAGAGAGCAAGAUUCCAGAAAGUGUGGCUCUUCACUGCCGAAGAAGCUAUUGUAAUGCGACGCCAUUGCUAAUAUUAAUAUUUUAAAAGAAGAAAGCUUUACGAUUCAAGAUUCAGCUCAGAGAGGGAGGAGGAGGGGGAGGAGAAAGAUGAUUGAUUUGGUGUGAAUAUAUAAAGCGGAGCUCGGACUUUCUCUGCUUUGACUUUUAGUUAAUCACCUGUGGUGCAGACCAGUGUAGUUACUGUGGUUUACAAUAAAUCUGCACCGUUCUUUCUUUCCUUAGUCCAAUCUCGAAAGAUCUAUACGUUAAAAGUUCAGUAAUUAGUACAUUACUUUUUAUUUUAUUAUUAUCGUCUUUAUUAUUUUGUCUGCACCAGUUACAUGUCUAUUUUCUAUUUAAUUUAUACUUCCGAAUUUUCUAGUAAAAAUAUUUUUUUUUUUUAUAUUCCAUGGCGCAAAAGUCUAUACAUUAUUUUUGUGUAACGUAGAGCAAUAGAGAACAUAUAAAAUUAGUAGAAUUUUAUUUUUUUGCAUUACAAUAAUUUGGGUGGAUCUAGUUGGUCGAGAGGAAUCAAACAAGUCUUGCGUUUGUGAGAUUCGUUGGCCAUAACAAUAACAUGCGUAAAGCAUGAUUGAUGGCUUUUCCGUAAAUAUAAAAUUAACAUUAAAUGAUAGUUUUGGUCAAAAAAAAAAACAGUAAAUGAUACUACUAGUUUCCAAAAUUUAUAUUUUUAUAUUACUAAUCUUUUUACUAAAUAUUUUUGUGGUUUUAAACUGGUCCCCGUGUGUAGUCUCUGAGCUCUAGGGAUGCAUCUCCCCUGGACAAUGUUUCAUUCCAUGGGUGGAAAUUUAUAGAUCGCCUCUCAUUUGUUUAAAGCUUUGCUUGUUAUACUGUGGACACUUGGACAGUAACGUUCUUUUAUUACUAUAGUAUAAGUGAAUAAAUAUAUUCAUGUAUAUUUGAGACAACACAGCUUGGUACACGUGCUGGAGCUCCAGGUAAAAAAGUUCGGAAUCUUUUGGCUGAAACUCUGUAAAGUCUUGACACAAUCUCAGUUCAAAUAAAAAGUCAAGAAGUUCUAGAAACAUGUACGUUAAAUUUAGAUACGAAAGACAUGCAUAGACUUUAUACUUGUCUUUGUAAUAAACGAACAAUAGCGUGACCGACCUUCAUUGAAUAUAAGUACACAUUUUUUUUUGGGUAAAAAUAUAAGAAAUAAUAUAAGUAUACAUUUGAUAGCGCCACACUCACAUUCACAUUCCUGUUUAUAUUGUAGUUAAUCGCGUAACAAUACGUUUCACAUAUUUAAAUUUCAUAAAAUAUCAGUUCCGACUUGGGAGUAACUUGUUUUAUAUGUCUUUUGAUUCAUAUAACAAAAUCUUUCCAAAUCAAAUUCAAAUAACACAGCAGUAGAAUUUGACUUUUAAAUUCAAUAUAUGGUAGGUAAAGAUCACUUGCUUAGUUAUAUACUAUUUUUUAUAAAGAUCACGUCAAGCACUCAACGUUUCUGAGUAAGCAAUGACUCACGAUACGAACGGCAAACCAAUAUAAUAAACUUUAUAAACAAUUUACGAAUAUAUAAACAACCAAAGUGUAUAAAUACAAACAAAAGAGAUAAUCAGUUGUUUUGCGAUCAAUCAUAAUAAAGGUCCAAAAAAAAAAGUAGCAAAGGACCACACAACUUGUCAUGUGUCGAUACGCCUUGGAGUCGGGAGAUGGGUCCUCCCACUAGAGUUGGGAAUAUCAAACGAGGAGCUGACUAGACAAAACCCUUUUUAAAGGAACUGUUAUUAUUAUUGGGAUCCACCAUCACCUCUAUUAAGCCCAAUAAUCAAAACGUCAUUCUCUCUCGGGCCCUUGACAGCUGCCCGUGUACCCCGUUUGCCCUACCUUUUUGCUUGUACAUACCCACCUGCCCCUGUCACGUGUGGUGAAUCUCACUCGUGUGCCAGCAAAGCUGGGUAUUUGUGAUACGUGUCGGUUUAUUAGAGGUAUUAAGGUUGCAUGGGAAUUAAAUUCUCUUGUUUCGAUUCUACGGUUAGGAUUUGAUCUGCGAGAAGCGUUGGUUGUAGCCGUUGAUUUGUUAUAGUAGACGAUGCCAAUUCAGAUGGUCAACUAGCUAUAUUUGGAGAUGUAUUAAAUUUUGUAUUUAAGAUAUUAGAAUGCUCAGUGAUUGAUCUUUAAUUAGUUUGUAGAUGAAUUCUGUUAAAUUAUUAAUUUUAUAUAAUUUUAAUUUAUAUUUUAGUUAAUAAACUCUACCAAAAACUUUUAAAAUAAGUGUUUUAAAUUUAUCUUAACUAAUAAACUCUACAAAAAGACUCUAUUGUUAAAAGUCUCAUCAAAUAUUUUACCAGAAAUAUUUUUUGAUAAAUUAUAAAUUAUAAAUUGUAUUUUAAGAUUAUAUGUUAAAACAGUUAUUUAAAAUAAAUAUUAUACAUUUUAAUAAAAACAUAUUUUCGGCAAAAACAAAUUUUAGUAAUAAACAUUUGAAAUUACAAAGUCAAUAUUCAAAACUUCCAAAAAAUAAAUUAGUACAUAAGCAGGUAUAUGCACCAUAUAUUAUUAAUAAAAAUAAAUUUAUAUCCCAGAUUAAAUAUAUAUAUUUUCAGAUUCAGAUAUUGAAAAGGCGGGUAAAUAACUAUUAAUACAGCCAAAAGCAAUUGAUUUUUUAUUACUUGCUAUGACUCCAUGCCUCAUCAAAGCUUGGAAGAAUCCACAGCCCGGGCUUGUGGCUAGAUGAGCUUAUGCAUGUACAUAAGGUUUUCUGUUUGGAUGGCAUGUCCAUGAGAAAGCAUCGCUUCAUUUCACCAUCCCACUUGCAAUCGUUGCAGUGCAGAGUUUAGAAGAUACUAAACACUACUUUUUGGUGUCCAUAGGUAUGUAAUAUCUUCUCACAUUGCGCAUAUAUAGCCAAUCGGUCCAUGUGCUGAUGAUCUAUAUAAUCUCCUGCAGUUUCUUGCUAUUCCCUCUUCCCACUCUUAUAUGAGCCGCAGGAAUACCCGAUCAAGGUUUUGUUGCUGUUGUUGCAUUACAUGGGAAUGUGGCUUGGCUUUUACUGCUCAAUACGGAGAGGAGAAGGUGUUGAAGAGCAACUUUAAGAUCGGUUAUAUUGAGAAGAGCUAUCUGAUGGGUUUAGUUGUAGUAGAGAUAGUGUCUCAGUUCUUGCAUCCGUAUUUUCUAGGUGAUAGAUUUGCAUUUAUGCCCUUAACGUUGAUUUCAACAUACCAUGCCGUCGGUAAUAUUUACUCUUGGAUUUGGCAGCUUAGGAGGAUCCUUACAUGACAUGCAUUUGACUCUUUUUUUCUCAUCCUGAACUUGUGAUUUUGUUUUGUUUCAUACUUGAAGUCCUUCAAGUAGGCCUGACUACGAAGUUGGUUUGAUUCGGUAGAUCUUUUUAAAAUGUUUUGUUUUGGUUCUGUUCGGUAAUUGGUUAUUUCGAUUUUCUUAAACACAAAAUUAUAACCGAACUAUAUCAAAAACUCUAACCGAACUAACUAAAUCUCAAACCGAACUAACCAAAUUUCAAACUAAAAUAAUCAAAUAUAUCCAAAAUUUUAACAAAAGUAAACUAAAAUCUAAUCGAAAUAAAAAAAAAAUAGGUAAAAUUUACAAAAACGGAACAACCAAAUGCUUAACCAAAAUUGUUUUGGUUAAUCCGGUAAAAUUUAUGUUGAAUUGAACUAACCAAAAACCAAACUACCCGAACCGGAUAAACUUUAUUUAUCUCUGAAAGUGGAUCUUAUUAGCUAGGCCCAAAAUGAAAACUUGGAAACAACCAAUGAGCUUUUUAACAUUAGCCCAAUUCAAAAACAUAAGAACCAACGAGAAACCUCUAGCCGAGAAGUCGUGACAGAGGAAGAAGAUCUGCUUGCUUGUGCAAACAAAAAAAAAAACCUUAUCUUGCAAUGGCUUCUUCAACUUUCGUCUCUCUGCCAAAACCCUUCUUUGCUUUUCCGGUUAAAACCAGUUCCCCUCCCCUAGCUAACCAUAAGCUUCUCGGUACUGACACAAAUCUGAGAAACUUGUAAAGUUUCAAGCUUUCAGUGUUUUUUUUGUCCGUCUGAUGAUUUGUUUCUCUUACAGGAAGUCGAAGAGGCUGUCUGAGUGUCAAAGCGAUUUCCACUAAAUGGGAACCGACAAAGGUACUGUCUUUUUUCCGUUUACUUUUGUCCAAAAGUUUAUUCAUUUUGUUGAUAAUGUCAAUCGCAGGUUGUUCCUCAAGCAGACAGGGUUCUUGUUCGCCUUGAAGAGCUUGCACAGGUCUGUUAGAACUCUUUUGUGAUUCUGAUUAAUGAGAAGACAUUGUAGUUGGUUAGCUCUGUUAUCACAAUUCGAUUGCCAAUAAUCAUUGAUUAUUUUGUUGAUGCAGACAACCUCAGGUGGAGUGUUGUUGCCUAAAGCAGCUGUUAAGUUUGAGAGAUACUUAACCGGAGAGGUUGUCUCUGUUGGUUCUGAGGUUGGACAACAAGUUGGCCCUGGCAAGAAGGUUAGGUUCUUUCUUUAACUCUUUCAAGUCAUAACCAUCAUCCAUUGUUGGUUAACUAGUGUGAAAUGUUAAUUCAUUUGUUUCGCCUUUUGCGUUUUUAACAGGUUCUGUUCUCUGACGUGAGCGCUUAUGAGGUUAGUUAGUUAUGGUUUGCCUUCUUCACAGUGAAGAUUCAACCAUAGUUUUUGGAAGUAGUGUAACAUCUUUGAAUUCAUUGUUGUACAGGUUGAUUUGGGGACGGGUGCUAGGCAUUGCUUUUGUAAAGAGAGCGACUUGUUGGCCCUCGUUGAGUGAAGAGAUCUUGUCAGAGAUAAUAUUCCUUCAAGAUUUUUACUUGUUUCCUGUAAUCUCAGAUAAUAUAAUCUUGUUUUGUGACAGUUUUUUCAAUUUAAUAUCAUUUUGAAGACAAUCAUAAGCAUUCGAGGCAAAUUAUAAUGAAAUUGAAACUAUUUAGAGAGUUCAAGAAUGCUCCCAAAACAGAACUAAACAAAGAGAGAAUUGAACAACCUUGGUAGGAGUCUAGGAGAAGCUUUGAGAGAGGUUUAGCUAGACUUUGGAUGAUUGUAAACGUAUUCAACAGUCUCCAAACUAUCAAACGUAGGGGAAGGCACGUUCUUAUCACGUGGCAAGCCUAUGGGCCCCCUUACUAACGAAGCCCAUAACGUUUCGAAAUUUUUAACAAUCCGAGUCUAAUAUCUUAUAAUAUUGCAAAUUAUCCCCAAUAAGUUUCUAAUUGCACAUAAACGACCCCUUCUCUCUUCGAAUAAACAUUCUCAGCGACGGCAUCUCUCUCUCUCUCUCAAUCUCCGGCUUAUAUUGGGAAGUUAACGCCCUCCUCCGCGACGUAUCUCAGAUCCGUCUCAGGCUAGUUUCGAUCUCGAGGUUUUCAAUGGCUCCGGUCUCGGCGCUCGCCAAGUAUAAGCUGGUGUUUCUGGGAGAUCAAUCCGUCGGGAAGACGAGUAUCAUCACUCGAUUCAUGUACGACAAGUUCGACAACACUUAUCAGGUUAAUCCGAUUUUUCCUCCUCCUCCUCCUCCGAUCUAGCGUAAGGAUCUCGCCGAUGCACGACGCUAGCUUAGUUUUGAGAUCCGAUUAUGUGUGAUCUGAUUUGUAGAUCGUUUGUUAAUGUAUGAGACGUAACGAUCAGUAGUAAGGAUCAUGUGUGGGAUCUCCUUUAGCUUCUCAUUGUUUGUGAUUGCUCACUGUUGAUUGUUUGUUGUUCAUACUGGAGGAUCGUUAGAAACGCUAUGGAAUUGAACUUAGUUCGCGUUGAUCUUGUGAUCAUUGCUUAUCGAAUCGAAGUAGUUCUCAGUUGAUGAAUGAAAACAAUUCUCUGAUCUUGAUUUGUAGAUCGUUGUUAAUGUAUGGGAAGUAACAAUCAGUAGUAAGGAUCAUGUUUGCGAUUCUCCUAUAGCUUUUCAGCGUUCGUGAUUUUACCGUUGCGAUUGCUCACUGUCUGUGUUUAAAAUGGCGCAUGGCGCACCAAGGCGAGACGUGCCGAGCCUUGCGCCUCGCGCCAUGGCGCAAUAUGGCGCUCGCCUUGAAGAAAAUUUUAGUUACGUCAUUUUAGUUACGUCUUGUUUUGUUUUGUAUUGGAGAAGAAACUUAGAGAACACUUAUGCAAUGAUUGAUAUACUAAAUUUAAAUAAGAUGCAAGCUUUAUUAUACUAGAGAGUUCUAACCUUAAGCAAAAAACCUUGAGAUCUAGAUCUAUGUUUUACGUAACUUCUCUUUUAUAAAGCUAGGGUUUGGCGUUUAAGUUUCCCCGGUUAAGUUUUUUUAAAGUCUAAGGUUUAAUUUUUUUUUUUUUUGAGCAAAAAAGUCUAAGGUUUAAUUAUUAAUUAAGGCUUAUAUGGUUUAGAUACGGUUUACAUUAAUCUCGCCUUACGCUCGCCUUUGCCAUGCUCGCCUUCUCGACAAGGCACCCAUGGCGCGCGCCUUAGGGAACCCACCCUCGCCUAGGUGGUACAUGGCGACAGAGCCAUCGCCUGAGUGCGCCUUGCGCCAUGGCGCAAAAGGCGAGCGCCAUUUUAAACACAGCUCAGGUCAGAGUUUCAUAUAUCUAAAGUUUGUGAAUAAAAGAUAAGAUCUUGGUAAGACAAAAAGACAAUGAUAGAAGAAAAUGAAAACAUACAGGUUCUUUGCAAUUUUCUGAAAGUUGAUUCCGUAACAGUUGCCACGCGCAUAAUCAUUAAAUGCAAGGGAGUGUUUUACCGGCUAUCUCCGCAGUGUGUCAGACCCAAAACCUUUUCCAGCCUAAACCCUAGAUAUCAAUAUUUUAUUCUAAUAGGCGUAGUUUCGUCAUUAAUGAAAAUUGAAAAGGAUCAUCGCCAUUUCCCUAAUAAAAUAAGUUUACGUAGCCAUACAAUGCAAAAAUCCUUUUUCUUAAUACUUAAAGAAUAACGACAAAGGAUCGGUUUUCUUUUCCAACAAUUGUCCGGUUAUUAUAUAUAUCCACCAAUAUUGAUACCUUGAAGAUUCUCUUCCGUUUUAGUUCCAACUAGAAAAGAAAACUUUUUUUUUGUCAACCAAAGAAAACUAAUUAAUUUAGAAUAUAGUUGGAAAUUAUAAAUUUCUAUCUACAAAAAAAAAAAAGAAAUUCAUAAUUAAAAGAAAUAUACAAAUGCAAAAUUACAUGUUAUGGUGCCGUUUCCUAAGCAUGGUAGCUGUGUCAUCCCUUCUAUAUGUUUUUCAUUUUUUCUUGUAUAUGUAGGUUACUUUUGUGAUGUUGUAGUUAGUUGAAUGUUUUCAAAAAAAAAGAAAGAAAACUCAUGUGAUUUUUUCUAAUUUGUAACAGAAAAAUUCAUGUGAUUAUUCUUUGAUUUCUAGUACAAUACAAUUAGGACUAAGCAAAGUAUUUGUAAAUUUUGAUUUGAUUAUAUAAUGUAAUUAUUAUGAUUUUUGUAAUUUUUAUAAUAUAAAUUUAUUAAAAUAAUUAUAUAUAUAAAUUAUACGUAUUGUAAUUUAUGUAAGUUAUAAUAUUUUAUUUAUUAAAUAUAUUAUUUUAGUUAUUAAAGCUUUUAAAGUAAAUACUUGUUUUGAAAUAAAUAUUAUUAUUGUAUAUAAUUUUUGGAUUUUUAUUUAUCAUUAUUUUUAAAGUAUUGUAUUUCUACGGAUCGAAUCGGAUAUCUAGAUAAAAAUAUAAUUUUUUGAUAUUUAUUUAUUUAUAUCUAUAAUAAUAAAGUCAACUUACUUUUCGUGGCCGCGGUCAUUACACAAGUUUCAAAUCCGUAAUGCAAUGGGCGAUGGAGCACUGGGCCUUUGUUAUCUCAUUGGGCCUUUACUUUCUUACCAGUGUGGCCCACCUGGGUUUUAGGGUUAUGUUGAUGCUCAAGCUCUUCCCGUGCGUCGCUGUGGCCCUUGCGUUCACCAUGGUUCCCGAUCAAAUCUUCUUUAACGUUUUCUAUCUGAUUCAUGCUUUGGGGUUUUGUCUUUCAAAACCUUUUUUUUUUCGGUUUCACAUCUUGAGCUCCAGAGUCUGCAACCGUGACUCCUCACAUCUCACUGCCUCCGGCGGUCUUCUUUGUAACGCACCAGUAAUAGUCACCCGGAAACAUUAAUUUCUUUGUAACGCAUCGAAUUAACUCUCCAUAUCAUCCUCCAAUGUAACCGAUUGAAACUCCACCUAUAAAUGGCUUCUUGCUUGGGAUGAAGAGUCACACCGAAAGGAAAUCCCAAAGAUCUCUCUUUAUUAAGCAGCAAAUCCAUCAAUGUAGAAUUCGUUUACUCUGCUUGGUGAGGUCAGUGCUAUCAAUAGCACAAUCAAUGAUAGGACACACUGAACACAGCGUGUUAUGCUACGUCUAGAAAGGUACUCACUUUAGUUGGAACUCCAGUGUUUGGCAUCUCUUACAACUUUGUAUGUUAUCUUAUGUCAUUGAUACUUUGCAGGGAGGUGAAUGUGUGUGUCAGUCUGUUGGCGUAGCUUUUUCGCAUCACAUAACAAACUCGAAAGCUACGGCUCUGAGCCGAAAGUUUUCUUGGUCAAUAGCAUCAGUGCCUAAGUUUUUGGAGGUGAGGAAACUGAGUAUUUAUAAUCUUUCUUGCGUUUAGUCAAAACUUCAAACACAUUAUUUGUAACAGAUUGUGUUUACAAGCAACCAUAUCAUUCCAUAAACUAACUUCCUGUUAUGCAGGCCGCCUAUUUCUCGACGGAACAUCUGGAACCCACAUCUACUUUGACUCUGAGACAGCUGCCGGAAAAGAACUCUCUGAAAAGUAAGAAUCUCUAAUACUAUAAUUAGAUAGCUAACCACCCUCUCUGUACAUAAAAAAUCUUGGCAAUUGAUAUAAUCUUGCGUUUUUGUGCUGUUACAUUAAAAUCUCUUUAGGUUGUUUAGGGAUGAUACCAACCAGCCUUUUCACCCAAGCUGCUUCAUGCCCAGAAAAUAUAACCUCUCACCGUAACUGAGCUUAACCAAUAUGGUCUCACAUCUGACCCUCAGGUCCUGUGUUUAAAAUGGCGCAUGGCGCACCAAGGCGAGACGGUCCGAGCCUUGCGCCUUACGCCAUGGCGCAAUAAGGCGCUCGCCUUGAAGAAGCUAUUUAUCUGUGACAAAGUAACACAUGAAUCUAUUAGAAGAAUAAGCACAAACGAGAUUGGAAAGAGUAGAGACUAGAGAGUUCUAACCUUAAGCAAAAACACUUGAGAUCUAUGUUUAUCUUUGGUUACGUAACUUGUCUUUUAAUAAGCUAGCUUUCAUAGUUAUUUAGACGUCUAAGGUUUAAUUAUUAAUUAAAGUUUGGUUUCAUACCUGGUUUAGUCCGGUUUACAUAUAGUCUCCAUGGCACGCCUUACGCUCGCCUUCUGGCCAAGGCGCUCCAUGGCGCGCGCCUUACGGAACCCACCCUCGCCUAGGAGGUACAUGGCGAUGGAGCGUCGCCUGAGUGCGCCUCGCGCCAUGGCGCAAAAAGGCGAGCGCCAUUUUAAACACAGCUCAGGUCAGAGUUUCAUAUAUCUAAAGUUUCUCUAGCAAUAUAGAAAUCUAAUAGUUUCUGUUCUCUUACUGGUAUUCAGACAGAGAAAGGAUGGUGUUAUAUUGGAUGCUCUAAAUGUUCAAAGAACUUCCAGCAUGCAUGAGAUAUCUUCCUUUACAUGCAUUGUAUGUGAUAAGCCGAACGUCGUGGGUGUCCGAGGUAACGGUCCUUAAACUAUGCUAUCCUGGUAUUUUAGUCCCCUGACUUAGAUUUCCUGACACUACUACACUUUGUUGUGACUCUUUUUUAUCUAUAGGUAUCGUGUGGAGCUGUCUGUUACAGACCCGAUUGAUGAUACUACUGUCUUUGUGGCUUUUGAUAUGGAGAUGACAUUCAGGCAGCUGAAACUGCGCAGCUUUUGGUUAUCCCCUCUAUUCAACCAUUUGGUUUUAGCUAAGGCUCCACUUACGUACAUAGCUUUCUAAAUAAAAUGUUUUCUUCUUUGCAGGGGGCAGGUGUGAAUACUCGAGUGGACACGAGCUCCCCCAGUCAAGAGAGUGAUGUAAAAUGAAAUAUUAUUGCGUCGAAAAUAGAAAAAAGCGUUCAGAACUUACUUUAAUUUUCAUAUUUAAACUUUUAAAAUCUUUAAUUUUCAGAUUUCAACUUUUAAAAUUAAAAAAUAAUUCAAGAUAUGGGCAAAAACCAAUGUGAUCAGUGUCUUCCAGCUUAUAUGAAUCAAUGGUAUUACGCAUCUUCUGCUUAGUCCAUUUAACAAUCUAUGCAAAAGUUAGAUUACUGAAAACAUGCUGUAUCAUUUGCGAGCACUGCUAUUUGUAUAAGCAAACGAAAAAGUUCAUAUACUUCAUUUGAUACGUGCUGUUUCACUUCAAGUUCUUACAAAUAAAACAUCAUCAGCUGGCAGUUAUUUUUCAGAACUUCAUCAAUAAUAAUCUUUCGGGGGUUUAUGUUGGCCACAAUAUAAUAAAAAUAUACACUCCUCUACGCAGGACGUUUAGGUUUUGCGAAUCUCAUUUUUCUCAAAUAAUUAUAUCAGAUAAUAAAAACGUGCGCACGAAACUAAUACAAUCAAAAUUUUAACUUCAUAUAUACAUCAUGGAAAGAACUUGGACUAAUUACUUAAGGAAAACUAAAAAGGAAGGUGGGGCACGUGCCACACCUCCGUUCAACCUGCGUCUGCUCCUGACUAUGCGUCUUCUUCCCGAGUGUCGACUACGACAAUUUAGAGUCAUCCUCUUCUAACUUAAAACGACGAUGGAGUUUCGUGAGAUUGUGUGAUACGAAUAUUCGUGAGAAACUUUGGGUUGGGAUUCAUUCGCGUCGUUUCGAUUCAUAUUCUUCCCCUAUGUAACGUCAUAGGACCACUGAAAUCGCCAUUGACAACUAUAACUCAUUCGAUUUGCAACAGGCACAAUUAAUCAUUCAAUGCUUCUUAUAUCUCUUCAGACCGUGGAUUUCCACCUAUAAAAAGUUUAGCCUUCAUCCCCUGAACAUCAUUCUCACAAGUCACAACUCCUCAUAAUAACACUAGAAACUUAUUUUUUAUUAUAAUGGCUAAUCGCAUUCAUAUCGACGAUCCUUCAUGUGUUAAGCGAAUUGAGAAUUCUGAUUAACAGAAUUAGACCGUUUAUGUGGAAUCAAUAGUAGAGUGAGGAUUUUCGGGAACGAGUGCGACGGAGGUUGUUACAGACAAAGAAUUUGAAGCCUGAAACAGGACUAUAGAAUAGACUUUCACUUUCUAAGACUCGCUUGACAAUUUUACUAAUUAAAUCUCCCCUAUGUUUUUUGCAGGAAUGGUGUUUGUGCCACCACUAGAGUCUUCGCAGAACCAAAUUCAUGUUUUAUUCAUAUUGUUUCUGUUUUGUGUCUUUCAAAAUUAGGUUCACCCAUUACUAGAACACAAUGUUCGCACUUUGCAUAUUUCCUUAAGAUUUUGCCGGAGAGGUAUCUUUUCCAAGUAAAGGAAAGACGCAAUACUAUCUCCAUCUAAACGUUUGCUUUGUUUUUCAAAGGGCACUGACCAUGUUAUAGUUAUUUUGGUCCUCAUGUUUUGUGACUUACCAAUUAGGCUUACCCAUUAUGAGAGCAAAGUUUUAGCUUUUUACAUAUCUGUAAAAGAUUUUGCUGGAAAGGCAUCUUAAACGUUUGCUUUGUUCUUUAAAGGAAUCAUUGGCUUACUUUCCCCGUUCAAUUUUUCAUUUCGGAAUGAAUUAACUUCAAUGCAAAAAAUAUGUAAAUUACCUUUAUACCCUUAACCCUAAUAUCUCCAUAUCUAAUGAUACAUAGCCGUAUCAGUUUCAUUUAUGUUCUAUCUUUUUCUUUUCUUUUUCUUCCUCGCUUUCUCUCUGCAACUCCUCCUUUUUCUUCUUCUUCGUUAUCUCUCUCCAUUCUCUGCGAUUCUUCUUUCUCUUUAUCUCUCUCUAUUAUCUUCGAUUUUCUCUGUCUCUCUGGUUAAAGGUGAUAAACUCUCCCAAUGAUGGAAACCGUCAUUAGCAACUCCGUAGGUGGUGAAAACGACAUGAGCAACCGUCGAAGGUGAUGGAGUGGCAUCAAUGGCGAUUUCUUCCCUUUCGCACUUCAAAUCUAUCCGGAACGGCGACAGCUCAAACCCUAUUUGAUGAAGAGUUCUGAGUUUUUUUUCGAUCUAGGGUUUUUUAUUUGUUUUGGAUGAUUUUUGAUUUGAGAAUGUUAAACGAAUUAUGAUUUUUCUUUGAUAGAGUUUUAUUAUUUUGGAUCUUUUUCCGAUCUAGGAUUGUGUUAUUGAAGAUUCUGAGUUGAUUUGAUUUUAGGGUUUUUCUUGUUCUUCCGACCUGGAUUUAGGCUCGGUAUUACUAACUCAUUCGAACUCGGUACAACUAACUCAGUAGUAUUUAGUAGUACACAUUAUAACCAGUAGAACUCACUCGAACUUGGUAUAACUAACUCAGUAGUACUCAAUAUUACGCAGUAUAACUUAGUAGAACUCGGUAUAACUCAAUAAAACUCGAUAUAACUACACUCAGUAGUACUCUGUAAUACUAUGUACAACUCAGUACAACUCAGUACAAUCAGUACCACUCAGUAAUACUAUGUCAGUAUAACGAAAUUUGACCAGUUGUACGACGAUAAAUAAAAUUUGAAAAUAUUUGAAAAUUCAAAAUUUUAAAAAUUCAAAAUUUUAAAAAUUUGAAAAUUUGAAAAUUUUGAAAUUAUUUAAAAAAUAAUAAUUUUGAAAAAUACAAAAGGUAAAAUGGGAUAUUCAAGUUUCAUUAAAGAGGAAAGAUAUGAGAUUAUGAGGGGCAUAUGCGAUUGUUUUUUGAGAUGUGGGGGCAAGGAAGCUCAUGGUCCUCUUUAAGGUCAGCCCAUGUUAUAUUUACUUCAGUUUCGUGCUUUAAAAAUCUGCAAAGGGUUGACGAUGAUGGUUUACGUCUCUGUCAGUCCCCAGGUCAAAGCAAACCUUUACUCUCCCAUUUUUUUAUUUGAUUUGUUGUUUCAUUGUCUCUGAUUUGGGUCCAAAAACAGAACACUUAGCUUUAUAUAGCUACACGGAUGUUGGUGAUGGACUUGAGUUCCACCACUUCGACCAUUGCUCCCUCGACAUCCUUGAAGAGUAAGUUCCUUUCCUCUAUUCAAAUAUGUAUUUUGCUUUUAUCUUUGUGUUGGUGUUUGUUUUAUCUUUCGCAAGGAUUUUUUUUUUCCGUUUUGGUUUAUGUCUCCCUUGCUUUCUCAUUACAUUACACCACUUUUGCAUGUAUAGAGACUAGAGUGUAAUGUCCUCUUUCUCUUUGGAAAUGUGAUAAUUUGUAUAUGCAAUAAACAUUCCAAAAAUGUCUACUACGAAAUUGAACUUGGACCUACAAAGUGUAAGCACUAAUUAGUUUCAACAGUACAUUCACUCUCUCCGUCUCUGAUGCUACUCAUUUCAUGUGAUAUUCUCCUGUAGGUGCAGUUACUUGACUAAUACGGAGGUAAAAUUUAUAUUGGUCACAACUGAUUUGUAUGUCAAAGACACCAAAUUGAUAAAUGUAAGCAGCUUCUCAUCUGCUCAGAUACUAAUUAAUUUCACAUUAAACUAAGCUCUUGCAACACACCAUUUCAUGAUCUCUCUAUGUUGAUGCAGAAGCCUAGGUUCUUAAGGCUCUAUCUAAGAACUUGCACUGUUCUCAAGCAUAGGGUUUGGUUGCUGAGGUUAACUGCAAGACCAUCUCGGUGAGAGUGACUCAACACUAAAAUCAAAUGAGUGUGUAUGUAAUUUGACUACUUACUGCUGGAUUUUGAUUGAAUUUAGAAUCAAGCAGGAAGCAGCAUAAAUUCUGUUAAAAGCAAAGGAAGAACUGUUGAAGAAUCAAGGGAAAGAUUAAAAGCCAAAAAACUAAAGCCAUGAAGAUGAUGACGGAAAAGGAAUUUGAAUCAAAUGACAAUGAUUGUGACAUCGGAUAAGUUGUUGGUGUGAGCCAUUCCUACAAUCAAAGCGACUAAUUCCUAUAACCCCCAAAAAUAUGAAAAUUACACCGGUGAAGCAUUGAAGCUAGCUCUGCUUCAAUCAGGUGCUGCAUCGACAGAGUUUCCCUCUGUUGUUAAUCAUGGACAUACAUAGAAUAUGGUAGAAUCAGUUUAAUUUGCUGGAUUGCCGUUGAAGAGAGUAGAAGUUUGUAUGGGGGAAUGUUGAGAUCCAAAAGGUUUAGAGUCUUGAAAGGAGACUAACGAUGUGAUGGUCCAUUAUUCCAUUUCUACAACAUGAAAAAAAAAACUAUAAUUUAUAGCUACACAAUGCAUACAUUUACACUAAAUGGUGUCUAAAUUAUAAGCUUAGAAAUAUUAGUGAGGUGAAAUUAGUAACAAUUUAGAUGCAAGAAGCAUACUAGCUAUUUUAUACAACUAAAAAGCUGGCUUCAUGGAUGCUUACGUCAAAAGUAAAGUGAAUUCCAAGUGAAAAUAUGUACCUCCAAAUCGUAUAAGCAUCGUAAGCAUUAUAUUUACUAGGGGGAUUGCCUCCGCGCAAGCGCGAGGUUGUGGACAUAGUUCUUGUUUCAUCUCAGUAUUUGUUAAGAGUUAUUGUAGUUGUUCAUUUUGCGUUUUGGGUUGAUCAUUGUUUUUCAAGUUUUUUAUUGUUAUAGGUGAUGUAUAGUGUUUUUACAUGUUUUUAGCUAUUGAAUUUGGUCAUUUUAGAGUCUAAAGAUUGCAUUUAGGAGUCAUUAGGUGUUGUAUUCGUAUAUAUUGCAUAUACAGGGGCUGGAAUGCACAAUCAAAAGUUAUGGGGCUAACUGGAGGAUAAAAGUGCACAAAAUGGAAGUUAUGGGGCCAAAGUAUAAGAGGAAGAAGAAGAAACACAGUUUCACCUACAACCCUGAAGUGCUCACUUCAGAAACUUGUCUUCAGCAUUUUGUUGAUAUAGGGAAAUCUUCAAAGUUACCUAGAGCCCUAAAGUUAAUUACCACUUUAGGAAAGCUGCAUCUUGCACAUUGAUGCUCUAGGGAAUCUGUUUUGUUUGGGACUUUGUAUUUUGAAGUCCAUUAGGGUUUUGCCUAUACAUAUGUUGUUAAAGGUGAUAAAAACCUCUAAGCUACCUCAGCCACAUUUUCUCUCCUUUUUAGAUCUGAAAACUCUUAUUAGUUCUUGCUAUUAAUCUAAGUACUUAUCUUGUUUAUAUAUUCCUACUCUUCUCUAAACAUGAUUCUUCAAGGAUCGGUGACAGAUUCUUGGAUUUCUAUGGCUUAUAGUGAGUAAAUUUUUAGAGUUCUUGGGUGGGUAGAUUAUAGUGAAAGAUGGAAGAUUGAUGAUGCUUAUGAUUAGAUUAACAUUGUUCAAAGCUUGUUAGGUGUUCUUAAUGCUAGAUUGGACUUGAUCUCUCUAGUUUAGAUCUUAAGCUAUUUCACGACCGGAACGUGUAUGUUGAAAUGCUUGAACCAACCUAAUAUUGUCCUUUACGGAUUUGGCCAACGGAAGUUGAUGCCCGAGAUGUUAAGUGGUUAGUAGACUUUUGAUUCAUGCAUGUUUGAUUGCGUUAGGCCAACAGAAGUUGUUGUUUAAUUCAUGAUAAGCAUAGGAAUUUCUGUCACGAAAGUGGAUUAAUAUAUCUGAAUGAGAUCUAGACCUUUAGUGCAUAUGUUAGUCGGUGAUGUCUGGUAUCUAAAUCUGAAGUCAAUCAUCUCUGAUCGAUUACCUUACCCAAGAGCUUGUCUUUCUUAGUUUAUUUCUAGUAGUAGUUAUUUGUUGUCUUUAUAUUUCAUUAGCUUAGAAUUCACUUCACCUUCCUAUUAGCUUAGAUUAAGGAGAUUUGUGUAUUCUUAGUGUUAUAGAUCACUAGUUCUCUGUGGAUUCGAUCCUAAAGUGCUGCAUCGAUAUACCAUUCGAUUGUGGUAGCGUGCACAUUAGGUUAAUUGGCCUGUGGUAAAACGCAUAACAUCAAUAGAGUUAGAGUUGUGAUGAUGAACUAUGUAUGCACUGUUCUCCACUCAUGAAGGACUAAACUGUGUUAGUAAUGUGAUCGAUAUAGUUUGUGGUGUUGCUUGUUGUGUCACUGAGACUUAUUGUUUGUUUGUCUUUUUAAUUUGUUACUUGUACUGUUGAGAUUACAUAAAUUAUAUUAAGGUUGUUGAGAGUACAUUUUGUUUCUCGAUAUUAUUUCUCCAUUUUAGUUGUAUAAGUUGUGUGUAUUAAGUAAUAAUUUUUUUUUAUUCUUAUUAUGUUGGUUAUAUGUUUUUUUAUUUAUAAACUUGUUGCUUUUACCGGACCAUUAAAACAAAUACAUGAAGACUUGUAGAAAUAACUAUAAAAUGAGUGACAAUUAGUAUUUGGGCCUUAAUGAGUUUUAAACGAAUAUAUGUUAGCACAAUAUAGACAGUAAUAUAAAGGGAAUUAUGUGUUGAUUGUUUCUUACGGAUCAAUGAGGAGACGGAUAACGACUCGAGUUGUUUCUUUGGUGAGGUCAGAACCCUGGACAUAACGGAUUUGCCCAACCACAUCUGCGAGUUUAAAUAUCAGUUAUGAUACCGAAACAUAAUAUAAAACCAGAUGCAAUAUGAUAAUAUACCUGGGAGUUCUAGGUUUGUGUUCGUAAUCACUUGGAGAUUGUCAAACAGUCUAAUCUUGACUGGAGAUUGAUCUCAGGAGCACCCGUGAUGACUUCAUCAAUAAUGGUUAGUGAGAUGAAACGAAUGAGGAAUGGAUGAUCAGUUAUCUUGUACAUGCUUGAGCACCUAGCAACCUCAAAACGACCGACUUUCACAAUGGAACCUGCUUUCAAAGAUGGCAUGUAAUGAUUAGCACGUCCGACGGGAGUAAACUCAUGAAUCACGGAAUCUGCAAAUAAUAUUAUCCAACAAAGACUCAGGAAAUUAAUUAAAACAAUUAUGUUAAAUAAGUGUGAUACAUCGAAGAUCAACUUACCUUUUCAUCAAGGAAGAGAACCGCGAUUCCCACAAACUCUGUGUCUUUUUUGAAGUUCAGGGAAUCCCAGAAGCAAGGAAGCUAGAGGCUAUGCUCUGACUAAUACGACCAAGANNNNNNNNNNNNNNNNNNNNNNNNNNNNNNNNNNNNNNNNNNNNNNNNNNNNNNNNNNNNNNNNNNNNNNNNNNNNNNNNNNNNNNNNNNNNNNNNNNNNNNNNNNNNNNNNNNNNNNNNNNNNNNNNNNNNNNNNNNNNNNNNNNNNNNNNNNNNNNNNNNNNNNNNNNNNNNNNNNNNNNNNNNNNNNNNNNNNNNNNNNNNNNNNNNNNNNNNNNNNNNNNNNNNNNNNNNNNNNNNNNNNNNNNNNNNNNNNNNNNNNNNNNNNNNNNNNNNNNNNNNNNNNNNNNNNNNNNNNNNNNNNNNNNNNNNNNNNNNNNNNNNNNNNNNNNNNNNNNNNNNNNNNNNNNNNNNNNNNNNNNNNNNNNNNNNNNNNNNNNNNNNNNNNNNNNNNNNNNNNNNNNNNNNNNNNNNNNNNNNNNNNNNNNNNNNNNNNNNNNNNNNNNNNNNNNNNNNNNNNNNNNNNNNNNNNNNNNNNNNNNNNNNNNNNNNNNNNNNNNNNNNNNNNNNNNNNNNNNNNNNNNNNNNNNNNNNNNNNNNNNNNNNNNNNNNNNNNNNNNNNNNNNNNNNNNNNNNNNNNNNNNNNNNNNNNNNNNNNNNNNNNNNNNNNNNNNNNNNNNNNNNNNNNNNNNNNNNNNNNNNNNNNNNNNNNNNNNNNNNNNNNNNNNNNNNNNNNNNNNNNNNNNNNNNNNNNNNNNNNNNNNNNNNNNNNNNNNNNNNNNNNNNNNNNNNNNNNNNNNNNNNNNNNNNNNNNNNNNNNNNNNNNNNNNNNNNNNNNNNNNNNNNNNNNNNNNNNNNNNNNNNNNNNNNNNNNNNNNNNNNNNNNNNNNNNNNNNNNNNNNNNNNNNNNNNNNNNNNNNNNNNNNNNNNNNNNNNNNNNNNNNNNNNNNNNNNNNNNNNNNNNNNNNNNNNNNNNNNNNNNNNNNNNNNNNNNNNNNNNNNNNNNNNNNNNNNNNNNNNNNNNNNNNNNNNNNNNNNNNNNNNNNNNNNNNNNNNNNNNNNNNNNNNNNNNNNNNNNNNNNNNNNNNNNNNNNNNNNNNNNNNNNNNNNNNNNNNNNNNNNNNNNNNNNNNNNNNNNNNNNNNNNNNNNNNNNNNNNNNNNNNNNNNNNNNNNNNNNNNNNNNNNNNNNNNNNNNNNNNNNNNNNNNNNNNNNNNNNNNNNNNNNNNNNNNNNNNNNNNNNNNNNNNNNNNNNNNNNNNNNNNNNNNNNNNNNNNNNNNNNNNNNNNNNNNNNNNNNNNNNNNNNNNNNNNNNNNNNNNNNNNNNNNNNNNNNNNNNNNNNNNNNNNNNNNNNNNNNNNNNNNNNNNNNNNNNNNNNNNNNNNNNNNNNNNNNNNNNNNNNNNNNNNNNNNNNNNNNNNNNNNNNNNNNNNNNNNNNNNNNNNNNNNNNNNNNNNNNNNNNNNNNNNNNNNNNNNNNNNNNNNNNNNNNNNNNNNNNNNNNNNNNNNNNNNNNNNNNNNNNNNNNNNNNNNNNNNNNNNNNNNNNNNNNNNNNNNNNNNNNNNNNNNNNNNNNNNNNNNNNNNNNNNNNNNNNNNNNNNNNNNNNNNNNNNNNNNNNNNNNNNNNNNNNNNNNNNNNNNNNNNNNNNNNNNNNNNNNNNNNNNNNNNNNNNNNNNNNNNNNNNNNNNNNNNNNNNNNNNNNNNNNNNNNNNNNNNNNNNNNNNNNNNNNNNNNNNNNNNNNNNNNNNNNNNNNNNNNNNNNNNNNNNNNNNNNNNNNNNNNNNNNNNNNNNNNNNNNNNNNNNNNNNNNNNNNNNNNNNNNNNNNNNNNNNNNNNNNNNNNNNNNNNNNNNNNNNNNNNNNNNNNNNNNNNNNNNNNNNNNNNNNNNNNNNNNNNNNNNNNNNNNNNNNNNNNNNNNNNNNNNNNNNNNNNNNNNNNNNNNNNNNNNNNNNNNNNNNNNNNNNNNNNNNNNNNNNNNNNNNNNNNNNNNNNNNNNNNNNNNNNNNNNNNNNNNNNNNNNNNNNNNNNNNNNNNNNNNNNNNNNNNNNNNNNNNNNNNNNNNNNNNNNNNNNNNNNNNNNNNNNNNNNNNNNNNNNNNNNNNNNNNNNNNNNNNNNNNNNNNNNNNNNNNNNNNNNNNNNNNNNNNNNNNNNNNNNNNNNNNNNNNNNNNNNNNNNNNNNNNNNNNNNNNNNNNNNNNNNNNNNNNNNNNNNNNNNNNNNNNNNNNNNNNNNNNNNNNNNNNNNNNNNNNNNNNNNNNNNNNNNNNNNNNNNNNNNNNNNNNNNNNNNNNNNNNNNNNNNNNNNNNNNNNNNNNNNNNNNNNNNNNNNNNNNNNNNNNNNNNNNNNNNNNNNNNNNNNNNNNNNNNNNNNNNNNNNNNNNNNNNNNNNNNNNNNNNNNNNNNNNNNNNNNNNNNNNNNNNNNNNNNNNNNNNNNNNNNNNNNNNNNNNNNNNNNNNNNNNNNNNNNNNNNNNNNNNNNNNNNNNNNNNNNNNNNNNNNNNNNNNNNNNNNNNNNNNNNNNNNNNNNNNNNNNNNNNNNNNNNNNNNNNNNNNNNNNNNNNNNNNNNNNNNNNNNNNNNNNNNNNNNNNNNNNNNNNNNNNNNNNNNNNNNNNNNNNNNNNNNNNNNNNNNNNNNNNNNNNNNNNNNNNNNNNNNNNNNNNNNNNNNNNNNNNNNNNNNNNNNNNNNNNNNNNNNNNNNNNNNNNNNNNNNNNNNNNNNNNNNNNNNNNNNNNNNNNNNNNNNNNNNNNNNNNNNNNNNNNNNNNNNNNNNGAAGUAAGAUACCCGGACUGGCUCGCCAACCCCGUAGUAGUCAAAAAAAAAAAUGGGAAGUGGCGAGUUUGCGUAGAUUUUACCGACCUAAACAAGGCAUGUCCAAAGGAUAGCUUCCCUCUACCACAUUUCGAUCGAUUGGUAGAAGCAACAGCGGGUAACGAACUCUUAUCCUUCAUGGAUGCCUUCUCAGGUUAUAAUCAAAUUAGGAUGAAUCCCGACGAUCGUGAGAAGACUGUGUUCAUUACCGAUCGCGGAACUUAUUGCUAUAAAAAUAAUGCCCUUCGGCCUCAAAAACGCUGGAGCAACUUACCAACGACUCGUGAACCGAAUAUUCUCCAAACAACUCUGAAAAAUGAUGGAAGUUUAUAUCGACGACAUGCUCGUCAAAUCCCUCAAAGUAAGAGAUCACGUGUCACAUCUCGAAGAAUGUUUUGCACAACUAAAUUCUCAUAACAUGAAGCUCAACCCGACGAAAUGUAGAUUCGCCGUGGCAUCAGGAGAAUUCCUCGGCUACUUGGUCACCAACCGCGGCAUCGAAGCAAAUCCAAAACAGAUCAACGCACUAAUCGAGAUGGCUUCACCAAAGAACAAGCGGGAGGUCCAAAGACUGACCGGCAGAAUCGCAGCACUUAACCGAUUUAUUUCACGAUCAACAGAUAAGUGCCUGCCCUUCUACGACGUCCUGCGAGGAAAUAAAAAAUUCGAAUGGACGGAAGAGUGCGAAAACGCCUUCCAACAGCUGANNNNNNNNNNNNNNNNNNNNNNNNNNNNNNNNNNNNNNNNNNNNNNNNNNNNNNNNNNNNNNNNNNNNNNNNNNNNNNNNNNNNNNNNNNNNNNNNNNNNNNNNNNNNNNNNNNNNNNNNNNNNNNNNNNNNNNNNNNNNNNNNNNNNNNNNNNNNNNNNNNNNNNNNNNNNNNNNNNNNNNNNNNNNNNNNNNNNNNNNNNNNNNNNNNNNNNNNNNNNNNNNNNNNNNNNNNNNNNNNNNNNNNNNNNNNNNNNNNNNNNNNNNNNNNNNNNNNNNNNNNNNNNNNNNNNNNNNNNNNNNNNNNNNNNNNNNNNNNNNNNNNNNNNNNNNNNNNNNNNNNNNNNNNNNNNNNNNNNNNNNNNNNNNNNNNNNNNNNNNNNNNNNNNNNNNNNNNNNNNNNNNNNNNNNNNNNNNNNNNNNNNNNNNNNNNNNNNNNNNNNNNNNNNNNNNNNNNNNNNNNNNNNNNNNNNNNNNNNNNNNNNNNNNNNNNNNNNNNNNNNNNNNNNNNNNNNNNNNNNNNNNNNNNNNNNNNNNNNNNNNNNNNNNNNNNNNNNNNNNNNNNNNNNNNNNNNNNNNNNNNNNNNNNNNNNNNNNNNNNNNNNNNNNNNNNNNNNNNNNNNNNNNNNNNNNNNNNNNNNNNNNNNNNNNNNNNNNNNNNNNNNNNNNNNNNNNNNNNNNNNNNNNNNNNNNNNNNNNNNNNNNNNNNNNNNNNNNNNNNNNNNNNNNNNNNNNNNNNNNNNNNNNNNNNNNNNNNNNNNNNNNNNNNNNNNNNNNNNNNNNNNNNNNNNNNNNNNNNNNNNNNNNNNNNNNNNNNNNNNNNNNNNNNNNNNNNNNNNNNNNNNNNNNNNNNNNNNNNNNNNNNNNNNNNNNNNNNNNNNNNNNNNNNNNNNNNNNNNNNNNNNNACCACCAUCGGAGCAAUCUGAUUACGGCUGUGAUACCCCAUGGCUUCAGACGAUUCGAGACUACAUUGUCGACGGGCAACUGCCCGCCGAAAAAUGGGCAGCUCGCAAGGUCCGAACACAGGCCGCACGCUACGUAACAGUGGACGGCGAAAUCUACAAAUGGAGAUUCUCCGGACCGCUCCUGACGUGCCUGGAAGGAGGAAAGGCGAGGAAAAUGAUGGAGGAAAUACAUUCCGGCUCGUGCGGCAACCAUUCCGGCGGAAGAUCACUAGCCGUGAAAAUCAAACGCCACGGGUACUAUUGGCCAACAAUGAUCGGAGAUUGCGAAAAAUUCGCACGAAAAUGCGAAAAAUGCCAAAGGCAUGCGCCAACUAUCCGACAACCCGCCGAAGUUCUUUCCUCCAUCACGUCGCCUUAUCCCUUUAUGCGCUGGGCCAUGGAUAUUGUCGGACCUCUGCAUAAUUCAAAGCAAAAGCGUUUCCUUCUAGUCCUUACCGAUUUUUUCUCAAAAUGGGUAGAGGCGGACUCGUACGCAAGUAUAAAAGACGUCCAAGUCGAGAAUUUCGUAUGGAAAAACAUCAUCUGUAGGCAUGGAGUUCCUUACGAAAUCGUAACCGAUAACGGGUCUCAAUUUAUUUCCACCCGAUUCGAGGCAUUCUGCGAAAAGUGGAAGAUACGACUCAACAAGUCAACUCCCAGAUAUCCGCAGUGCAACGGACAGGCUGAAACAAUCAACAAGACCAUUCUCGACGGACUGAAGAAACGCUUGGAGGCCAAAAAAGGUAGAUGGGCCGACGAACUCGAGGGAGUCCUCUGGUCUCACCGUACCACCCCAAGGCGAGCAACGGGAGAAACUCCCUUCGCCUUGGUAUACGGCGCGGAGUGCAUGAUUCCCGCAGAAGUAGAAUUUCCCGGUGUUCGAAGAAGGUUCUUACCCGAACGAGAGGAACUCAACAAUGCUAUGCUCUUGGACGAUCUCGACCUCAUUAACGAACGCCGGGAUCGAGCGCUCAUCCGAAUUCAAAACUACCAGCACGCCGCUGCGAGAUACUAUAACUCCAACGUACGGAACCGAAGGUUCAAUCAGGGAGAUCUGGUCCUUCGCAAAGUCUUCCAAAACACCGCUGAACGAAACGCGGGAAAACUCGGAGCAAACUGGGAAGGUCCCUAUAAAAUCGAAAAAGUCGUCCGACCAGGUUCUUACGAAAUAGCCAACAUGCAGGGCAUAAAAAUCCCUAGAACCUGGAAUGCGAUGCAUCUCAAAAAAUACUAUCACUAAACGAACCAACUCGCAAUCACUGAACUACGAGACGGCUUGAUCUCCGCAAGGAGUACGUAGGCAGUUUGCCGAAAGGCAAAUUCAGCUGUCCUCCCUUAUUAAAAAGGGGGGGAGUGGGUACGUAUACUCGUAUACUCCCAAAAAAUCGAAAAACUUCUUACCGCACUUUUGGUGUUUUCGACUUAUCAAAACAUCCUCACCCGCGAAAUCGCAACGAGGUCUUCGGAAAUUGGUCGGCCGCUUGGGAGAAUCGAACCUUUAGCAUCGCGAGACGUCGCAAAAGAUGCCUCAAAAUUGGUUUCUUCCGAGCAAACGAAAUCUCCGCAAAAAGACACAUAUAUGCACACAUUAACAUUUAUUUUGCGCAAAUUAAUCAAAACAACGGCACACGCCACCAAGUCCGAUGCUGAUCACAUCGAACUCACAAACGUCCUAAACAGACAUAGCCAUCUCAUGGAGAUGACUCUCUUACAUCCGACACAAGGAUAAUAGCGCUAUAAAAGAAAUCCGAAAUUUUGGUCUAGCACUUCCGGUCUCCGGAGAGAUGCUCGAUUCGUAUCAAACAAGUCGUAUAAGCCGAGAACUUUUCGCGGACUUUACAUCGAUACGAAUCAGGAAGAAAUCGCGACAGGAAAAACGAUAGCCGGUUAGUCACCGCACAAUCCUUAAACCGAAAGUAAACCUAGGUCUUGCCCUAAACCCAGCGCACUGGUCUCUAACAUCUCAAAGGCAUGAUAUCAAAAGAUAAGAGAUUCUUAAACCACGCCUCUAUGUUUACGUUCGAUACCUUCAGCGCCCCCGCAGAGUUCACAUCUCGCGGAAGAACUCUCGAAACAGGUCUCGAAUAAAACAUUUCACAAUCGAAGAAGGAUAUGAGACGACAACUCAUCACCUUCCUCCCCACUAUUCACAAAUUCAUAAAAAACGUUAUCCGAUUAUCAUACCAUAAAGCCGCGGAGCGGCAGGGAUUCAAAGCCACACACGGCCAGUCCCGAAAUACAAACAAGGCCGUUCAAGGCCGAAGCAUAAAGACAUAAAAAAAAAAAACAAAUCUCUCGCAAGAGAUCUAACCCAAGUCACCCUCAGAACUUACGCUCCCUCUUCACCCGCCGCCUCGUCCGAGCCUGGAGCCGCGUCGCUUCCGUUCUCUCCGACCAUCGGAUCUUUCCCCUCUGGGUCUUCUGGACACGUCGGAAGGAAGCAAGCGGAUUUUAGGUCGGCCAGGAUGAGACCGAAAUCGCCAUCCUCGGCCGCCAUAUCUCCCUUGCAGCCGGACAGUCGGGCCUCUUCGGCCUCCAAGGUCGGGGGAGUCUCACUUUGGAACGACCGAACCACGGCCAUCCCGCCCUCAAUCGUCGCCAAAGCGAAAUCCCUGCUCCGGAUACACUCGAGGGAAUCCAGGGAAGCGGAAAUCUUCGCCAAGCGAGCCCGGAACUCCCCGCGAAGGGCAUCCGUAGCCUCUUGGAUCCCGCGGCGCGCUAGUCCAGCGUCACUCUCGAUCUGACGCUGGAGUCGACGCACCUCCGAGGAUUUGGCCUUCCUGGUUUUCUUUUCCUUAAGCAAGGAACUCGCCGUCUUCCCGAGGUCCCUCUCAAGCUCUCCUAUCGCAACCUCGAGCUUCGACACUUUCGCAGAGUGAGAGUCCUCGACAGCCGUCAACAUAGCCUCGGUUUCGGACCAUCUGCCCUGAAGCUCCACCAACUCCCCGGAAAGACGACUGGUCUCAGAACCACAUUCGCUGAUCAUCCCAUCGAUCAACGAUAUGAACUGCGAACGGUAAAAAUUCUUAAGACUAAGUCCAUGAAAAGAAUGCACGAAAGACGAUCGAGAAUUCAAACAAGAAACAAACCUUUCCACGAAGUCCCGAUGCUAGGCUCGACCCACCUCGCUGCGAAGUCUCCCCGUCACCGCUCUUGGCCAAUUUCCUCUUCCGACUCUUAGGCUGACUAACCUGGACAGCGCUAGGAGCACGCAAUGCCAGAACGAUUUCUUUUCUGGCCGGAGGCGGAGGCAUAGAGUCAGAGGCUUUUUCUUUGUCCUCGACAAGGAUCGGAGUCGUGGAAGAUCCCGCAGGUAGGACUUGCGGGAGAGGAGCCGCGACGUCGGUCCCAUGACACGGGGCAACGACCUGCGCGGAGGAAGACGGAAACUCGGAGCCAGUCUGAGCCAAUCCUUUCUCGGCUUGGCGACGAACUAGUUUCUCUCGGAAAGAAAGAUGACCGGCAACACAAGCCGGCAUUUCCGUCGGAGAAGCUGGAACCGGAGCCGGAGAAGUGGCCUCACCCAUCUCGACGUCGGAAUCCUUCUUAUCACCUUGGGAGGAAGACAUGUUGAAAGGAAAGUUAUGAAGCUAGAGAGGUUUUUGAAGAAAUGAAGAAGGAAAGGUGUGAAGAAAAUAAAUGAUAAGAGCUCACUACUUAUAGAAAUAUGGGUUCGGAACGUCGCCUCGACAACUUUUAUUUCGCGGAGUUUUAAAUGUAAAUUUCGUCCAAAUACACUCAACCUUGUCAAAGUCAUCUAUCCGCCCGCUAGAGUCACAACUCUAACGGGCUGGGGGGCUAACUGUUGGGGUCAAAAACGGUUACGACAAAUUUAACAUUCAAAACGUCCGAAGAAGAAAAUAAGAGUUUCUCCGAAGAGUACUUUUCGAAAUAGAUUCUUCCUUACGAAAAAGCUUGGCGGAAGAAAGAAUCGAGACGUCCGACGAAAGCUCGAAACAGGUCGUUACGCAGCGACUGAACGUCCGUCCCGCUCGGUCGCUACGUAGCGACCGAGCGAUCGUCCCGCUCGGUCGCUACGUAGCGACCGAACUCAAGCCAAGGCUCGGUCNNNNNNNNNNNNNNNNNNNNNNNNNNNNNNNNNNNNNNNNNNNNNNNNNNNNNNNNNNNNNNNNNNNNNNNNNNNNNNNNNNNNNNNNNNNNNNNNNNNNNNNNNNNNNNNNNNNNNNNNNNNNNNNNNNNNNNNNNNNNNNNNNNNNNNNNNNNNNNNNNNNNNNNNNNNNNNNNNNNNNNNNNNNNNNNNNNNNNNNNNNNNNNNNNNNNNNNNNNNNNNNNNNNNNNNNNNNNNNNNNNNNNNNNNNNNNNNNNNNNNNNNNNNNNNNNNNNNNNNNNNNNNNNNNNNNNNNNNNNNNNNAGCUCGGUCGCUACGUAGCGACCGAGCACUCGUUUCGCUCGGUCGCUACAUAGCGACCGGGCUCGAGCCAAAGAUCGGUCGCUGUAUAGCGAUUGAACCUUUCCGAACAUCGAUACGACACCAGUCCUUGCAUUCUCGUCAAACCUUCGAAUGCUAUCUCCCGAAGACCGUGGCAAGCUCAGUCUAUGUUUCCCGCUAUUCUAAUUCAUCGAUCAAACUUCGCGGAUUAGAAACCGCGGAAAACUCGUAGUAAACGUGUCGAGUCGGAAGACGGCCCAAAGGGACCUAAAACACGACUCGAGGCCCAUCCUACGAUUUUUCCUAACCAAAAGCCCGUGAACCACAGCAUGGUUCACGCUUGGCCCGCGAGGAAGGAUAAAUGUCAAGUUUCCGCGGAUAAAUACGGAAGUUUUGAAGAUAAUUGUGAAGAUCGGGAAAAAUGGAAUAUCUCCAUUUUUAUGCUAUGACGGCUUAAGGGCAGAAGAGUAAAAGCGUAAACCGACCUUGGAGCUAGUAUAUAAGGAGUCCUAGGCGAGGAGCAGAGGGAGGACUUUUUGGAGAAAAAACUUAGCACUUAGAGCGAUUUAGGCAACUUUCCGUUUUUGUUAUUUCGAGCUGCGACUCAAUUAGGUUUAGCCGUCUUAGGGUUGCUAGAACUAGGAAUCUCGCCGACAGCUCUCGAGCCCAGGCUUAUACCUUGUUGUAACGCUCAUACGCAGAUUGGGAAUAAGAUCUACUUUGCUCUCUUUUCGAUUUCUUAUUUUUAUCGUUGUUAUUCUCGUGUUCUGAUUGCUUAACGUGUGGUAAUUAACAGAUAUCCGGGUCCUCUGGGAAACUAGGGUUUUCUUAGUUUCCUUAUUUAAACGGAAAUCGACAGUGCGAAUUUCGGUUCCCACAGUUUGGCGCUAGAAGGAGGGGGACUUACGGAUCAAUCUAACCCGCAAAAACCACUCAACGAUCAGAAAAGACAUGCGAGAUUCGACGUGCGCGAAUGUCAUCUCAUUCAGGGGGGGAGAAGCGGUCGACCGAGCCAAACCUCGGAACGAUCUCCUUGUUAUCGAGUUGACAAUUCGAGAUAUCGACGUCGCUAGAAUACUAAUCGAUACCGGAAGCUCGGCCGAUAUCAUCUUCAAAGACACUCUUGAAAAGAUGGGGAUCAGUCAAUCCGAGAUCGCGAAAUGCCCAAGCCCACUGCUAGGGCUUUCGGGGGAAACGACCAUGGCCUACGGAUCGAUUAGACUCGCUGUCAAAGCCGGAACCGUGACAAACAUCACAGAGUUUCUAGUCGUCGACCGCCCCGCAUCUUACAACGUUAUCAUGGGGACGCCAUGGUUGAACACCAUGCGCGCAAUCCCAUCAACCUACCAUCUUUGCCUCAAGUUCCCGACCCCUAACGGAGUCGAGGUAAUCUGGGGAAAUCCAAGAGUUUCCCAGGUUUGUUUCGCCGCGGAACUAAAACGAAAGAGACCGAUCCUCGAAAUCACUCCUAAGAAAGCGGAGAAAGAGACCUCCAGCAAAGAUACGCGAAGUCAGGACUCAGCGGAAUUCUUCUGGCAAUCUCGUAUCUUCGCAGCUCUAGACGAAAAACGCGAGCCAACUUGUGAACCCGUGGUAACGAUCUGUCUCGACGAAGCCUUCCCAGAGCGCUGCGUCGAGAUCGGAGCCAAUCUCCACGAGCCUUUAAAGACAGAACUCAUAACCUGUCUUAAAAAGAACCUUAAUACUUUCGCGUGGGCUGCGGAAGAUAUGCCAGGAAUCGACAUUAACAUAACAUGUCACGAGCUGAACAUCGACCCAACAUUCAAACCCGUCAAACAGAAAAGACGGAAGCUGGGACCCGAACGUGCUACCGCAGUAAACGAUGAGGUCGAAAAACUGCUUAAAGUUGGGUCGAUAACGGAAGUAAGGUACCCCGACUGGCUCGCCAACCCCGUAGUAGUCAAAAAGAAAAACGGGAAGUGGCGAGUUUGCGUAGAUUUUACCGACCUAAACAAGGCAUGUCCAAAGGAUAGCUUCCCUCUACCACAUAUCGAUCGACUGGUAGAAGCGACGGCGGGCAACGAACUCCUAUCCUUCAUGGACGCUUUCUCAGGCUAUAAUCAAAUUAGGAUGAAUCCCGACGAUCGUGAGAAGACUGCGUUCAUUACCGAUCGCGGAACCUAUUGCUAUGAGGUAAUGCCCUUCGGCCUCAAAAACGCUGGAGCAACUUACCAACGACUCGUGAACCGAAUGUUCUCCAAACAACUCGGAAAAACGAUGGAAGUUUAUAUCGACGACAUGCUUGUCAAAUCCCUCAAAGCAAGGGAUCACGUGUCACAUCUCGAAGAAUGUUUCGCACAACUAAAUUCCCAUAACAUGAAGCUCAACCCGAUGAAAUGCAGAUUCGCCGUGGCAUCAGGAGAAUUCCUCGGCUACUUGGUCACCAACCGCGGUAUCGAAGCAAAUCCAAAACAGAUCAACGCUCUAAUCGAGAUGGCUUCGCCAAAGAAUAAACGGGAAGUCCAAAGACUGACCGGCAGAAUCGCAGCACUUAACCGAUUUAUCUCACGAUCAACGGAUAAGUGCCUGCCCUUCUACGACGUCCUGCGAGGAAAUAAAAAGUUCGAAUGGACGGAAGAAUGCGAAAACGCCUUCCAACAGCUGAAGCAUUAUUUAGCUACUCCUCCAGUCCUCGCAAAACCCGUGGAAGGAGAGCCUUUGUUCUUGUACAUCGCGGUAUCGGCAACAGCCGUAAGCGGAGUCCUGAUCAGGGAAGAACGCGGGGAGCAGAAACCUAUUUUUUACAUAAGCAAAACCUUGCUGGAUGCCGAAUCUAGGUAUCCGUUGAUGGAAAAAUUGGCAUGCGCGGUCAUAACAUCAGCCCGAAAACUACGACCAUAUUUCCAAUCCCACACGAUCGUUAUCCUCACGACUUUUCCCUUACGGACAAUUUUGCAUAGCCCAAGUCAAUCAGGCCGAUUGGCGAAGUGGGCAGUCGAGUUGAGCGAGUAUGACAUCGAAUACCGACCAAGGACGAGCGCAAAAUCACAGGUGCUCGCGGACUUUUUGGUCGAACUUCCAACGGGAGCAAUAACCAACGAGGAACCAAAUUCCACCUGGCUCCUCCACGUCGACGGAUCUUCAUCCAAGCAAGGAUCGGGUGUCGGGAUCCGCCUCACAUCUCCAACAAGCGAGAUCCUGGAACAAUCGUUCAGAUUGGAAUUCCAUGCCUCAAACAACGAGGCCGAAUACGAAGCACUGAUCGCAGGUCUACGUUUGGCUCACGGCUUAAAAAUACGCAAUCUCCACGCUUACUGCGACUCCCAGUUAGUGGCCAGUCAAUUCAGCGGAGAAUAUGAAGCCAGAGACGAACGGAUGGACGCGUACCUCAAACUGGUCCAAGGUCUAGCUCAAGACUUCGACUGUUUCGCCCUUACCCGGAUCCCCCGUUCCGAGAAUGUCCAGGCGGACGCCCUCGCGGCCUUAGCAUCAAGUUCCGAUCCAGGACUCAAAAGGGUAAUUCCGGUCGAAUUCAUCGAACAUCCGAGUAUCGGACCCCCAGUCGUUGUCAAUCUCAUAGAGGGUCGAGACGACGAGGAAGAAGAGACUACGAUACCACCACCAUCGGAGCAAUCCGAUUACGGUUGUGAUACCCCAUGGCUUCAGACGAUUCGAGACUACAUUAUCGACGGGCAACUGCCCGCCGAAAAAUGGUCAGCUCGCAAGAUCCGAACACAGGCCGCACGCUACGUAACAGUGGACGGCGAAAUCUACAAGUGGAGAUUCUCCGGACCGCUCCUGACGUGCCUGGAAGGGGAAAAGGCGAGGAAAGUAAUGGAGGAAAUACAUUCCGGCUCAUGCGGCAACCAUUCCGGCGGAAGAUCACUAGCCGUGAAAAUUAAACGCCAUGGGUACUAUUGGCCAACAAUGAUCGGAGAUUGCGAAAAAUUCGCACGAAAAUGCGAAAAAUGCCAAAGGCAUGCGCCAACUAUCCGACAACCCGCCGAAGUUCUUUCCUCCAUCACGUCGCCUUAUCCCUUUAUGCGCUGGGCCAUGGAUAUUGUCGGACCUCUGCAUAAUUCAAAGCAAAAGCGUUUCCUUCUAGUCCUUACCGAUUUCUUCUCAAAACGGGUAGAGGCGGACUCGUACGCAAGUAUAAAAGACGUCCAAGUCGAGAAUUUCGUAUGGAAAAACAUCAUCUGUAGGCAUGGAGUUCCUUACGAAAUCGUAACCGAUAACGGGUCUCAAUUUAUUUCCACCCGAUUUGAGGCAUUCUGCGAAAAGUGGAAGAUACGACUCAACAAGUCAACUCCCAGAUAUCCGCAGUGCAACGGACAGGCUGAAACAAUCAACAAGACCAUUCUCGACGGACUGAAGAAACGCUUGGAGGCUAAAAAAGGUAGAUCGGCCGACGAACUCGAGGGAGUCCUCUGGUCUCACCGUACCACCCCAAGGCGAGCAACGGGAGAAACUCCCUUCGCCUUGGUAUACGGCGCGGAGUGCAUGAUUCCCGCGGAAGUAGAAUUUCCCGGUGUUCGAAGAAGGUUCUUACCCGAACGAGAGGAACUCAACAAUGCUAUGCUCUUGGACGAUCUCGACCUCAUUAACGAACGCCGGGAUCGAGCGCUCAUCCGAAUUCAAAACUACCAGCACGCCGCUGCAAGAUACUAUAACUCCAACGUACGGAACCGAAGGUUCAAUCAGGGAGAUCUGGUCCUUCGCAAAGUCUUCCAAAACACCGCUGAACGAAACGCGGGAAAACUCGGAACAAACUGGGAAGGUCCCUAUAAAAUCGAAAAAGUCGUCCGACCAGGUUCUUACGAAAUAGCCAACAUGCAGGGCAUAAAAAUCCCUAGAACCUGGAAUGCGAUGCAUCUCAAAAAAUACUAUCACUAAACAAACCAACUCGCAAUCACUGAACUACGAGACGGCUUGAUCUCCGCAAGGAGUACGUAGGCAGUUUGCCGAAAGGCAAAUUCAGCUGUCCUCCCUUAUAAAAAAGGGGGGAGUGGGUACGUAUACUCGUAUACUCCCGAAAAAAUCGAAAAACUUCUUACCGCACUUUUGGUCUUUUCGACUUAUCAAAACAUCCUCACCCGCGAAAUCGCAACGAGGUCUUCGGAAAUUGGUCGGCCGCUUGGGAGAAUCGAACCUUUAGCAUCGCGAGACGUCGCAAAAGAUGCCUCAAAAUUGGUUUCUUCCGAGCAAACGAAAUCUCCGCCAAAAGACACAUAUAUGCACACAUUAACAUUUAUUUUGCGCAAAUUAGUCAAAACAACGGCACACGCCACUAAGUCCGAUGCUGAUCACAUCGAACUCACAAACGUCCUAAACAGACAUAGCCAUCUCAUGGAGAUGACUCUCUUACAUCCGACACAAGGAUAAUAGCGCUAUAAAAGAAAUCCGAAAUUUUGGUCUAGCACUUCCGGUCUCCGGAGAGAUGCUCGAUUCGUAUCAAACAAGUCGUAUAAGCCGAGAACUUUUCGCGGACUUUACAUCGAUACGAAUCAGGAAGAAAUCGCGACAGGAAAAACGAUAGCCGGUUAGUCACCGCACAAUCCUUAAACCGAAAGUAAACCUAGGUCUUGCCCUAAACCCAGCGCACUGGUCUUUAACAUCUCAAAGGCAUGAUAUCAAAAGAUAAGAGAUUCUUAAACCACGCCUCUAUGUUUACGUUCGAUACCUUCAGCGCCCCCGCAGAGUUCACAUCUCGCGGAAGAACUCUCGAAACAGGUCUCGAAUAAAACAUUUCACAAUCGAAGAAGGAUAUGAGACGACAACUCAUCACCUUCCUCCCCACUAUUCACAAAUUCAUAAAAAACGUUAUCCGAUUAUCAUACCAUAAAACCGCGGAGCGGUAGGGAUUCAAAGCCACACACGGCCAGUCCCGAAAUACAAACAAGGCCGUUCAAGGCCGAAGCUUAAAGACAUAAAAAAAAAAAAAAAUCUCUCGCAAGAGAUCUAACCCAAGUCACCCUCGGAACUUACGCUCCCUCUUCACCCGCCGCCUCGUCCGAGCCUGGAGCCGCAUCGCUUCCGUUCUCUCCGACCAUCGGAUUUUUCCCCUCUGGGUCUUCUGGACACGUCGGAAGGAAGCAAGCGGAUUUUAGGUCGGCCAGGAUGAGAUCGAAAUCGCCAUCCUCGGCCGCCAUAUCUCCCUUGCAGCCGGACAGUCGGGCCUCUUCGGCCUCCAAGGUCGGGGGAGUCUCACUUUGGAACGACCGAACCACGGCCAUCCCGCCCUCAAUCGUCGCCAAAGCGAAAUCCCUGCUCCGGAUACGCUCGAGGGAACCCAGGGAAGCAGAAAUCUUCGCCAAGCAAGCCUGAAACUCCGCACGAAGGGCAUCCGUAGCCUCUUGGAUCCCGCGGCGCGCUAGUCCAGCGUCACUCUCGAUCUGACGCUGGAGUCGACGCACCUCCGAGGAUUUGGCCUUCCUGUUCUUCUUUUCCUUAAGCAAGGAACUCGCCGUCUUCCCGAGGUCCCUCUCAAGUUCUCCUAUCGCAACCUCGAGCUUCGACACUUUCACAGAGUGAGAGUCCUCGACAGCCGUCAACAUAGCCUCGGUUUCGGACCAUCUGCCCUGAAGCUCCACCAACUCCCCGGAAAGACGACUGGUCUCAGAACCACAUUCGCUGAUCAUCCCAUCGAUCAACGAUAUGAACUGCGAACAAAAAAAAAUUCUUAAGACUAAGUCCAUGAAAAGAAUGCACGACAGACGAUCGGGAAUUCAAACGAGAAACAAACCUUUCCGCGAAGUCCCGAUGCUAGGAUCAACCCACCUCGCUGCGAAGUCUCCCCGUCACCGCUCUUGGCCAGUUUCCUCUUCCGACUCUUGGGCUGAGUAGCCUGGGCAGCGCUAGGAGCACGCAAUGCCAGAACGAUUUCUUUUCUGGCUGGAGGCGGAGGCAUAGAGUCAGCGGCCUUCUCUUUGUCCUCGACGAGGAUCGGAGUCGUGGAAGAUCCCGCAGGUAGGACUUGCGGGGGAAGAGCCGCGACGCCGGUCCCGUGACACGGGGCAACGACCGGCGCGGAGGAAGACGGAAACUCGGAGCCAGUCUGAGCCAAUUCCUUCUCGGCUUGGCGACGAACUAGUUUCUCUCGGAAAGAAAGAUGACCGGUAACACAAGCCGGCACUUCCGCCGGAGAAGUUGGAACCGUAGCCAGAGAGGUGGCCUCACCCAUCUCGACGUCGGAAUCCUUCUUAUCACCUUGGGAGGAAGACAUGUUGAAAGGAAAGUUAUGAAACUAGAGAGNNNNNNNNNNNNNNNNNNNNNNNNNNNNNNNNNNNNNNNNNNNNNNNNNNNNNNNNNNNNNNNNNNNNNNNNNNNNNNNNNNNNNNNNNNNNNNNNNNNNNNNNNNNNNNNNNNNNNNNNNNNNNNNNNNNNNNNNNNNNNNNNNNNNNNNNNNNNNNNNNNNNNNNNNNNNNNNNNNNNNNNNNNNNNNNNNNNNNNNNNNNNNNNNNNNNNNNNNNNNNNNNNNNNNNNNNNNNNNNNNNNNNNNNNNNNNNNNNNNNNNNNNNNNNNNNNNNNNNNNNNNNNNNNNNNNNNNNNNNNNNNNNNNNNNNNNNNNNNNNNNNNNNNNNNNNNNNNNNNNNNNNNNNNNNNNNNNNNNNNNNNNNNNNNNNNNNNNNNNNNNNNNNNNNNNNNNNNNNNNNNNNNNNNNNNNNNNNNNNNNNNNNNNNNNNNNNNNNNNNNNNNNNNNNNNNNNNNNNNNNNNNNNNNNNNNNNNNNNNNNNNNNNNNNNNNNNNNNNNNNNNNNNNNNNNNNNNNNNNNNNNNNNNNNNNNNNNNNNNNNNNNNNNNNNNNNNNNNNNNNNNNNNNNNNNNNNNNNNNNNNNNNNNNNNNNNNNNNNNNNNNNNNNNNNNNNNNNNNNNNNNNNNNNNNNNNNNNNNNNNNNNNNNNNNNNNNNNNNNNNNNNNNNNNNNNNNNNNNNNNNNNNNNNNNNNNNNNNNNNNNNNNNNNNNNNNNNNNNNNNNNNNNNNNNNNNNNNNNNNNNNNNNNNNNNNNNNNNNNNNNNNNNNNNNNNNNNNNNNNNNNNNNNNNNNNNNNNNNNNNNNNNNNNNNNNNNNNNNNNNNNNNNNNNNNNNNNNNNNNNNNNNNNNNNNNNNNNNNNNNNNNNNNNNNNNNNNNNNNNNNNNNNNNNNNNNNNNNNNNNNNNNNNNNNNNNNNNNNNNNNNNNNNNNNNNNNNNNNNNNNNNNNNNNNNNNNNNNNNNNNNNNNNNNNNNNNNNNNNNNNNNNNNNNNNNNNNNNNNNNNNNNNNNNNNNNNNNNNNNNNNNNNNNNNNNNNNNNNNNNNNNNNNNNNNNNNNNNNNNNNNNNNNNNNNNNNNNNNNNNNNNNNNNNNNNNNNNNNNNNNNNNNNNNNNNNNNNNNNNNNNNNNNNNNNNNNNNNNNNNNNNNNNNNNNNNNNNNNNNNNNNNNNNNNNNNNNNNNNNNNNNNNNNNNNNNNNNNNNNNNNNNNNNNNNNNNNNNNNNNNNNNNNNNNNNNNNNNNNNNNNNNNNNNNNNNNNNNNNNNNNNNNNNNNNNNNNNNNNNNNNNNNNNNNNNNNNNNNNNNNNNNNNNNNNNNNNNNNNNNNNNNNNNNNNNNNNNNNNNNNNNNNNNNNNNNNNNNNNNNNNNNNNNNNNNNNNNNNNNNNNNNNNNNNNNNNNNNNNNNNNNNNNNNNNNNNNNNNNNNNNNNNNNNNNNNNNNNNNNNNNNNNNNNNNNNNNNNNNNNNNNNNNNNNNNNNNNNNNNNNNNNNNNNNNNNNNNNNNNNNNNNNNNNNNNNNNNNNNNNNNNNNNNNNNNNNNNNNNNNNNNNNNNNNNNNNNNNNNNNNNNNNNNNNNNNNNNNNNNNNNNNNNNNNNNNNNNNNNNNNNNNNNNNNNNNNNNNNNNNNNNNNNNNNNNNNNNNNNNNNNNNNNNNNNNNNNNNNNNNNNNNNNNNNNNNNNNNNNNNNNNNNNNNNNNNNNNNNNNNNNNNNNNNNNNNNNNNNNNNAUUUAGGCAACUUUCCGUUUUUGUUAUUUCGAGCUGCGACUCAAUUAGGUUUAGCCGUCUUAGGGUUGCUAGAACUAGGAAUCUCGCCGACAGCUCUCGAGCCCAGGCUUAUACCUUGUUGUAACGCUCAUACGCAGAUUCGGAAUAAGAUCUAUUUUGCUCUCUUUUCGAUUUCUUAUUUUUAUCGUUGUUAUUCUCGUGUUCUGAUUGCUUGACGUGUGGUAAUUAACAGAUAUCCGGGUCCUCUGGGAAACUAGGGUUUUCUUAGUUUCCUUAUUUAAACGGAAAUCGACAGUGCGAAUUUCGGUUCCCACACUGUGGAUUUCACAUACCCUCGGCUUCCAGCUCGAUGUGAAACAUGUAGCAGAUGGGGGCACUAUGCAACCUUCUGUAAGAAUGGGGAGGUGGAUAAGGUAGAGGAACAGAGGAGUCCAAAGAGUAAGGAGAGGGAUGUUCCAAAAAGCAGUGAGUUAAAGAAGGUGGAUCAGGGAAGUGAAGGAGACAAUAAGGAUGUGAUCAUUGCAAAGGAACGAGUAUUGGGGGCAGAAUCAAGUGGAGGCAAGAGUAGUAAUAGGAGUGCAGAUAUUGAGGCAGUUACAAUAGAGGAAGGGGAAAUAAACGAAUGGAAAACAAUCUCUGGGGAAAAACUUGGGAAGAGUCCGAAAUCACAAAGCCUGAAAUAUGGUCAAGUGACUAUAGCUACUCCAUCCAGAUUUGAUGCUCUGAGAAAUAUGGAUGAGAAAGGAGAAGAGAUGGAUGUAGAGCGUAUGGAGGAAGUUGAGGAAAUGAGAAAUGAAGAAGUGGAAGAUAUAGUUCAGAGUAUGGCAGAGGAUAGUGUUGAUGCAAAUAAAAAAGGGAGAGCAAGACAGACGCUGCCGAGGCUCUCAAAGACGAAUCAUAGAGUGGUGAAUCCUGAACCUUCAGAUCAUGUUAAGGAUAUGAGAAGGGGUUCUAGGAAAAAUCACUAAUGGCGGGUUUCUUUUGGAAUAUACGAGGUUUCAAUAAGUCAACUAAACAGGAGGUGGUGAGGAAAUGGUUACAAGAUCAAUCAAUUCUUUUUGGUUGCCUUAUUGAAACAAGAGUUAAGGAGAGCAGAGCAGAGAAGAUUGUGGGGGAAGUUUUUAAAGAUUGGAGUUUUAUGGCUAACUAUGAGUACAACAGAUUAGGAAGGAUUUGGGUUCUAUGGAGAUCAGAAGUGAGGGUAACACCUAUCUACAAAAGUGCGCAACUUAUUACUUGCUCAAUUUUGUUGCCGGGAGAGGAAGAGGAGUUCUUUUGUUCCUUUAUCUACGCUCUUAACACAGUGGAAGAAAGGAAGGAGCUAUGGGAAGACUUAAAGAAUCAUUACGAUGUGCCGAUGCUGAAGAACAAGAGAUGGAUGUUGAUGGGAGAUUACAAUGAGAUUUUGGAGGGUGAGGAGCAUUCGGGGUUUGAGGAUUCACCAAGAAUCCCGUUGGGGAUGAGGGAUUUUCAGACGAUAGUAGGGUACUACAGAUUGACGGAUAUGAGCUAUCAUGGACCACGAUACACAUGGUGUAACAAAAGAGAAGAGGGGCUAAUCUGUAAGAAGUUGGAUAGAGUGCUUAUAAAUGAAGAGUUGAUGAAUGAUUCGCGAGUCUAUUGUGUGUUUGAGUCGGGAGGAUGCUCUGACCACUUAAGAUGUAGAAUCCAUUUGAAAAGAGAGGAAAGCAGGAAGCGGAAGCCUUUCAAAUUCACAAAUGCCAUAGCGAAGAUGUCUGAGUUUAAUGCUAUUAUGGAGAAUCAAUGGAAAGACUAUGAAGCGCUAUACAUCUCGACCUCAGCUAUGUUCAUGCUUACAAAACGUUUAAAGGCUCUGAAGCAACCGCUGAGAGAGCUCUGUAAGAGUAAGCUGGGAGAUUUAUCUAAGAGAACCAGAGAAGCAUACCAAGUGCUUUGCUUCAGACAGAAGGAAACUAUGGAAAAUCCAAGUGUGGAGAAUAUUCGAGCAGAAGGAGUAGCGAUGAACAGAUGGCAAAGACUAGCAGAUUUGGAGGAGGAAUUUCUAAAACAGAGAUCAAAAGUUCACUGGCUUGAUGUGGGUGAUGGGAAUAACCACUUCUUUCACAGCUCAGCUAAGAUAAGAGAGAUUAGAAAUGCUAUCCAUGAAAUUACUAGAGCUGAUGGAACAAUAGCAAAGACAGAUGAGGAGAUAAAAGGGGAAGCUGAGAAUUAUUUUGCUGAGUUCAUGAGUUUGGAGCCAGUAGACUAUGAAGGAGUUUCGGUAGAUACUUUGAAGGAGCUAUUGGGGUUUCAAUGCGGUGAGAUUGACUGUAUUAAGCUGGAAAGAGAAGUUACUAGAGAAGAGAUUAAGGAGGUCUUGUUUCGAAUGCCAGGAAACAAAUCACCAGGGCCUGAUGGGUUUACAACAGAGUUCUUUAAAGAGGCUUGGGAGAUAAUUGGUGACGAUAUUACCAUGGCGGUUCAGUCGUUCUUUGUCAAGGGAUUCUUACCUAAGGGUUUGAAUUCGACAAUACUGACCCUUGUUCCAAAGAAGGUGGAAGCAAAAAUGAUGAAGGAUUAUCGCCCUAUAUCAUGUUGCAAUGUGCUGUAUAAGGUCAUAUCAAAGAGAGUGGCAAACAGGCUGAAGAUUGUAUUGCCUAAAUUCAUCUCCCUGAACCAAUCUGCAUUUAUCAAGGAGCGCUUGUUGAUGGAGAACGUUCUACUUGCCACAGAAUUGGUAAAGGAUUACCACAAAGAUGAUAUUUCCCCAAGAUGCACAAUGCAAGUCGAUAUCUCCAAGGCAUUUGAUUCGGUUCAGUGGUCAUUUCUGAUUAACACACUGAAAGCGUUGGGAUUACCGGCUAAGUUCAUACACUGGAUUUCAUUGUGUAUCACUUCAUCUUCCUUUUCCGUUCAAGUUAAUGGCGAGCUCGCAGGCUAUUUUCAGAGUAGAAGAGGGUUAAGACAAGGAUGCUCUCUCUCCCCUUACUUAUUUGUGAUUUGCAUGAACGUUUUAUCUAAAAUGCUGGAUGAAGCAACAAGAAAAGGGAAGAUAGGGUACCACCCAAGGUGCAAAAACAUAGAGAUUACACAUUUGUGUUUUGCGGAUGAUUUGAUGAUAUUUACGGAUGGGUCAAGAAAGUCGAUUGAAGGGAUUCUUAAGGUCUUUGAAGAGUAUGAUAAGAUGAGUGGCCUCAAGAUCAGUAGAGAGAAAUCGGUGCUGUUUGUUGCUGGGGCAGAUCAGAGAGGAGAAGAGAUUCUAAGACAAUUCAACUUUGCUACUGGUAAGCUACCGGUGCGUUAUCUUGGCUUGCCAUUGUUAACAAAGAAUAUGACUGUCACAGACUUUCUGCCGUUAGUAGAGAAGAUAAGGAAGAGGAUAAGUUCUUGGAGAGGGAGAUUCCUAUCUUAUGCUGGAAGAUUGCAACUUAUAAACUCAGUUAUAAGAAGUCUCACCAACUUCUGGAUGGCAGCGUUCCGGCUUCCCAGUGGAUGCGUUAAAGAAAUUGAGAGAAUCUGUGCUGCUUUUUUGUGGUCUGGACCUGAGUUAAAUGGAAGGAAGGCGAAGGUUUCGUGGGAAGAUAUCUGUCGAACGAAACGAGAGGGAGGCUUGGGUUUAAGACCUUUGAAAGAGGUGAAUCAGGUCUGUUGUCUUAAGCUGGUUUGGAGAAUUCUUUCUGCUGAUUCUCUUUGGGUUAACUGGAUAAAAAUUUACCUCAUUCGAAAAGGAUCUUUCUGGACGAUAAAGGAAACUACUCAGUGUGGGUCUUGGAUGUGGAAGAAAAUACUUAAGUGCAGGGAAAAGGCAAAGGAUUUCUAUAGAGUUGAGGUUCGGGACGGAAGGAACCACUACAACAAAAAUGGGUUUUAAUAGCAUACCAGAAUAGCGUUUUUUCCGGUUAUGCUAUGUUUGUGAUACCCGUGUUUUAAAGAUAGCGUUUCCAUUUAAUGAGACGCUAUGUUAGAAUGCUGAUAAAAAAAAUAUAAAAUAAGAGUACGGUUUUGAAGGAGGCGCUUAUGUAAUAUAGCAAUGAAACAUUAAUAGUGUUAUGUUAAAGUUGCGCGGUAAUGCCCGGGAUACUUAGAAUUAUUUUGCCUCCUAAAAUCAUUUGUGCUGCCAAAUAAAAAAAUAGAAACUCCCAAAACAUUAGGGUUCUUCCAUCUCUCGUAUUUGUUUCCCCCAUUUCCUCCGUGCGAUUGAUAGACCCAAACCAAAACCUCUCCUUUCUGAUUCCCAAUCUCAUCAAAUUUCAGUCUCCGUUCGAUCGAUAUACUUAUCUAAUCCAGAAUCGGAAAAAACAAGAUUGAAAUCCAUUUCGAAUCAGUCCAAGGUGAACUCGGGUUUUUUUCAUUUUGUCUCCUCUUCCGAUUGUAAACCGUUUGUCUCUUGCCUAUUAGUUAUUAAGGUUUAUUGCAUGUUUAAUUGAGUCGUUUCUGUGCUCAAUGUUGCAGGGAGAUUUCGUUCCAAAUAUUUCGAUUAAGGUACUUCUAAAUCUUAUUCGUUUUUGUGCUCUCUUGGUAUGUCGUAUGACUGUUGUAAUUUUCUGGGUUUAUUAACAUUGUUUUCUUCUUUUGUAGCUAAAUCAAACCAAAGUUCAAGAGAUCUAUCAGGUAAAAUAAGUUACACUCAAUUAACUGGUUUACAUAUCUCGUACUGUUUUGUUCUUCUGGGUUGAUAAACUGCGUCUCUUGUAUGUAAAAUUGGUUGGAGCUGAAACAUGGAUAAAUCUUGGGUAUGGUUACCAAGGUAUUAACUUCACUUCACAGUCAUUUUAAUUUUUCGUAUUGUAUAUGUCACACUGCUAAUCUGUUUAUUUAUCACUUGUUCUAACUCUCCAGGAAUAGCCUUGAGUAUGAGAAAGGAGCAAGUGAGUUUGUGUCUUCUUCAUCAAGCCGUUUAGGUGUCCCAACAGAAAUGUUCUGUCCGUGUGUUGAUUGCCGCAAUGUAUGCCAUCAGUCUACUGAGAAAGUUUUCGAGCAUCUAGUGAUUAGAGGGAUGGAUCCGAAGUACAAGAGUUGUAAAUUCUGGUCCAAACACGGAGAUAACAAGCCUGAUAAGCCAUCUGAUAUCAACUCCUCUGCAAGUGAGCCGUACGAGUUGUUAAGAACAGCUUUCAUGCCAACUGAAGACCAUCACUCAGCUCAGGAGGAGAGUGCAGAAGCGUCUGCGGGAACUGACAGACCAGAAGAAGCUGAGUUCAGAAAAAAACUGGAGGAUGCAGAAACCCCGUUGUACUCUCAGUGUUCAAAAUACACGAAGGUUGCUGCGAUCAUGGGACUGUACAGGAUAAAGGUCAAAAGUGGGAUGUCUGAAAGCUAUUUUGAUCAGCUAUUGGCGUUAAUUCAUGAUAUGCUUCCUGGAGACAAUGUGCUACCUAAGUCUACAGAUGAGAUGAAGAAGUUUCUGAAACAGUUUGGGUUUGGUUAUGAUGUCAUCCACGCCUGCAAGAACGACUGUAUCUUGUUUAGGAACCAGUAUGAGGAUGCGGUCAGCUGUCCAAGAUGCAGUGAAUCAAGAUGGGAGAAGGAUAAGCAUACUGGUGAAGAGAAGAAAGGGAUUCCGGUUAAAGUGCUUAGGUAUUUUCCGAUAAAAGAUAGGUUCAGAAGAAUGUUUAGAUCAAAGCGUCUGGCGGAGGAGUUGUGUUGGCAUUCGACAAAUGCAUCUGACGAUGGAACUAUGCGACAUCCAGUUGAUUCAGUGACUUGGGGACAGAUAAACAACAAAUGGCCAGGGUUCGCUGCUGAAGAAAGAAACCUAAGACUAGGUAUUUCUACUGAUGGCAUGAAUCCAUUCUCCAUGCAGAACACCAAUUAUACCACAUGGCCUGUCCUCUUAGUCAACUACAACAUGGCUCCAACGCAGUGCAUGAAAUCAGAGAACAUCAUGUUGACAAUGUUGAUACCUGGUCCAACCGCACCUAGCAACAACAUAGACGUCUAUCUACAACCACUCAUAGAGGACUUGAAGAGUUUGUGGGCAGAAGGUAUGGAAGUGUAUGAUUCGUUCAAGAAGGAGAGUUUCACUCUUAGAGCUAUGUUGUUGUGGAGUAUCACCGACUAUCCUGGGUUAGGCACAUUAGCUGGCUGUAAAGUUAAGGGGAAGCAAGCCUGUAAUGUCUGUGGAAAGGAUACACCGCAUAGGUGGCUAAAGUUUAGUCGCAAACACGUUUACAUGGGGAACAGGAAGCGGCUCAUGCCUAAUCAUCCAUAUAGAAGACGGAAAGGAUGGUUUGACAACACGGUGGAGACUGGUACUGCAAAUAGGAUUCAGAGUGGUGUAGAAAUCUCUGACAUUCUGAGGGAUUUUAAAAACGACUUUGGGAAAAAGUUAAGUAAGAAGAGUAAGCGAAAAAGGACAACAGGAGAUGAGAAUGAUGUUGCUUCAUUGGAGGAGUACGAAGAAGAUGAUGAUCUGUGGCGGUGGAAGAAAAAGUCAAUUUUCUUUGAGUUACCUUAUUGGAAGGUAUGUUUCCUUUUCAGAUAUAUAAUUUAACUUAUUCUCGAUGUUUAUAUUUCUAUACUGAUUAAGACAUGUAUAAAAUAUAUGGCAGGAUAUGCCAGUAAGGCAUAACAUAAAUGUUAUGCACGUGGAGAAGAAUGUGUCUGAUGCACUGCUGUCUAUUCUGAUGCAUAGUGGAAAAUCAAAGGAUGGCCUGAAAGCAAGAAAAGAUUUAGAAGACAUGGGUAUUAGAAGCAACUUGCAUACAGAAGUGAGGGGAAAGAAAACUUACUUGCCUCCUGCUGCUUACUGGCUAUCUAAGGAAGAAAAAAAGAAAUUCUGCAGACGGUUAUCAAACUUCAAAGGGCCUGAUGGUUAUAGUGCCAAUAUCUCCAACUGUGUCUCACUGGAUCCUCCUGGUAUUGGCGGCAUGAAGUCACAUGACCAUCAUGUACUAAUGCAGAAUAUGUUACCGGUAGCAUUGAGAGGUCUACUGCCAAGAGGGCCACGGAUUGCAGUGACUCGGAUAUGCAAUUACUUCAACAGACUCUGUCAACGCAUUAUUGAGCCAGAGAAGUUACUUAAGUUAGAAGCAGAGAUUGUGGAGACAAUGUGUCAGCUAGAGAGAUUCUUUCCUCCAUCUCUGUUUGAUAUAAUGUUUCAUCUUCCACUGCAUCUAGCAAGAGAAGCACGCUUGGGUGGCCCUGUACACUUCAGGUGGAUGUAUCCCUUCGAGAGGUAGUUUUCUAGAUUUAUUUAUAAGCUUGAUUAACACUAUACUGCUACUAUAACAAUAAGUUAUAUUUUUUUUGUAAGGUAUAUGAAGACUCUAAAAGCUUAUGUGAAGAAUUUUGCAGGACCCGAAGCUUGUAUGGCCGAGGGUUAUUUAGCAGGUGAAUGCCUUGCAUUUUGUAUGGAGUUCCUGCAGAGAUCAGUUCCAGUAGAAGAAGCAGUUAAUAGAAACGAAGAUCAUGAGACUUCUCAGAAUUUACUUGAAGGCCGGACGCUGAAUAAAGCGACAGAAGUGACACUUACUGACAAAGAGAGAGAUGUAGCUCACCGGUAUAUCCUCAUGAAUACUGCAGUGAUUGAGCCUUAUGUUCAGUAAGUGAAAAUUCCAAUAGCUUUUAAAGUAUGUUAUUUUUUCUUUCACACUAACUUAAUGAAUAUACAGGAUGCAUUUAGAAGAGCUACAAAGGACGGACGAAAGAUGUGCGAAAAACGAAACCAUCUUAUGGAAGAACCAUACUGAAAGGUUUGCACAGUGGAUCAAAGAAAAGGUAUGAUUCACUUAUUGUUUCUUUCAAUACUUUCCUUCCUGAUUACUUUGUAUAUAUAUGAUCUGAUUUUGUUUGUAAUAUUUUUUCCAUUUUAGAUACCAACUAACUCGAAGGAACAUUCACAGCAGCUGAGAUGGCUUGCUUUUGGACCAAGGAAUAUUGCUCACACGUACAAGGGGUUUGUAGUUAAUGGAAAUCGAUUCCAUACAGACGAUGUGCAGAGGAAGACACAGAACAGUGGAGUAGCAUAUGAUGCGUUUUCAAUGUGCAGAGCUAGUGCCAAAGAUGCGAGGCAAAUGGCUGAUAUAGUUACAUACUAUGGAGUGAUUAAGGAGAUCAUAUUGAUCGACUACCAUAUGUUUGAGGUGGCUCUGUUUAAGUGCAGUUGGGCUCAUAAAGGAAGAGGACUAAAAGAGGAAGACGGUUUCACACUUGUGAAUCUCCACAUGAGUCAGUCUACAUUUGUUAAUGAUCCUUACAUUAUGCCAUCGCAAGCUAAACAAGUGUUCUACUCUAGAGAGGAAGAUAGCUCCCCUUGGUAUGUUGUGAUGAGAGCACCACCGUGAGGCUUUCAUGAGUUAGAGACAGAAGAGGAGUUCUGUUCUGGUGCAGUAACAGUCCAGACUGAAGAAGAUAUGGGAGAUCAAGCAUCUGAUGACGAGAGUUUUUGUGUUAGGAAUGAUUGUGAAGGUGUUCUAAUUCAUGAUUUAUGAUGAGUUUUUUUUUUCAGGUUAUCUACUGCCAUGAAUUCCAAAGCUGUUACAGAUAAAUGUCGUCGCAGCAAACGCCAAGCAGGUCUUGAUGUUAGUCCUGAAGUUUCCUUAGCUCAGAAAAAACCCAAGAAAAAUGCUCCGAUGAUGACCACAGAGGAAGAGUACCAUUCAGAAGAAGUCGAGAAAGCAACAGAGCAUGCGGAUUUGGAAGGAACAGAAUCUGAAAAAGUCGACGAAACCGGACCUGAAGAUGUGGAACCUGAAGAUAGUAUCCCUGCAACAGAAAAUGAAGGUGUGGAAUCUGAAGAUGGAGAUGGAGAUGAAGAGGAAGACGAUGACACCACACAACCACCAUCUCAAGAAGAACAAGUCAUUCCUCCUUCGGAGCCACAGACUCAGACACAAACAGAGCAGUCGGAUAACGUAGUCAAGAAGACUAGGGGUCCAACGAAAAUGCGAAAAGUAGCAAAACAUAUAGAGGACAAGGUGGAUGUUGAGUUCAAUGCUCUAGGUGAGCAUGUCGGUCGUGGAUCAGUUACCCUAUCUUCUUUCCUAGGUCCUCUCGUGAGAGAGCAUGUCCCAGUACUUCUAGAUGACUGGAGACAUCUCGAUGAGAAAACAAAAGAUGCUUUAUGGGAGGAAAUUCAGGUUCGUAUUACAACUUUUUGAUAAUGUCUGAAAAGUAGUAAGCUGAUAACUUCAAUAUGUAUAACAGGGAAGAUUCAACUUGACAGAAGAAUGGCAAAAAGAUGUUGUUUUUAAGCAGAUGGGUUGUUUGUGGAGGGCCUCUAAAUCCAGAUUGUCUUCGCAAGUUAGAGCUACAAAAAACAAGGCUCAACUUCAGAAAAUUAAGCCUAGCAACAUACAAUCUGCAACUGCGUGGAACAAUUGGGUUAAAGGAAGAUGUACAACAGCUUUUAAGGUAAUUUAAAUUAAGGAUUUAUUAGUAACGAGUCUGCUUAUAUUUAUGAUAAUUAUUUUAACUCAAAAUCUGAAUGUGUAGGAACAAAGUGAUAAGUACAGGGAACUUAGGAAGGGCCAAAUUCCUCACACCACUAGCCGUAAAGGCAUGAUUCGACUUGCAGAUGAAAUGGUAUGUUUGUAAUUUAAUAAGUUGCGAUUCCAAAGAACUUCUAUGACAACAUUUUCAUUAAACUUGUAGAGGAAAAACAGUAGUGAUCCUAGAAAGGUAACUAGAACAAAGGUUUGGGUCGUUGGGCAUACGCAUUCUGAUGGAAGACCUGUGAGUCAAGAAUUUGCAGAAACAAUAGUAAGUUCAUGUUAAUUCUUAGAUUUCCAUUAACUUCGAAGUUUGUUUGUAUAAAACACUUAACAAUUUUAUGAUAUUUUUUAAUGCAGGAGAAGAUUAAGAGAAUUGACAGUGAAAUGGGUUCAAGUUCCGCAGAUAAUAUCGGUGAAGAUGCUGUGACUCAGGUUCUAGGAAAGGAUAAACCAGGAAGAAUUAGGGGGAUGGGGCGAGGGGUUACUGCAACCAAAUUGGCAUUCUUACAUGCUAGAGACUCCCAUGUCCAGAAGCUUCAAGAUACUCAAGUAGAGCUUAUCAACAAGAUUGAAGAUUUGAGAAAUGUGGUAAAAGACUUAGCCGGCCAAAAGGUAAGUCCUUGAACUAGAGUUGUAAUUAUUAUAGUUUUAAGUGAUCUAUAAGGUUUUAAAAAUCUUGUAUAUUUCUGUUUCUGUGUUAGAAUAAAACCGAUUAUCGUUCUACUUCUGAGGUUAGCGAUAUUAGCAAGGGAGGAAUAAGGUGCCAGCUACUUGAUUGGGUUUCCAAUGAUGAUGUGGUUGUUGCUGAAGGAGAGUAUCACUCUAGUGAACCCUACUACAAGAUUGGUCGAAUUCCAUUGGGUCCAAACGCGGCUGCUGUAGUAGUAAAGUCUGUAUCAGUAGAAACUGCAUCUAUAUGGAGACCUACAGCAACUUGUUCUAGGCUUGCUCAGGCAGUUGGAGUGAAAAUUGCAUGGCCAGCGGAUAAGCUAAUACUGGACGAUGAUAUUGACUUAUCAAACAAUGGUAACACCAUUGGAUCAGAGGUAAUUAUAUGUUGUCAGUUUUCUUCCGUAAUGAGUGAAUACAUAUCUAAUGAAAAUUCUGUGUUUUUUUUUUGCUUCAGCCUACUGAUGCUUCUUUAGGAAAAGUUCAAAUCUUUGAUUACUGGAAAUCAGAAGAUGAAUUGAUUGCUAAGGGUGUAUUGUUGUCGACUGAUCCUGCGGAACUAGUCAACCAAAUACCGCUAGGACCGAAUGCUGCAAUUCUUAGAGUGGAAGUGGUUGUAAAAUCUGAUGCAUAUAUUUGGAGACCAACUACUGAAAUGACGAAGAUGGGUGAUGCGCUACAUGGGACUAUUGCCUGGCCUAUCGAUAAGAUAGUACUACCUGAACAAGAUUCACCAAAAGAAUCAAACAAGAAUUCGAAUCAGGUAUGUUUAUGAAACAUCUUAUUUAUUGCUUAAGUAAGUAUUGUGAUAGUUGUUGGUGUUAAUAUGAUUCUUGGAUUCAAUGAUGAUAUUGUCUUGAUUCUGUUUGUUACUUUAUUUUGUUUAGAGUGGUAGUAACAGCAGUGGUUGUAGCAGCAAAGGUGGUAAACAGAAGUGCGCCCUCUUGGACUGUAAUAACUCUGGACUGAGAGUUGCUUUGGGUCGUGUGUUCUCAACUGAUCCAACAGAGAAGGUGCAUUUCGUCCCUUUAGGUCCCAAUGCUACUAAGGUCUGGAUAGAGGUUUCCGAGUUCGAUGGGGCACGAGUGUGGAGGCCAAACAGUGAAAUUGAAUUCAUUGGUGAUGCAGUUGGAAGCAUUGUGGCUUGGCCAAAUGAUAAGGUUGUUUUAAUGUAAGGCAGGUCUGUUGCUUUUGAACUUGUUAUGCUAGUACCUUGAACUAUCUUUGUUAUUUGCUCUACUUAUGUAAUAUAUGACAAGAAUGGUUUUUAUGUUCAAUAAUAGCAGUUUAUGUUUUAUAAUUUAAUGUCUCAAAACUAAAUAAUUGAUUGUAUAUCACAAAAUAAAAAUAUAUAAAAUAUUAAAAUUAAAUAUAUAUAUUUAAUUAUUAUUUUAAAUAUACUAUAUAAUAGCAGCAAGAAUAAGCUGCUAUAAUUUCAAUAUAAUAUAUAUAACAGAAGUAUUAAUUGCUAUAGUUGUCUUAACAAUAACAUCUCGAAAACGCUGUUACUAAUAACAAUAAUAACAUUAAUUAAGCGCUAUUAAAUAUUAAUCUAUUGCAAAAGAAAAAGCGCUAUCGAUUCCAAGGAAACGAUAGCACCUCGAAAAAGUGUUAUCUAAUGUGCCUUACCUACUAUGACGGGCGAUGAUACAGCGUUCCUAAAUCCGCUGUCGUAUCGUUAAAUAGCGUUUUUCGUCCGCUAGUAAAACCCAUUUUUCUUGUAGUGAACACUUCCUUUUGGCAUGAAAAGUGGAGCUCCUUGGGGUGUUUAAUGGAUGUAUUCAGAGAUGGAGGGUGCAUUGAUAUGGGCAUAGCAACGAAUGGGAUAGUAGCUGAUUGUUUGCGGCAUCGACGGAGAUAUCAUCGUGUGCAAACAUUCAACAGGAUUGAAGUGGAGAUUGAGAAGUUUAAGAGAAACUGGGUUCAAGAGAAUGAUAUCCCAUUAUGGAGGAAUGAGAAAGGCAAAUACAAGAAAGUUUUCUCUACUAAGGAAACUUGGCUUUGUAUUCGAGAGAAGCAUCUCCCUUGCCAUUGGUAUCAAGCUGUCUGGUUUAAACAUGCGACACCGAAGUUCUCGUUUAUUACCUGGAUUGCUAUGCGUGGGAGGUUAUCAACAGGAGAGAGGAUGGUAAAAUGGAAUGGUAAUGUUGAUGCUUCUUGUGUUCUAUGUCAAGAACCGCUGGAGACUCAAAGCCACUUAUUUUUCGAGUGUCCUUACUCAACACAAAUUUGGGAGACACUCAUGAAGGGUGUACUAAGAGAUCAGUACUCUGCGAAUUGGGACAUCUUGGUUAGUCUCCUUACUGGUGAUUCGAGAUGGAGCAAAACUAAACUCUUUACAGCAAGAUACAUGUUCCAAUCAGCUAUUCAUACAAUAUGGAGAGAGCGGAAUAGAAGAAGGCAUGGAGAGGGUUCUGUUCCUGCUGUGCUUUUGAUUCAGCGUUUGGAUAAGAACAUGAGGAAUCAGUUCACUGUCAUUAGAAGAAGGGGGGGAAAGGAGUAUGAAGAUGGAAUGGCUACUUGGUUUGAUACUAGAUAGUUUUUUCACUAUGAUUGAAUUCUUUCUUUUUUGAUCAGAACUAAAAGAUAGGAAUUACAAAAUUGUAAAGGUCUUUUUUUCUUGAAUUAAAUUUAACAUUCAAUUCAAAAAAAAAAAAUUAACUAUAAUAAACUAUAUAUUGAAAAUAUUGUAUUUUCUUUAUCAAAUUCUCAUAAAUAUAUAAAAUAAAUCUAACUCAUAGCAUAUAAAAGAAAAGACCAAUGUGAUCAAAUAUUUACAGUUUUUUAGAAGUAUAAUCUUUAUAGUUUUAUUUAAAAUAUAGCAAAAAUGAUCACAAACCUAAUUACUUAAAACAGAAGUCCAAUUUAAAUUCAAAUAAAAAUAAAAAUUUAACUAAGAGAAUAUGUUAACUACUAUGUAAAAGUAUUUUUUUUUGUAAUUUGGGGUCCUAAAAUUUUUACAAAAUUUGGGGGCCCUAGGCAAAUGCCUUUUUCAAAAACUUCUAAGCACGGCUCUGGCCAUGACUACUUCUCCAAGCUCUGUAAUCAAAUUGGACAACUGUGAUAUAACUGCUCCACAAGAUCACGCAUCAGCUUUUGUUCCGUUGUAUCAUCGCGGUGAUAUAACCUCCGGAGUUGUGUAACCCACAGUUCAAAGAAGAUCAAAUGUUUAAGAUUUUUAUAGGGGUGGACAAAAAAACCGAACCGAACCGAGUUAAACUAAACCAACCGAAUCGAAACCGAUUCAAACCGAACCAAAGUUUAUUUCAAACCAUUUGGCUGAAGAAUUCCCCAAUCCGAACGGUUCGUUUAAACCGAACCGAACCGAGAACCGAUGUAUUUUGUAAUUAUUUAAAUUAAAAUUUUUAGUAAUACUAAAAUUCUAAUACUAUGCAACAUAUUUUCCAUUUUUCAUUCACUAACAUAUAUUCUUCUAACCUAAUAUGUAAUCAUCAAAGUAUUUGAUUUCAAAAAAAUAGAAAAGUUUGUAUGUUUAUAUUUUUAUAUAUGUAAACGUGGAUGUUAAAUCUAAAUCUAAAAUCUAAAGCACAUUUUAUUAAAAACAAAAGUUCAAAUUCUUCUCCACAACGUCACAUAGAAGAUGAUUUAUUACAUGCUUUUUAAUAAUGAUAUAAGAGACAUUACUAAUGAUGUUGGUUUUUUAUUUUAGUUAACUUUCAUUUCUUUUAAUUCUUAUAUAUUUUGUGACUUUUUUUAAAAUUCCGUUUCAGUUUUAUAUUGAAUUUAGUUCACAUAAUCUAUAUUAUUAAAACAGAAGUACAAAUAUAAAUUAAUCCUUAAUUUUUCAAAUUAUUUACAAUCAUAUGCCACUGAAAUAAUAAGUUUAACUACUUUUUAGUAUUCUUGUCUUUUAUAGUUUAAUUAAUGCAUUUUCUUAAAAUAAAGUAUAAAAAAUUAUGUUUACUUAUUUAAAAACUAUAUCCUAUAAUCUAGCUAAACAAUAAAUUAUACUUAAUCAAUGUCAAAAAUGUAACAAGAUUUUAUUAUUACGGGUGGUUAUUUUUUAUUUUGGUAUAUUAACUAUGCCUAAAAACAUAAAAGUGUUAUAAAAAUACAUAAUAUAAACCACAAAAUUGUAAAUAAUAUAUUUAAUUAUUUAAUUGUAUAAAUCAAAUAUGAAAAAUAACUAUUUUAUUUUACAUAAAAAUUUUGAUCCAUAAAAAAUAUAUUUGCAUGAACACACAGGUUAUAUUUUAAAAAUAUGGUUGUAACAGUUGACGGAUCAAAAUAUAAAAUAAAAUUAUUCAUUAUAAAAUGAUUGUGUUUAUUUAAUAUAUAUAUAUAUAUAUAUAAAUUUUAAAAAUAUAUAUUACCAUUUAUAUAAGAUAAAUAUUUUUUUUUUGCAAACAAAAAAUGAAUACCCAUGCGGAUGCGCGGAUCAAGUUCUAGUUCUAAUUUGUUUCGUAAGAAUAUAUAUAACGUAGCGUGUUGCACGUGCCACACCUACUCCCUACAUGGGUCCGCUUCUGCAGUAGAAAGCCUGAAAUCUCUGUCUCUCAUUGUGCUAUCCAAAAUUAAAGAGAAGAAAAUAACAUUUGUAGGAUUAGCAAGAACAUGAUCUGGUUAAUAAUAUAAUUACAUAUCUUAAAAUUGUAUUUAUUAGCUAAUAAUACUACUCUGUUCAUUAUGUUGGCGGCAACUUUUAUUAUUUAAACGGUCCCUUAUUUAAACUAAGUCCACUGCUAUUAAUUAAGUAACCUCAUGUCAAUUUUUUUUUAUAAUUUAAAUAAGAUCGAUUACACUCUGUAGUUGACUUGAUUGGUUAAGAUAAAGAAACAAGUUAAGGAACGUAUGAUUGAUUAUGAUUAUAUAAUAAAUAAAAUAUUAUAGAUUUUUUUAUUUUUAAUUUUAUAUAACUGAAUAUAUUAAUGUAUAAUAAUAUUUUAAACUAAUUUCGAAAUUAGCAAAGAUAUUUAAAUAUAAUUUCAAAAAUGAAGAUCUUGUAAAAAUCUUUUUAAACAGAUUUGUUAGAAUUUAAAAAUAAAUAUAUUUAUAUUUAAAAUGAAAAGAUAUCAAAAGAUAUUAUGAUUAAAAUAUUUUAAAAUUUAUAUUUAUUAUUAAUCUGAACUAAAAUGUAAUAUGAAUUUCUAUGAAUAGGUCCAUUAGGUCCAUUUUUAAAAAAAAUCACACAUGAAUCAAGGUUGUGACUUCUGUUUUAAUAUAUAAGAUUUCACUUAAAAAAAUUAAACUAAGAAUAACCUAAUUAAACUGAUCAAAAAACAAACCGAACCGAAUAUAACCGAACUGAACCCAAACUAACUAUGGUUUAUUUCAACUGGAAAAAUACUAGAACCAAACUAACCAAACAGAACCGACUCCGAACUGAACCGAGAAAAUAACCGAAGUGCCCACCCCUUCAGGUGAAGAAGAAAAGAACAUUGAGUCGCAGUGUUGGGUCUAGUUUAAUUAAUUAUUUUUUGGGCAAAGUUUUUUGGUUUAAUUAAAAUUGAUUUUUUAUUUGGUUUAACAAUUAAUAUUUUUUGGUAAAUAAUAAACCGCUUAAAACUAUGACUUUAUGUAUAAUUAAGUUUUAAAUUUUGGUUUGUGGAGAAAUAAGAUUCUAAGUUUUAAUUCAAAAAAAAAUACAUUUAUAACAAUAUUUAGUGCAGGCAGAUAUAUUACAAAGUUAUAAUUCAGUGAAAAUUUGAUGCUAUGUAAUAAUUUUUGUGGGAAAUUAGCAUGCUAACUCACAAAAUAAACAUGAUCUGGCUGCCAAAAUGUAUUGUUGCAUGAACAACAACGAUAUAACCCAAAAUUAAAGUUUUAAGGUGAUUUUAAGAGCUUCGUCUUCAGACAUAUUACAUCCGUUUAAAUAUUUGUUUUAGAUUUUAAAAUUUGAUUUGUUAUAAAUAGUUGAUUAUAUUUUAAAACGAAACAAAUAAUAAAUUAACUAAAGAUAAAUGUGUUAAAUAUUUAAAUGACAUUUAUAGUAAAGCUAAGAUGAUAUUUUAGAGUAAAAUUUACUACACUAGAUAGUACGACAUUUUUAGUAUUUGUUGACAAAAAUUAGCAAGAUUUAUAUUUCUUUUGUGAAGACUGAAGCAUCUUCAAAUUCAUUAUGUAUGUAUUAACAUAAAUAAUACAUUUAACAUUUAACUACACAUUGAUAAGAAAAUCUAAAAAUAAAACUCAACACUUGGAAGUUGGAACCACGAGAGCCAAUGAUCAAUGUAAUAAAACUCCGUUCAGAGAAAGAAAGUGAGAAACAGAGAUCCACGAAAAAACAAAUUCUUACCAAUGACAAAAUACUGAUAUCUUCUUGUUCUUGUUCUUGUCACUUCCACUACCGACAAUGAUCGAUCCCAACCCAAACAAACUCCCUCCCGGAAACACAUCCAGAAACGAAUUUACCUUAAUCCCUCCUCCAUUGCCGCCGUUACUGUAAUCUCCAUGGCUCGUCUUACUCAAUAGCGGUUUCUGAGAACUACAGUUUGAAGAAGAAGAAGGAGACGAAACCUCGAGCUUCAUAGUUUCUGUCUGUUUAUAAUUCGAACCGGUCGGGUUAUCCGAUAGCAAUGGCAACCCAAUUUCGGAAUCGAGACGUUCGCUUCUUUUCUUAAUCCCCCAACACGGAUUCACAGUGGGUCUCUCUUCAUCUUCUUCGACUUCUUCUAUUUCAUGAGCAUUUCUGAUUGGAUUCGUUUCCGGUCCGGGACGACACGGUUCAGAAGGAACGUGAAACGGCACCGUAUUGCGUAUGGCUCCCGUCGCCGUUAAUCCGAUUUCCAGAACCGGUUUAGUAUCUCCGAUUGGAUUCGUAUACAAACCGGUUCCAUCUUUCUCGGGUAUCUUUUUGAUUUCUGUGGGGAGUAUUUUUCCGUCGGAGAAAAACUCUUCGGCGGACCACGAGCUUUCACCGGAGAUUACGCCGCCGGGAAUGGAGAAAUCGAAGUUGAUGGUUGAAGGUUCCGAAUGAGUUCGUAAUGGACUUUGCUCGAUCGGUAUGGAAUCAUAGUGGCAAAAAUCUUGAGAAAAGGAGAGUCUUGGGCCGUGCUUGGCAUUUUCCGGCAUUGUUAUUAAUUUUCUUUUGAAAAUAUUGGAAACGAUUUGAUAGAGAAUGGGAUCAACAACAACUCCAUGUUAUAUUUGAGGAUUAUGUCGAGGUGAAUUAAAUGGAAUGUGGCUAUUUUCAAUGUUCGACAAAAGUUUUGUUAAUGUUUGAUUUCCUGUACAUAUCUUCGCAUUAUUUGAAAAAUGAUUUAGUUUGCUUGUCAUAUUUUUCCAUGAGUUUAUGAUAUUAUGCUUAUCGAUCAUUUUUAUUAAGUUUUAACUAAAUUAUUUAUUUAUAAAUAGUUUUAGUUGAAUUAUUAAUUUAUUAAUUUAAAUAAUAUAACUAUAUCAAUUUUUUUUAAUUAGAUAAUGAUUCUUCUUAUUUGUUAUGUUUGCUAUAAUUUUAGUUAAUUUCGUUUAUUUAUCACAUUUUUAAGUUUUAACUAAGUCAUUGAUUAUUAUUAAUUUUUAAUUGAAUCAAUAAUUUGUUAAUUUAAAUAAUAUAACUAUUUCAGACUUUAUAAUUAGACAUAUACAAUAUAAUCUAUUUAAAUUAAUAUUCUAUAAAUUAAUAUACACUAAAAAUCUCUAUAAAAUAAUAUAAUUUUAUAGUCUCAAAUUGAGUUUUUGGUUCAAUUAGUAUAUCGAUAAAUUAAUAAAAAAAAUUAUAGUUUUAGUGUAGUCUCAAUAUUAUUAAUUUAUAGAGGUUUCAGUGUACUUAUUUUGCAACUUUGAUGAGUUAGGACAAAUUCUUAUUAUUCUGUUUUAAAAUCAUAUUUGUUAGAUAAUCAACCAUUGUUCUAACUAAAAAUCUGGUUUUCCAUUGAAGGAAUAAGCAUAUACUUUCAAGAUAUCGUUUUAUUCGUGAAUGUAUGGAUAAUGGACAAAUCAAAGUGGAGAAUGUGUCGGGUGUUAAGCACAAGGCCGACAUCCUUACCAAACCAUCGAGGAUUAAGUUCAAGUAAAUGAGAAGAAUAAUUGGAGUUUGAUAAAUUGAUCUCCUUAAUUCAAGUCAGAAUUAAAAGUGUGAAUGUUGGAUAAUUGCAAUACUUGUGUAGCAAGUUAAACACAAAAAAUAAAAUGUGAAGUUUACUAUUUAUAUUAAGUUUGUGUUUCUAUAUUCCACAUGUAAAAGGGAAUAUGGAAACAUUGAGAUUAGGUUUGUUUUUUACUUUAAACUAGGUGAUUUUCCCGGGUAUAAAUAUUUCUAAAGUAAAUAUAUUAUAAUAAUUUAUUGCUACUAACUUUUAAUUUUAAACUAACUUAUAAUUUAUAUGCAUCAUUUAUAUUAAUAAUAUUAUAUUUCUUUAAUUAUACAUAUGAUUUUAUGUAGGUUAUAUCUAAUCGGUUUUGUUGUUUUUCAGUCGAUUUAGUUAUCAUUUGGAUGAAUUAGAUUGCAUAUAUGAAUUCAACUGUAAUAUUUUUUAUUCUAUAUAUUAAAAUUUUGAUUAAUUUUUUAUUUGCAUUUAGGUGGUUGUUAUCUUAGAUAUGUAAAUAUAUUUUAUUGUGUAGAUUAUAUUUUAAAAGAAAUAAUAUUUUUGUUUCUAAUAUCAAGAUUAUCUGUGUAAAUUGUAUUUAAUGAAAUCACAUUAUGUAGAGAUUUAUAAUUUUCAUCUAAGAAAAUAUAGAUAUAAAGAAAUUAUUUUAUUAGUUGAAAAUUAUAUUUUAUGUUAUUUAAAAAUAUUUUUUAAAUGUAAUAUAACUAUUUUGUGAACUUUUCUUUUUUUAAUAAAUCAGAUUCUAUAUACAUAUAUUUCCGUUUUUCAAUUCUUUUUUUUUAAAUUUAUAAAAAAAUUUCUUUUUUAUUAUAUGUGUAUAUUUUUCGGAAUUUUUUUAAAAGAAAACUAAAUAAAAUAAUAAAUAAUAGUAUUUUAAAUGUACGUUAAUUCAUUAAGGGUAUUAGUGUAAUCAGCCACCGUGAGAGUUAACGUGGGAGUAACACAUAGGAAAUUAACUUCUCAAAUAAUAUUAUAGAGAUAUAGGUUUCAUAGAAAAUUGUUACAUAAGAUAUAAAACAAAAUAAACAUUGAGGGCUUUAUUUUUGAUACAUUUCUAAAUUAUAAAAAAAAUUGUUCUUAUAAUUCUUUUUGUUUAUAGAGAUUUGAUAUUAAAGCAGAAAAGCUUCCCGGUUUAUUAUUCAACUUUUUUUUCAAAUUAUAAUAACUAUAUUAUUCGAUUACUCGAUUCUACUUUAUCCUUAAGUAAAAAUUAAAUAUAUGUGUUAUUUUAUCUUUGAAAUUAUUUUAUUUUCAUUCUAUUAUAAAAUGUAAAUAGAAUAAAACUAGAAAAAUUAUUUCAAAUUCGAAUAAAAAAUUAAUGGAUUUGGAAUUUGGAAAAGCUAUUUAGCCUACAGGCAGCUAAUCCACAAGAACCUCAGCACCUUUCUCCCAUGAACAAUCUAUGAGUCACCUUCGAUACAAACCGGUUUGACAAUCCCGGUUUCCUUCAAUCCUUCACCGUCUUCCAAACCAUAUAAUACGCUCCGGUUUGAUACAAUCUUAUUUGGUUUCAAUUUAUAUAAAGGGCAAUUAUCAAUAAUAGCACAUUUUGAAGUUUAUGUCUUAAAAAUAGGACUAGAAGGAGAAAGUCACAAAAAUGACAUUCAUUAAAGAGUAAAAUAUUCCUAAUACCAUUGGUUUAAAAUUAAAUAAACAAACAAAAAUAAAUAAAAAUAAAAAAAAUAAAAAUAAAAAAAAUGAAAAAAAAUUAUUUUUUUCAUAGUUUCAGAUUACGUGUUUUCAGAUUCGAAAUUUUUAUAAUUUUUUUUUGAAUUUUUUUUUUCGAAUUUUCUUUUAUUUUUUUUUUCAAUUUUUUUUUAUAAUUUAAAAAUAUUUUUUAAAACUGUUUUUAAAAUUUUUAUUUUUUAUUUUAGUAUUUAUUUUUUAUAAAAUUUUAAACCCUAAUUCCAAAACUCCACCCCUUAACUCUAAACCCUAAGGUUUGGAUUAAUUAACCCAAGGGGUAUAAAUGUAUAUUUACCUCUUUAAUGAAACCUAUUUUUGUGAUUUUGAAUCUUGAGUGCUACUUUGGGAACAAAAACUUGGUUUAGUGCUAUCCUAGUCUUUUUCUCUUAUAUAAAACCGAAAACCAGCAAAAAAAAAAACAAAUUGAAAUCUAGUUGUUUCGGCCACUUUUAAAAAGGCUUUAUGAAGGCCCAAUAGCAAAUUAUAUCCUCUCUCUCUCUCUCUCUCUCUCUAGAUCAUUGCUCGACGGAGAAGACGGGGCUUCUUCUUCGAUCACAAGUUACAGCGUCUCUUUAGAUUCUGAGAUCGAGCUCUUAGUAGACGGGUUGUGGAUUUAACAGCAUACUAACUCGUAAGUACCGCGUGAUGAUGUCGCCGAAGCAAAUCUCCGACGAUCGAGGAUCUUCACAUUUCCGGUAUCUUCGAUUUCAUUCUCUCUGUUUGAUCCUGUAGAAGACGAACUUAACGGAAUUAAAUUCACAUUGCGAUGAGAUGUGAACUGUAGCUAAGGUUGAAUCAGUGAUUAAGAUCGAAUCUUGUGAAUAUAUAGAGAAGCUCCCUUUGAAAAGAAGUUCAAGAUUGAAUAUUCUUGAUUAUAAUUUUUUUGUUUCUUUCUUUGUAAUUCAUACUCAUAGUCAUGUGUUUUCUCUCUUUAUGUGCAGGCAUACCCCAUUCCAGAUAAUCCAUGUCACUGGGAACUUCUUUAGGAUAUGGUCAGUCUAUUCUAUGUACCGCUACUUGAAUCAGACUGGAGCGCCUGUUGUUCUCUUUCUCUUCUGCUGCCUGCUGCCCUCAUCCUUCAUCUUCUUGAUCCUUCAGAAACCGUGGAAAGGAAGGGCCCUCUCCAAUCAGCAGGUUUAGAUUAACUUGUGAAAUGGGAGAGUUUAGACUAUAUUAUUCUGUUUCUCUGAGGCGUAUUUUAUUUCUUUCAGAUUGUACCUUCUCUUAUCAAUGGAGUCAUCACAGCUCUCUACUUCAUCUUGUGGGGAAAGGGUCUUAAGUCGUGUGGACCUCUUAGGUAUUCUAGAGUUAUUAAGCAUCCACGCUACUUUCAAUUCUCUACUUUUGUUAUAGGUUAUCUUAGGAUCCAUCAUAGAUUUUGGCUGCUGAAAUGUAGGAAAGUUGAGAUGUCCCUCUGAGAAAGAUUGUCAUACUUAAACAGUUGGAUUGUAUCCUUUCUUUCAGAAAUCUGCCAAUAUAAGCUUCAUCAUCUGUCAUUUGAUAAAAAAAAAAAUUUAUCUUCAUUGAAAAUGUGGUUCUCCUUGCUAAUUCACUUUGUAUAUUAUUGGCAGAGCGAUCUUGUCAGAGUACUCUGGUGCUGUUCUUGGAGUGCUUUCUGGAGUACUAUAUGGGCGGAGAGGCCACGUGUGGAAAAAGGUAUUCAGAAUUUAACAGCUGCCACAAAUAUAGCCCCUCUAGUCAGUGGAACCAGUUAACUAGCAUGGUUGACAUAGAAUUUAUCCGUAGUGUUAUGUUUUUUAUGCUUCAGUUCAAUUGUGUCGCUGAAUAACUAUAUAGCUUUGACAUGUGCAAUAGCUUUUACCAAUUUAUGAUGUUUCUUCUGGUUUUUCCAUGUACGUAUAUUGCUUGCAUUAUACACUUAACGAUAUGUAGUUGAUUGCAAAAUAGCAAUUUAGUGUUUAUAUAUCAACAAUUGAUGUUUAUAUGUCAGACGACUAGGACCAAAUUUGUCUCAUAUUUCGAAAUCAUGUCAGGUAGGUGGCCUUGUUGCAAUGCUGGUUGCUCUUUUUUUCUUGUCUCAAGGAUGGGCGACAUCAUCUCUCUCCCCAUUUUAUAUCCUUUUACGCAAGUUCCUUCUCUUUUAUGUACAUACUCUCCAUCUUGUUGCAUUUUUUACUUCCUGUUGGUUUGUUUAGCUUAACAAAAAAUUACCAUCGAAAGAUAGUAGUGACACCAAAGAGGAAGAAUUAGUAACAGAACAAGCACUAGGACUGAUGGGAAUGAUGAUACCCGUUGUUGCUGGAAUCUUAUCAGCAUUAAGGCGAGUCAUUGCAAGGCGUGUUUCUCUUAAGGUGCUUUUAUCUCAAAUUCUCUUCAUUCCUUCCACCCAGUGCCUUUGCGCAUAACCAAUUGUAUUCUUUUACAGAACCAGCAAAAGAAACGACUACAUGCGAUAACCAUUACUUCUGCAACCUGUUUUCUGUUUCCUUUGGCCAUGUGGGACCUUGUCACAGUAAGUGGUACUACUUGUUUUGCAGUGGAGUUUUCUUGUAUGGUUUACUAACAUCUUUACUUCAGGGAUCGUCUUCUGGCAAAGCUGUGGAGUUGCCAUUUUCUGCGUGGGCUUUCCUUGCCACCAUUGUUUUCGGGAUCAUUUUAAUAUUCUAUGUUGACAAUAUCGCAGAAGAGAGGUUUCCUUAAAAGCUUUGCCUCUUCUACUAGCCUUUUUACUCACGCAAACAGAAGUCUUUAUAUGUUUGUUUGUUUUGUAGAUUGCAUAUGGUGUUUUCUUCCCCGAGGCAUUUAAUGGUAGCAGGAGCAUGCAUAAUCGUCAUGGAGAUUGCUUACGAGAUGGAUUUUUCCCUUCCUGGUUUCAUUGUCUGUUGCUUAGUGUUAGGGUUUGGAAUAUACGAAGCAACAUCUCUAGAACGCAGCAAAAAGGACUCUUCGAUUAAAUCAGAAGAUGGACCUAAUGGAAUCCUUGGUAACGACUUUGAUACUUCUCCAGUUCUUCCCAUAUAGGCUAGUGCCGAUGUUAAUCUUUACCUGUUUUCCGGUUCUCACCAUACUAACGAGGUUACUUUUGAAAUGUUCUUGUCCUUGACGAUGUAAAUCUUUGUCUGUUUUUUUACUCUCAAUUCUUGUAUCUUUUUCAUUUUAUCUUUGUUUAGCGUAUACAAUUUUGUUUGGUUUUGAGUAGACAGAGAUACACCUUGGAUAAUUAACAUUCUGCUUCAUUUUGACGAAAAAAUUGGUAAAUAGUAAAAAAACAUUUAUACUAAUAUUUGUAAAAUUAAAAUUUCAUAUACUGGUUUCACGUUAAAUUAAAUUCAGUUGCAAAUAUAUUUUAAAAUUAGACUUGGUUAUGGUUUUUUUUUGUUAAAAUCAGCUUUGUCCUAAAAUUUUCUUGUACACAAUUCACUUGCUAAAAAUAAUGACCAGCAUAGUUAUGAAGCAAAGCAUUGAUGAACAAAGAACACUUCACCUUUCAGUGAGUCUCUUUCCUCUCUCAAUGCCCUUUUAGCUCACAUUUUCGUUGUUGUGGUCCUACUUGUUAUUACUACAGCUGUUAUGUACGUGUUGUGUUAUUGUUAUGUUGGUGCCUUAAUUUCAACUUUCUUUUUUAGUUUCACAUGUCGACAUUUUUCCUGUAAGAUAAGUCUAUUAUUUUCUGCAGACUUUUUGUUGACACUCUUCUUUGGCUUGACCCCUCCGUUCUACUUUCUCUGUGUUGUCCCUCUCUUGAACACGCUCUGUUUUUGUUCUCACUCACUAUGUUAUUGCCUUCACUCUCACGUUAUUUUCGCACUUGUGUAUAACCGAACACAAGCGCUCACACAGACUCUAGUUGCACAACCCACUCAUCUUUGACUUCUUAUUGUUGUUGCAUUGCUCCUUCUUGUGAUACGGUUUACAUAUCGGAAUUAGUAACCCAGUGAUGACCAAGAGAAAUACUGAUAAUAUUGAUAAGAAACUUGAGAGAAUUGCUAGAGAGUACUCUCACCUCUCCAUGAUCAUGAGUGAUCUAAUUUCUAGAUAACCCUGUCACUCAUUCUUACACUUUACACUUCUAUAUACAGUACUAGUUACUAUUAGAUUAGGGUAAAGACUUAUGACCUAACCCAUUAAUCUAAUUGCCACUAAAUGGGCCAGGUAACAUCUUGUUCCUCCGUUUCUUGCGCUUCAAGCUUCUUCUUCUUCUCACAGAUUCUUCUUUAUUCUUUGUAGGUUCUUCUCUACUACUUUUCUUUGUUUUCUUCUUUUGUAGAUUUUAAUCAAAGAUUCAAUUCCAACAGUUUUUCGGUCUUGUUUUGCUUGUACCUAAGCGACUCAAAACUUUUCUCCUCUUUUACUGCUCCCUAUCGUUUGAUUCACAUGGCAAAUGUUUCAUCUUUUCAACACUUCAAGUUCGUCUUGUUUGCUCAUCAUUACUUGAUAUUAUUAGAUAUUUUCUGUACAAUUGUAUAUACAAACAAACGCGUUUGUCUGAUCCCAAAUAUGGGUUUAGUUUUCUUCCCUUUUUCACGGUUCAUAACACCUGUAAAGUUUUGAAACUUCUCGUGUUGUUAAAGAGAAAAAGCAAGAUGAACACGACAAAUCGGAUGCUUAAAGAAGAAGAGAUAGAGUUAGGUUUAAUCCACAAUUCUCAAAAGGUGCGUUUAUUUAAUUAUUUUAAUUUAAAUUCAUCUUAAAAUGACCUGUUUUUAUUAGCUGUUCUGAGUCAUUCACACGCUGACUAUGGUGACUCUGAUUGGGUUACGGUCUAAAUGGGGAUUCACAAAGACUUUGAAAGAUGGGCAAGCAGAUUCAAAUUAUUUGUUGGUGAAGGUUUGAUAAAGAGAGUCUUAUUAAUACAUGAAUGGAAUUUACAUAGUUUCGCUGUGUGGGCAUGAAUUCACCGUUAUCCCUCCAGAAAUAUGCAAUGCUUGAACCGAAAUGUUUAUAAACUAAAUUUAAACUACUUUUCUUUUGGUUUUUAAAUUAAAAAUAUUUGAAAUGAUGCAAACAUGGAAGGAUAGAAAAAAUAUAGAGGAUGGUUUUUUUUCUUUUUAUAUGAAAUGCAAAUAAAGAAAACAAUUAAAAACACUUAUUUUUAAUGGUAUUUCUGUGUAUGGAAUGCAUAAGAAUUAGGGCAUCUCCAACCCUACUCCAUUUUUGACUCCAAACUCAAUUAUGGAGUAAAAUUUUCUCCAACCCCACUCCAUAUUCAACUCCAAAAUGGAGUAAUAGCUAGGGUUACUCCAUUUAUGGAGUAAUCUUACUCAUUACUCCAUUUUGGAGUUGAACUUUUUAUAUUUAUGAAAUGGUCCUUUUGAUUUUUAAUGUUUUUAUUUCAUACUUAAAAUAACAUAAUAACAUAAAAAAAUAUAAUACUCCACAAAAGAUUACUACUUUAUAGUUUACAGAAAAUAUGCAUAAACUCAUAAAAGUCAAAACUAAAAAUAAAAAAAUAUAAAAUAAAUAUAAUGUAAUAUAAAUAAGUAAUUAAAUAAUUAAUUCGUUAAAUUGUUUUCGAAACUACCAAAAGCGGUGAAGUAUUAUUCAAACAGAAUAGAUGAGUUUUUUAAUUUUGUGGGUCAAAAUUUUGAUUGAUAACAUUUGUACUUGUUGAACUUGAUAUAUGCACAAACAAACAAUAGGACCCAAUACAUAAUUCAAAUUACAAAACAAAACUUUAUUUUUUCUUUAUGUUCUUUUAAUGCAUAAAAAUAUUUUUGAAUUAGAAAAAUUGCAUAUGAUAAAAUCUGCACGAAUUGAAAUUGGAAGAUAAUCUCUAGUUGUAUUUUUAAUGAUAAAUAUUUAAUUUAAAUAAAAUAUAUUAUUAUAGAAAUUUUGUAAACAUAAAAUAGUUGGGUUAAUUGUUAAUUUUUUUUUAAGUUGAAGGUACUAAUAACAAUUAUCAACUAAAUGAAAAAAGAAUCAUUUUGUUUGGAGUAAAAAAUGGAGUAAUACAUUGGAGUAAAAUCCAACUCCAUUUUAGAGUUACACCAUUUUGGAGUAAAAUUUGGAGUAAUACAUUGGAGAUGCUCUUAGAAACAAAAGUUGGACAACUUAAUGCAAACAAGCUAUUGAUCUCUUAUUUAAUUUUCUAUGACCUAACACAAAAAUGACUUGCCUUACCUUCCCUUUUUCUCUAGUUUUCAAUUUAAGAUAAACAAGAACAAAAGCAGCUAGGUUUUUAUAGGUUUUUAAAAUGAAAGCAAAUGCAAAAGAAGGAAGCAAUGAUAGAGUUAACCAGAUUCCAGAGUCUUUGGCCUUUUGAUAGCAGUGGAGGAUAGCCUUUUUUGUCUUUAUGCUAUGGUUGACAUAUCAUUUAGUUUUAGAUAGCGUUUGUAUAUUUGGAAACGCUAUGAUAGAGUACUGUAUAUAAAAACGCUAUGAUAUCGUAUUUUAAUAGCACAUAAUUAAAAACACUAUAUUUGCAUUUUUGAAUCUCUAAACCCUAAACGAGGUUUCAACCCUAAAUUCUAAACACGAACUUUAAACUCUAAUAUUCUAACGUCAAAUCUUAAAUUUAACCUAAAAUAUUAAAUAUUAACUCAAAGUUAUAUAUUUUCAUAAAUAAAUCUCAAAUCUCUAAACCCUAAAGGCCUAAACCCUAAACCAUAUACUCAACCUCUAUUUUAAACUCAUAACUUAAAAUCUAACCCUAAAUAAAAAAAUUUCAAACUUAAAUCUGAAUCCUUUAGUUUUCUUAUCUUUCUUCUCAUUGGUCACUUUUUCAAUGACAAGGAUUACAAUUUUUAACCAUUGAUUAUUUUUGAUCUAAAGGCCUAAAAUCUCUCUCGUAGAUCUCAUCUCUUUCAUUCUUCUUCCUUUACAGGUUCACCAUCAGACUUAACAAUAUUCUCAAACAAAUCCGAUAACCCAACUCCACCCUCAGACCCAGCCAAACCUCUCCCUUUCCAACCAUUAGCGUCAGGAUCGAGACCCAGUCACCAGAUCUACCCCUCCUGUGUUACGAUUGGUGGGAGAUGUAGCUGUCGUCGUCGGCGUUGUUCUUACACAGAGCUUCGAUGUCGACCGUACAAGCAUCUUUGUCACAAAUCUGGAUUGGAGACAAGCUCAAAUAGUGACGAACCGGAAUGGAAGUGCGCCAGAGGUGAAGGAUGAGACAGCGGAUGCUGAGGCGGAAGCACGACUAACAGAGGCCGAGGCAGAGGCGGAAGCGCGAGUAACGGAGGCAGAGGCGGAGGUCAUGGAAGAACACGACAAAGAAGGUGGUGGUGCGGCGGGAUAGGUUUAGAUUAAUUUUGUUAUUAGGUUUAGUUUAUUAAUUUUGGUUUUGUUAUUAGGUUUAGUUUAUUAAAAUUGUAAAUCAUAUUUUUGUAACCCAGUUUAAUUAUAAAUAAAUUUAAAUAAUAAACAAAAUUUUUAUAUAGAAAUCAGUUUAAAGUUUUAAUUAUGUUCUUUUUAAAAAUAAUAGCUAAAAAUAAAUAAAUUUUAAAAUAAAUAAUUUUGGUGUAAAUAAUAGCAAAAAUAAAAUGCUAUUAAAAAAUAUUUAAUUGCAUACAAUAAAACGCUAUAAUAUAUAAUAAUAAGAUAGCAGUGUGAAAAACUGCUAUCUAUUGUGUCUGGCCUAUUAUGACGGGCGAUGAUACAACGCUUUAUAAACCGCUAUCGUAUCGUUAGAUAGCGUUUUUCAUCCGCUAAGAAAAGUUUUUUUUCUUAUAGUGAUACCAUAUGACACAAAAGCGGGAUGUGAUAUUGGUGGCCAAUGGUCGACUUGGUUAAUGCCGGUGGCAGAUGGUCGACUUGGUCGAUGGCCGGUGGUCGAUGGUGCGUGAGUGGUGUCUUGGAUGAAUCAAAGUAAACCUGAAAAGAAAAGAAAAGAAUAACAAAUGAAAUGAUGAAAAAUACUAAUAAACAGAGAAAAUAAAGAGAUAAGGAUGGAGAUGGUCGAAUGGAAGUAGAAGGAUGGUUGAAUGGUCGAUGGGAAACAAUCCAACUGAUUGUACACAGUGGCGGACGGAGAGAAGGAGCUACGGGGGGACACGUGCCCCAUCCACUUUUUAUAUUUCCUGAACAAUCAGCUUGAUAUUUGUACAAGUGGCCCCAACUCAAGAAAUGUGUAUAAGGAAAAAUUGUGUGUGCCCCCAAUUAUAUUUGAUCCUAGAUACACCCUUAAUUGUACAACUCAUUUUUAGACUGAAUCAGUGAAAGAGAUAGAAUCAGUGGAUACGGAAUGACUUGCUCAAUCAUUGGCACAAAAAGAAGACGUUGAAUCACACAACAUGUUGAGUUAGUGGGCUUCAAUAACAUCAAGCGAAUCACACACCUAAUACUAUUGAGAAGAAGAAUCAUCCACAGCCACCUAUCCAAGCUUAUUCAUUCACAGCGAGCUAUCUCCACGGUCACCCAUCCACGAUAAAUGGAGACAAGUGAACCUAUCACACAUCAACUUAUCCAUUCAACCGUUGAAAACAAUGACUUUGGAAGUUGUUCCUUCUCUCUUUACUCAAAAAACAUGCAUGUUGUCUUUAUUCAUUAUUACCUUUUGUCCAAAUCUAGAUUAGUUUAAAUAUGUGUUGUCACCAGAAAUUACAAGUUAAGGGAAUAAUAUUCUCCUUCUUUACUCUCUCUCUUACGAACAAUUUUCUACACUCAAAUCUAUCUCUCUCUUGUUCUUGGACUGUUCAUCCUAGUUACUUAUUUUCUUACAAAUACUACGGAAUAGCACAACACGAAGAAUUCACAACUUUGUGAAGAAAUUAAGAUGAUUUCUUAUUACUUUAAAAAUGAUCAAGGGUGAAUAAUAGAAUGAGAGUAGGCUGAGCUUAUAUAGGUCGUGGCUCAUUUCUCAAAAAAAUAAGGAAAAUAAGGAAACAAAUCAAUAAAUCUAAAAGCUACCGUUACGUGUGGUUUAAGGGAUAGUGCUGAAUGGGAUUCUGUAACUUCUUUAUAUUCUGGAAAGCUUUGGCAUAAACUGAUGAUGUUUGAGAACGUUCAGAUUCGUUGCAUGUUCCUUCAAGACUCCACUGAAGAAAAGGAAAGAGCCGUUGGAGCUUUUGGACCAAUAAUGUGCAUGAAUCCAAAUAUGCAAGGUCGGUCCAUGUGAAGUUCAAAGUAAUCACGUGUGUUUUGGAUGAUCUUCUAAUGUCUUUAGCAUUACUUGGUUCAUGUUGAAAGUCUCAUUGUCGCCAAAUCUUGGUUUGGAAUUGAUUGAACCAAUGUGUUGACCAUUUUUCUUAAAUAGCUCCGGGUUGUUUAAUUGGUGUUCAUUAAGGAUCAUCCUGAUCUAGUGUGUGAUGGUGCUGCUUAGGAUUUUGUAGAAUGCUUCUAAAAGCUGAAAAGGUCGCAUUGUUGCCAAAAUUGAUUUUGGUUUGAUGUCAAAUCCGAAUCUUCCACACAAGGCAAGUGUGGAAAUUUUUUGAACCAUCUGAAUAAAUGGAGAAUAUUUUGAGAUUUUUGUGAGUGUUUCUCUUGAUAUUGGACUUGUUGGAUUGCAAGAGAACCAUAUUGUAGACCGUGAUUGGAUUUUGUGCUGUAUGAUUCAUGGUUGGGUCUGUUACUUCUUCAAUAGGCUAAUACUGGCAGAUGGACAUGUUAAGAAUUAUAAAUACCAUAUCUUUCUGGAUCAUGCAGCUUUUAAGAUAAUUUCACUUGGCUUUGAAACAUUAUUGAGUACAGAAUUCAGGACAAUUGACUUAUGCAUGUAUGUCUUGGUCAGUCCGUUGGUUGUUUGAGUGGAUGUCUGAUCGACCUCUGAUUGAGCUAAUGUUCUGAAUAUGUCCUUACUUAGACUAACUGUUAGAAAUCUUCCAUCAUUUAUAUGGUAUUUGCAUUCAUUGUAAAAAACAAAAAGAAUUACGGUCAGUUCCAUUUGCAUGGGCCAACUUGUUUUAUCUCCAAUACUUUAUAUAUUUUUAUUCUAACUUUAACUGGAUUAUUUAAAAUUCAUUUGAUAUAUUUGAACUAUUUCUAUCGAAAAACAAUAUAUUUUAUGUCACAAAACAAUCUUAAAUAGUCUUACAACAAUAUAUUAUAAAUUUGAACGACUAUGCCUAUUCAAUUAGAUUUAAGAGUGCAGAACCAAAGGCAAACCAAAAAUUAUGUAUAUUUGAAUGCCUAAACGAAAUUUUUGUUUUGGUUUACUUUGAAUUUUUAGCUUGUUUUCCUACAAAAAAUUUCUGGUUCAAAUUUGCAACCCAGAAAUUUUUUAUUUAAGUAUCAUUUAAAAAAAAUACAUUUGUUCAAAAAUUAAGAAAACUGUAGAAGGAUAUUUUACUCUUAUCCACAUGCCUAUCUUAUAUAUGAGUGCGUCCACAAAUUUGCUAUCACAAUUCACACAUUUCAAGUGGGCUAAUCCUUACCCUCCACUGAUUAACUAUGUGUGGGAGUGAGAUGUACAUGCAUACGUUUUUUUAGGAAAUCGCUUUGAUAUAUUAUAUAUAAAGUAGAACAUUUAGUUUUUUUUUUGAGACACCAAGUUUUUUUUUUUGGAAACACUAGUAGAAUAUUUAGUUAACUCUUGAAAACAAUUAUAACAAAAAUAUAAGAAUAGAGUUCCAUAUCUAUGUAAUAUGUCUUAUUUCCAAUGAUAAUAUACAAAUAAUAUGUAUAUAGGUCUCAUAAACUCCACGUUAGAAGUGUGAAACAUCAAAUGAUGAGAUUGAAAUCUUGUUGAAGCCUUACAAAUUUAUGGUAAAUAUGUAUGCGAGUGUGACGACCAUAUGAUACAAUGAUUCUUAUGUGAAUCUUUAGUGAACUAAUUAACUGCAUGUAACAAUGUUUUCUUCGUUCUAGAAAAGAUUACCAUGCAUAGCGUUACUUAUUCCGUUUUGUAAAGUUAGUUUGACUGUUUCUUACUCUUAUACCAGUAAAAAUUGAUAAUAACCAUCGGUAACCAAGAAGAAAAUAUGCAAUAUAGAGAUUACAUGUUCAUAAAUCAGACACUUGACAAUCCGAUAUAACAUGCCUCAGAAACAAAAAGCCAAAGAAAACAGACAAAUGGAAAUGAAAUGAGUAGAUAUUAUUUAUGAAAUGUCUUACAACGCGAAUUAAGCACCGGUGAAGCUUGGUGGUUUGUAGGCGAUGAAACUGAUGCACUGGACUUGACGGUUGUUGUCGAAUCCAAUGAUCCUGAUGAAGGCGUUAGGGUACUCCGUUUUGCACUCUUGGACUUCCUUCAACACUUGAGCAGAGUCGGUGCAUCCGAACAAGGGAAGCUUCCACAUUGUCCAGUAACGGCCAUCGUAGUAUCCGGGGGUGCUUCCGUGCUCACGGUACACAAAUCCAUGCUACACACACAUGAGAAUUCCAAUCAAAAUCAGGAUUGAGAUUAUGUGAUAAAAGAUGUUUAGAUCCAAAAAAAACUUCUAUUUUUAUUACCUCCAACUCGAAUUCAACACAAGGAAUCCACUUGUUGCGGAGAAGGUAGUCGACUUCCUUACCCAAUUCAACUUCGGUAAGGUCAGGAAGGUAAGAGAGGGUCUCAAACUUCUUCUUUCCAACUGGUGGCCACACCUACGAAACGUAUUUCCAAUUAAUGAAUAUUAGUUCACUUUUGUAUAUACUGUUUAACGAUUCUAGGUAUCUAAAUGUACUUUUGAAUAGGAUUCUGUUCGAAUCUACCAGUUGCGUGUAAUAAAAGACAAGCCUAGCUCUAGACUCUCUAGUGACAUUUACCUUCAUGCAGCUAACUCUUCCUCCGUUGCUAACGAUGGAGGUAAUGUCAUUGUUGGCCUUGCGGGUGACUGGGAAUGCAGAGGAAGACUUCAAGCCGGUGAAUGGAGCGACCAUGGUGGCUUGAGCCGGUGAGGUAACCACAGCUGCGGAGGAGAGCAUAGAGGAAGCCAUUACUACUUCUUCUUCUUCUUCUUUUUUCUUAACUUACUUGUCUGUCUAUUGCUUCGGUUAUCUAUAUAUAGUGAGAAGCGCAAGAGGUAUAAAGCCCUAAUGAUCGAAGGAUCAAAAUUUCAUGAUAUCGUCGUUAACUGCCACAGGAUUAAAGAAAGGUGUAGAAAUAACAUUAUCUUAUCUUAUCUUGUAAGAAAACGUAUGAAUGUGUAUGGUUACUCGUCUCAACUUGAGCCAAUGCUUUUGGCUCCUUCCUAUUAAGAGAGGACAAUUCUGACGCAUGAUCUACAUUUCAAUGUUCGCGGACCUUCUAUUUAUAUGAAUUAGUUUCGCUUAAUUUGAUUAGGUUCAUUAUUAAAUUCACAAUUGAAAUUACUAUACGAAAUGUACUUGAAUUAUACAUGUAUGUCGUACUAAUUAACUUAUGAGUAAUGAGACUACUGUAAUGGUCAUGUCCAUAUUCAAACGAACAAAAACAAAAGAAUAGUGGGUCCGAUUGGUAAGUUAAAAGUAAAACCGUAUAAAAACUGUUACUUUUUUUUUUUGACACGAAAAACAAACUGUUACUUAAUAGUUAAAAACUAUAAACUAAAUCAAUAAAAGUGGUACCAAAACACUAAAUGUAACGUUUUUAGGUAAUGCUUUGUGCAUCUCUCUGUGAUGGGUAACUUCCUGCGGAUUCAGGUAGUUCGGUUCGACUAAAAUCUUGUUGAACAUAAAAAAAAUUCAGUUCAGUUUGGUAUUUGGGUAGUUUGGUUUUUAAAAUUUUACCGAAACUAACUAAAGUUUUUGGUUCUGAUUAUAUUUCGGUUAAAAAUUUGGGUAAAAUUGGUUAAUUCGGUUAAUUCUGUUAGUUUGGUUAAUUCGGUCCAAUGUUUUGGUUUGGUUAAUUCUGUUAGUUCGGUUCAAAAUUUUGAGUAAUUUUAGGUAGCUUGGUUACUUCGAUUCAAAAUUUUGGUUAGCUAGGUUAGUUCGGAUUGAAAUUUGGGAACAAAAUUUUUUUUGAAACCGAUUACCGAACAGAACGAGCCAAAAACCAUUUUCUUAUAAACAGGCUGAACCAAACAUGCUGAACAGAACCGAACUUCUCAAUUAAAUGAAAUUUCGGAUGCCUUAAUCGGAAUGAUACAAGAUUACCAAUUAUAUUUAGCUCUGGUCAGAUAGUGUUGUAUUUUUUAUGAUUUUUUUAAUGAAUGUAAAAGUUAUUAAUCCAAAAAAUCAUCCUUACAUUGAAAGCAAUGUUUUAUAAGAUUAAGUUUCGGUUAAAUGUAAGAUUAGUUUUUAGAUUUUUGAGUUACUUUUUGAUGUAUAAUGUAUUACAUUUGAGUUACAAUUUUGAGGGAUUCCUUUGGUAAAAUUGACAAAUCAAGUGGUAAUUCAACAUCAAGAAAAAUACGAUGUGUUAAGAUUUGAGUUAGUAUGUUUUUUUGUUUUUCAACUAAAACCCUACGUUCAUUUUUGGCUAUAUUAAACAUUUUGUUUUCUAAAUUAAUUUAAUAGUUAUAUAUGUUUACACUCGCCGGAUGAGAGAGAGAGAGAGAGAGAGAGAGAGAGAGAGAGAGAGAGAAGGAAGUAGUUGAUAUAUAUAUAUGUAUCUUAUUUUCAAUGUCUACCAGUAGUGUGUACAAAAGAUCUCAUAAAGUCCACGUAAGAAGUGUAAACUAUCAAAUGAUGACCAUUUUAUGAAUGAAUUUAAUCUAUAUUAAAUAUACAUAAACCCGUAUAUGAUACUAUUGUGAAUGUGAUGAUAAAAAGAUAAAAUGAUCGUUAUUUGAAUCUUUGAUGACCUAACUAACUUCAUCUGGAGAGAGAGAGAGAGAGAGAGAGAGAUGAGGGAGAGAAGAAGGCAAAUAUGUUUUUAUAUAAAACUUUUAUGACGGAAAAGGGUCGUUAGAAUUCCGUCGAAAUAUUUUGGUAUUUGGCAGUUCACAAAAAUUUUGGUUGUUCCUUUUCCCAAGUACAUUAAAAUUCCGAUGAAAUUACGAUGACCUUAUAUUUUUCGUCGAACUUUGUGUUAAUUGGUCAACUGACCAAGUCGGAAACAAGAAUAUGCUAUAUUCGUCAGAAGUUUUUCAGAAAAAUACUUUCAAAAUUCUGACGAAUAUAGAAUAUUCUCUGCAUGCUUUUCAAUUGGUUGAAAAAUAGAUCCAUCAGAAUUUUGUCGGUAUAUUCCAAUUAAAAAGAGGGUUGGGGUUUCAAAACAAUUGAAAUUUGACCCACAAUAAACUUUAUAACUUUUUGAUAACUUAGAAGGAGUUAUCUGCAUGUUUAAGUAUAUAAGUGUUUAUACGAGAUCAUAUUACAAAUAAUUGAUAUUGUAAGUUGGAUUCUCGAAAUAUGUUUUUUAAGUAUAUAAAUGCUUAUGAGAGAUAAUACAUAUCCGCGGAUAUAUUUGUAGAGGAUUUUAUAACUUGUAAAAAUGGAAUGCUUUUUAACUCACAUCCUAUUAUACACUUAAUAUGUGUUUUUUUGACCUCAUAGGUAUCCGGUUUUACAUUAAUAUUAACUAAAUCAUAUCGGAAACAUUUAUUCGCUGGAAUUCCAUCGGAAUAUUCCGACAAAAUUCCGACGACAUUGGUAUAUUCCGUUGGUAUAAUUCCGAUGGAAAUGAAACCCCAUACCGAAACACCAAAAUAAGUGUUUUCGUUGGAAUUUCGUUUGAAUAUACCGACAGAAUACCGACGAAAUAAAGAAAUUUUUGAAUAUUAAAUAAUUUUGGAAUACAUUGUAAAUUUCUUAAGGCCAACAACCAAAAAAAUACAAAUAUUUUAUUCAACUCCAACAACCAAUACAUAAAAAAACUACACAAUUGAAAGUUAAAUAUAUGAUUACAGAUUUUCUAAAUAUGUUAAUCUACCCAUAAUCCGAAGAAUAAUCAGACGGACAUGAAUCCGAAUCUUCGUCAAACUCUCCAACCUCAGCAUCUGACUUGAAGUGUACAACAGCAUCAUUUCCAAACUCGGUAAAAUCGCAACAAGUUAAAAAUUUCUAAUCUUCAACUAGACUUACGCUGAUUCUAGAGUUUGGUUGCAAUGUGUCAUGAUCAGAACUUCCAAAUAUAAUCUUGAUUAUUGAAGUUUUGAACACUUAUGGUAUUCUUUGUUUUAUCCUAGAGUUUGAAACUGAAUACAACAUAGAGUAAGGAGUGAACUCUGGACGAGUGGCUGACUCAUUUGGUGCUAAAAAGACAAUAUUUCAAGUACUUUGAUAGUUUGUGUUCUUCUUGUUUAAGUCUUCAAGUAUUUUCUGUUUCUGGUGUGAUUUGAAAACUUUGUUUCAUGGAGCUAUGUUUGUUUCAUUUUCUGUGUUGGAAAAUUAUGUUUUAUUUCCUGGCUUGUUUUGCUUUGACAUUUUGAUUAAUGAGUCUGGUUUCAUUUAACAUUUCAUUUUCUAGAGUUUUUUUAUUUUAUUUUGGUUAAUCAGAUGUCGUUUGGGUAACAAGUCUAGUUUCAGUUUUUAGUUAAAUAGGGUAAUAUUUAACCGAACCAAAUUUUACCCAUUUUUGGGUUAUAUAUGGUUAGUUUCAUCAAAAAAUUUAACCGAUCCGAAACUGAACAAUACAUCGACCAAACACUAUUUGGAUACAUUUUUCAAAUAACCAAACUACUCAGAACCAACCUGAUUACCCAAAAUGUCAGGCCUAUCAGAAACAUGUUUUGAUACCAAUUGAAAGUGUGAAUGAGGCUAGAGUAAAGUGCCGAAAACAUUAUUUUCCAGUUUACUAGAAUAAAAACAAAUACAACUAAUUUGUAAACCCGUAAAUCAAGUACAAUCCUCCUAAAAUGCCGUUGUUUUCUAUUGCAAGAACUCAUUAGGGUAACCUAAUUGUAAUCUAAAAAUCCCCAAGAGCCUAGAAUUCAAUUCUAGAAUUCUCUCAAAGUUUGUUAACACCUAGCGGACAGCAAUGACACCAAACGCUUGAUCACACAAGCACACAAAUCUCUAUCGGUUUUCUUAUUCUCCAAAGUCCAUUAUUCUUUAUAAGGCUCAUGCUCCUUGUAUAGAAUACCUAAACCUGCAUCACAAGUUCUUCCCAGAAAAUUUUCCUUAUUUUUAAAUUAUAUUUCUUUUUUCCUUUUUUUUCCUGCAAACAAACUUCUAUUUUACUUAAAGUAAAUAUUCAGUUGUUAAAAGGUCUUGUUUAUGUAGAUGUUCUAGUUCACAUUUGCAACGCAGCAAUGUUUUACUUAACUACAAUUAAGAAUUAAGAAAUAUAUAUAUAUGUGUGUAUCUCUUAUAUAUUAAAAGAAAAACAUUACAACAUUUGAGGUAUACACAUAUCAUCACCAUAAUAAGUUUCAGAAUCCUAAAAAAACAGAUUGGUUCAUCUAAAUAUAUAAUAAGUUUUUUAUUAAAUUAAUCAUAAUUCAUCAUUAAUAUUCAUCAUUCUUUCCUUAAAUAAAAAUUACAAAAUUUUCUAAUGUGGCUAAAGUAUAUAUGAAAAUUAAUAAUACAGAUUUAAUAAAAAUCAUUGUAUCAUCUAUCAUAUUUGUUUAAUUUCAAAUUAUUAAAAUAAAUUAAACGACCACAUUAACCAUAUAAUAAAAAUUUAGAUUUUUCUGUAUAUGUUAUAUAUUUUUUUUAAAACGACCAUCAAUUAUUAAAACUGUCAAAACUCUCACAUUCAAAUUAUUGUGAUCCAUUGUUUAAGAUUUUUCCUAUGAUAAGAUACAAAUGCUUACAAAAUAAUUUAAUUAAAAAAUCUGAUUUAAUAAAUAUUAAGAUUAAAAAAUAUAUAUAUUAAUAUCUUUUAAAUUAAACUAUAUAACAUAUAGAAUACAUAAAUAUUUUAAUUUUGAAAUUUGUUUUGAAUUUUUUUUUCUUGAUAAAUAUUUGAACAACUAUUGACAAAUUAAUAUUUAAACUUAAAAUAUUUCAUUGAUUUUUUUAAAAAAUAUAUAAAUUAAUAAAAUUAUUAAUUUCAGAGUGAAAAUUUUGUUAUCAACGAUUUAAAGUUUUUGGUUAUAAAAAUAUACAAAUGAUCAAAAAACCUUAUGAGUAAAAACAUCAUUUAAUAGAUAUCAAUAUUAAAAAUAAAUUAUAUAUAUAUAUAUAUAUAUGUUAUUAUCAUUUUUUUUGGACAUUGAUACUGGUGAAAAAAAGGGCAGAGCGAGUGAAAAAAAAAAGCAGAGUCGUCGUCUUUUCACCUUCUCCGGCCGCGGCCUCUCGCCGUUGGUUCCGUGAGAAGGUGGUUGCAUGUUUCUUCUAGUUUUAUUCUCUUUUUAGUUUUCGAUGGUCUCAAAUCUGAAUAGAAGCUUCAUGUCUUCGGAUUGAAGUGAAGAGAUUCAGAUCUGGACGCAACAGACAUCGAUCUUGUCAGAUCUAUGGCCUGUGGUGGUUGGCUAGUGGUUACCGGCUGUAUGGAGAAGAAUCGUGUUAAGUAAGGCUUGGGUGGCCUUGCUGUGGUGUGGAGGCGCGUAGAAGGCGCGUGCUGAGCCCUUUCAAAGUCCAGUGGCGAGUUUAAGUUGGAAUUGGAGGAGGUCAGUGGAGUACAGGCGUAGAGGAGGAGGAGGAGGCGCAGUCUACAGCAACGGUUAUCUAUUAGCUAACAGUCCGGUUUGUUUCUUGUAUGAAUGGGUUUGAGUCUCGUCUAGAUGUUUGUAGUCAUCUGCCUUUAUGGUCUGUGUCUUCUAGUUUAUGUGUUGUUUUCUAUAUUUUAAUCUUUGGCUCCAGAUAGUAUUGUUUACUAUGCUGGCUACUGGCUCCGGAAGAAUCUUUGUCUUGCCGGCUUAAUGUAACCUUUGUUCAAGUUUCAAUAUUAAUCCAACAGAUGACAAAAAAAAAUGUUAUUAUCAUUUAAAAAUUGAAUUAUAUAUCAUAUAAAAUAGAAAGUGAUUGUUUUGGUUAAUAUAAUUUAUUAUACCAGUUUAAUUAUAUACAUAAUAGUUAAUGAAUUUUUAUUUAUUCUUUAUUAUUUCUUAAAAGGUAAAAGAACAUAUAAUACAUAAUAUAUAUAUUAUAAUGUUCAUCUUCCGCAAGGCGCAGAUUUUCACUUAGUAUUUGUUAAAUAUUAUGAUAAAUUCUUAUCCACAUGCCCUAUCUUAUGUAUGCACACCGUCCACAAAUGUGUCCAUCAAAGAUUUCAAGUGGACCAUCCUUUCCCCCAGUGGUUAACAAUGUGUGUGGGUAUUAUAGAAAAGUAGAAAAUUUAUUAUCUUUUUCCUUCAAAAGAAUUAACAAAAAUAAGAACAAAGAUAUCUAGGAAGUAGUUUAUAUAUAUAUAUAAUACAUGUAUCUUAUUUUCAAUGUACCAGUAGUGUGUACAAAAGAUCUCAUAAAGUCCACGUAAUAAGUGUUAAAUAUCAAAUGAUGACUAUUUUAUGAAUGAAUUGUAAUCUAUAUUAAAUAUACAUAAACCCGUAUAUGAUACUAUUGUGAAUGUGACGAUAAAAAGAUAAAAUGAUUGUUAUUUGAAUCUUUGAUGACCUAACUAACUUCAUCUGAAAUUAUAUUCCUAGGUACUGCUGUUUUCCUAUUCUACAAAAUAUACCACUAACAUUAUCUAACCUGUUUUGUUAAGUUAUUUUGACUGUUUUCCUAUCCCAAUAAGAGUUGAAAACCUAAUAGCCAUCGGAAAGUAACCAAGACGAAGAAGCAAUAUAGAGAUUACAUGUUCACAAUCACACAUUUGACAAUCCGAUAUAGAAUGUCUGAGAAACAGAAAACCAAAGGGAAAAGAAACAGACAAUUCGAAAUGAAAUGAGCAGAGAUUAUUAUGUGAAUGUCAUAGCAAAUUAAGCACCGGUGAAGCUUGGUGGUUUGUAGGCGAUGAAACUGAUGCACUGAACUUGACGGUUGUUGUCAAAUCCGAUGAUCCUGAUGAAAGCGUUAGGGUACUCCGUUUUGCAUUCUUGGACUUCCUUCAACACUUGAGCAGAGUCAGUGCAUCCGAACAAGGGAAGCUUCCACAUUGUCCAGUAACGUCCAUCAUAGUAUCCGGGUGUGCUUCCGUGCUCACGGUACACAAAUCCAUGCUAUACAAACAUGAGAGUACCAUUCAUAAUAAGAAUUCACAUGGUCUAAUAAAGGAUGUUUAGAUCCAAAAAUUAUUUUUUCUUUAUUACCUCCAACUCGAAUUCAACACAAGGAAUCCACUUGUUGCGGAGAAGGUAGUCGACUUCCUUACCCAAUUCAACUUCGGUAAGGUCAGGAAGGUAAGAGAGGGUCUCAAACUUCUUCUUUCCAACUGGUGGCCACACCUACAAAUUAAAUCACAUUUCCAGUUGGUGAAUACUAAGUCACGUUUGUAUAUAUUGUUUUGGACAUUAAUUGAUCCUAGGUACGUUAUAUACAGUUUUCAAUGGGAUUCAUGUUCGAAUGCACCAGUUACGUGUAAUAAAGGACAGGCCUGCAAUUAUUCUAGAUGGCCACACCUACAAAUUAAAUCACAUUUCCAGUUGGUGAAUACUAAGUCAAGUUUGUAUAUAUUGUUUUGGACAUUUAUUGAUCCAAGGUACGUUAUAUACAUUUUUCAAUGGGAUUCAUGUUCGAAUGCACCAGUUGCGUGUAAUAAAGGACAUGCCUGCAAUUAUUCUAGUGAUAUUUACCUUCAUGCAGCUAACUCUUCCUCCGUUGCUUGCAAUGGAAGUAAUGUCGUUGUUUGCUUUGCGGGUGACUGGGAAUGCAGCGGAUGACUUCAAGCCGGUGAAUGGAGCGACCAUGGUGGCUUGAGCCGGUGAGGUAACCACAGCAGCGGAGGAAAGCAUAGAGGAAGCCAUUACUACUUCUUCUUCUUCUUCUUUUCUCUUAACUUACUUGUUUGUCUAUCGCUUUGGUUAUCUAUAUAUAACGAGAACCGCAAGAGGAAAAGGCCCUAAUAACCAGAGGGUCCAGAUUUCAUGAUAACGUCGUUAACUGCCACAUGAUUAAAGAAAGGUGUUGAGACCCUUAUCGAUACUGACCACUAUGUUAAGGCCACGUGGCAGAAAUGCUAUUAUCUUAUCUUGCAUUAAAAUGUAUGAAUGUGUAUAUAUGGUUACUGAUUUACUGCUGGCCUCCACUUGUUUAUGAGUAUAAAUUACUAAAACUGUUAAAAGUUUCACAUUCAAAUUUUGUGAUCUAUGAUUUAAAACUUUUGUUAUGACAAUGAUACAAAUAAUUAAAAAUAAUAUAAGUUGAAAGUCUCAUUUAAUAAGUAUCAAAAAUAAAAGAUAUAUAAAUAUAUGUAUCAUUUUAAAUUAAACUAUAUGCCACAUAUAAAAAUACAUAAAUAUUUUAAUUUUGAAAUUUACUUUGAACAUUUUUUUGAUAAAAAAUUGAAAAACUAUUGACAACUUAAUUUUUUAAAAUAUUAUAAAUUACUUAAACCAUUAAUCCCACAGUGAAAAUUUUGUUAUCACUAAUUUAGACUUUUUUCUAUAACAUAUACAAAUGAUAGAAAAAAAUUGAGCAAAAAGCAUCAUUAAUAAAUAUUAAUAUUAAAAUAUACCAUAUAUAUGUUACUAUCAUUUAAAUUUAAAUAUAUCAUAUCAAAUAGAAAAAAUAUUUUUUCGAUUUAUAAAAUUUAUUUAUAUGUUCACACCAAUUUAAUUAUAUAAGUAGUAGAUAAUUAAUUUUUAAUUAUUCAAUAUAUAUUUAUUAUUUCAUAAUAUGUUAUAAACAUAUAAUAUAUAAAAUCAUUUAUAUAUAUAAUGUUCAUCCCGCGCAAGACGCGGGUCUUAACCUAGUUUAGUAUUAUAACUAUUACAAGUUAUGAGCUACUUAGUUGUGAGCAAGGAGUACACUGUUAAUGCUAACGUCGAUAAACGAAGAAGGGAAACAAUACUAUAUAGUGGGUCCCAUUGGUAACUGAACACGGUAGUUAAACUGUAAGUCUGUCUGGGUUUAAAAAAGCGUGCUAAGGCGUCGCUAAGGCGUCAGGCGACCUUGGUUGGGAGGGUCACCGCCUCGAGGAGGUGAAGCAAGGCGAAUUCGAGUAAGCGUUGCUUCAACCUCGCUUCAAGCCACAUUUCACGCCUCACGCCUUAUCACACUUCAUCGCUUAUGCAACUAAAGGUAAGAUUCCUAUCACAAGUUAUUAACAUAUAAUAUUCACUUUCUUUUAAUGGUUUCCAAAACUUCAAUUCACUUCAAACUAUUUAGUGUCUUUACAUUUUUGAAUAGAUAUUUUCAUGCGUGAAUCUUAUCCAAGUCUAUAUUCUUUUUUUCUGGUUCUAUAAAUCUUUUGUUUCUAAAGCUUUGAAGACUUAGGUUUAUGUUUAGUUUCUUUUAAUUAUUUGUUGGUUUGAUUCUCUUUUUUUGAAGACUUUAUUGGAUCAAUUCUCUGUUUUAUUCUCUGUUUAUGAAUACUUAUUAACUCAAGUCUGUAACCAUGAAUUUAACACGGCCAUAUGAAAUAUGAUAAUCAAUGUUUUAGAUCCAGAGUAAAAGAUGAAUUCAUAAACCAUGCUAUUUAUUGUCUACCCACUUUUUAAACUUAGGUAUUAGCAGCAAUACCUUCUUACCCAAUGGUAUUCCCUAUUUUAUGUGUAUAUAUCCAGAAAUAGAUAGAACACUUACUUAUAGAUAAUUUUGUAUAUCUGAAAAGCGUAAAAUGAUAAAUUGUUCAGAGGAAUUAACGGGCAUUUCGUAGACACUAUUAGGCAUGCGGAAAUAGAAGACCAAGCUUGCUUUGAGGCUAAUAUCAAAAAAAGGUGAAGGAACCUGAGGAACGACAUAGUCCAUCAUCUAUCCGAGCCAUAAGCUUACAAGAAAUUUGUAUGCUUGAUAAAUCAUGGACUCAUGAAUAACUCUUUAUUGGUUUUGGAUGGGCUUAGACAAAUUCGUCAUGACAAAUUCAACUUUUAGGAGCUAAAAAUCAGACGAGAAGUGUGUUACCGAUAUAUUUAGAGCUUAUGGCCAUUUCUUGGGCUACCGAAUGCAUGUUACAAAUGUCGAUGUGCCAACACUUUAGUACAUAUUGCAAGGACCUCGUCUCGAUGAUACAAAAUCUAACUUUUCAAUGGAGAUAAAAGAACUUUCAAGAUUGAUGAGUAGAUUUUUGUAGAUUUAUCAAUUGUUUAUCACCCUUGUUCUAAAAAAAAAUAAGCAGACUCAUUAGCUAAGAUAGCAAAAACAUAUCACAGAGAUUUGUAUUUUAUUGGUUCUUAUAUUUUGCUAUAGUUACCUAGACCACCUUAAAUUUAAGUACUAGAUCAGCCGUUUGAAAUUAAAAAUGGUUGUUAAACUGUUAAAAUGAAAAAAGUGAAUUGGUACAAAAAAAAAACUAAUAGAGUAGAAACUCUAUAAAUUAAUACUCAAUAAAUUAAUAGACACGGGUAAAUUAAUAUUUUUUCAAUCCCGAAUUGAACUGAUUCAAAAUACGAUACAAAUCAAUAGAGUAAUAAGAUAAUAUUUUUAAAAAAAAAAUCUUAUGUAAAAAUAUGGUCCUAUUAAAAGCAUAAAUUUAUAUAUAUAUAUAUAUAUAUAUAUAUAUAUAUAUAUUCAUAUAAAUAAAAACAAAAGAUAAUAUUGUUUAAUUUAUAUUAACAAUAGAAUUCAUCUCUAUUUUUUCUUAACCUUCAAUAUAUUUUUGAUAAUAUUUAGUAAAAUAUAUCUAAAAACAUUUAGACAAUAGAAAAACAAUAGAACAAUAGAAAAAUCAAUUUUCUAAAAUUUAAUUAAUAUAUAAACAGUAAGAUCUAGAAAGGAAAGUUUUAUAAAUCAAUAACUCUACAUAUUAAUAACUCUAUAAAAUAAUAAAAUAUCCUAAUAUUAACAUUAUUAAUUUAUGGAGUUUUUCUUGUAUCAUGAGAUACACGACAUACUAAAUAUAUUAUGGUCUUAUAUAAUAUUUAUCAUUUAAAUAUAUACAGUAUAUGUUUUUACUAAAUAUAUAAUAAUAAAAUAGUUAUAGUAUAUUUUAUAAUAAUUUUAGAUCUUUAAUAUAUAAAUAUAAUUACUUUUCACAUUUUUCAUACUAACCACAAACAUUAAUACUCUCACCAAUAUGAAUAACCUGACACACUAAAAUAACCAUUUAUUUGGUAAAUUCUCAACAACAAAAAACUAUUAUAGCUUACUCCAUCACGUCUAAGGUUUGUCUGGUUCAAACGCAGCGGUUGCGGAAGUUUGCAAAUGCGGGUGGUUACGGUUUUUAGCGGUUUUAAGAGAUUUGUACGAUUGGUUCUGCGGUUAGAAAUUUGUGCGUUUGCGGGAUAGUUAUGAUUGGUUAAUUACCAAAUGCAGCAGCGGUUAAAUAAUAAAUUAACAAUAUUUACAUUUUAUAUAAUUAUAAAAAUAUCAAAAAUCAUAACAUUAUAUUAAAUAUAAAAAUUAUAUUUAGAAAGUUAUAGUUUUAAAUUUUAAAUAAAAUAUAAUAGAUAUAUUUUAGUAUUUUUAUAAUUCCAAUUUAAAAUAUUUAUUGAAUAUUUUUAUUUUGUAUUUAUAUUGUUUUAAAAAAAAACAUUUCCUCCCGUAACUGCCUGCAACCGCAGCUGGAACCAGCUUUUAAACUUAUGAGGUUUAAAAUGGUUUGAAGCGGUUUAUAGCGGUUUGAGUAAGCUUCAUAAAUUAAUAUAUAUAUAUAUAUAUAUAUAUAUUCAUAUAAAUAAAAACAAAAGAUAAUAUUGUUUAAUUUAUAUUAACAAUAGAAUUCAUCUCUAUUUUUUCUUAACCUUCAAUAUAUUUUUGAUAAUAUUUAGUAAAAUAUAUCUAAAAACAUUUAGACAAUAGAAAAACAAUAGAACAAUAGAAAAAUCAAUUUUCUAAAAUUUAAUUAAUAUAUAAACAGUAAGAUCUAGAAAGGAAAGUUUUAUAAAUCAAUAACUCUACAUAUUAAUAACUCUAUAAAAUAAUAAAAUAUCCUAAUAUUAACAUUAUUAAUUUAUGGAGUUUUUCUUGUAUCAUGAGAUACACGACAUACUAAAUAUAUUAUGGUCUUAUAUAAUAUUUAUCAUUUAAAUAUAUACAGUAUAUGUUUUUACUAAAUAUAUAAUAAUAAAAUAGUUAUAGUAUAUUUUAUAAUAAUUUUAGAUCUUUAAUAUAUAAAUAUAAUUACUUUUCACAUUUUUCAUACUAACCACAAACAUUAAUACUCUCACCAAUAUGAAUAACCUGACACACUAAAAUAACCAUUUAUUUGGUAAAUUCUCAACAACAAAAAACUAUUAUAGCUUACUCCAUCACGUCUAAGGUUUGUCUGGUUCAAACGCAGCGGUUGCGGAAGUUUGCAAAUGCGGGUGGUUACGGUUUUUAGCGGUUUUAAGAGAUUUGUACGAUUGGUUCUGCGGUUAGAAAUUUGUGCGUUUGCGGGAUAGUUAUGAUUGGUUAAUUACCAAAUGCAGCAGCGGUUAAAUAAUAAAUUAACAAUAUUUACAUUUUAUAUAAUUAUAAAAAUAUCAAAAAUCAUAACAUUAUAUUAAAUAUAAAAAUUAUAUUUAGAAAGUUAUAGUUUUAAAUUUUAAAUAAAAUAUAAUAGAUAUAUUUUAGUAUUUUUAUAAUUCCAAUUUAAAAUAUUUAUUGAAUAUUUUUAUUUUGUAUUUAUAUUGUUUUAAAAAAAAACAUUUCCUCCCGUAACUGCCUGCAACCGCAGCUGGAACCAGCUUUUAAACUUAUGAGGUUUAAAAUGGUUUGAAGCGGUUUAUAGCGGUUUGAGUAAUUAUUUCAAAACGCCAACAACCGCUACCAACCGCAAAAAUUUGCAUUUACGGGUGGUACUGGGGAAACCGGUCAUACUCUGGCCCAGUUUACAAGACCUGGGGAAACUACUUAUCAUGUUAUCUUAGAACUUCUCCCAACACUACAAAUGUGGUUCUUUCGAUCGAACCAUAUUUUUAACGCUGAUUUAUUAUGAUAUUACAAUUAUAAAAAAAAGUUACAUAAAUGAUUUUACAGCCGACAAUACUAUAUGUUUUAUGAGAAUCUAUGUCUAAGUGUUUUACCUGAGUCGUUUUAUAAAAAUUCACACAUGGUCGAGUUUACUGCAAAAUUGUGAAGAUCUCUUUUAAACCUUUUUUUCUUAGUUGUUUAAUAUAUUAUUCUUUCGGGAAUUGAAUUUAGAUCUACUGGUGUAAAAGCGUUAAUGAAUCAUUAGUCAAACUAGUGGACUAAGAGGCUUCCACCGGUAAAACCAUCUUGUCCUACUUUUUAUAAAUUUGUAGAGUUAAUACCAAUAUGAAUUACCUUUUUAAAGAGAAAAUUAAUAUUAAUUAGCUGUGUGAUGAGAGAUACUUUUAUUUAUAUAUAAUUUAAUUUAUUUCAAAUGCAUGCAAUAAUAAACUAUUCAAAAGUAUGUGUAGUUUGGCUUUUUUAGCUUAGGUUUUCAUUUUUUUCUUAACAAAUAUAUUAUAUUUAUGAAAAAUAGUGUUUACGGUGGAGAUUUGUUUUUCCUAUUUUCUGAGAGUCAAAAACAUGGAACCGCUAUAUUUGGAAAAAUAUAUUAUAUACUAUUUCUAUUGGUUUUCCUAGGAUUUUGAUGUAGCCGCUCUAUACCUUUUUGAAGAAAAUGUUUUUUGAAAUUUCUUCAGAACAAGUAUAAAUACUGAUAAGGUGAUUGACGCAAUGUCAUUGCAGGAGAAGGGAAUUCCUUUUAACCUACCAGACAAUGCCCUAAUGCAGAGCAAAAGGUACAAGAUCUGUAUCAUGGGUAAAACCUUAAAUCCAGAGAGCCAGAAGAUUAGUCAUCUGAUUAUGGACAAGCCAAGGAAGUGACGAGUUUAUGACAGAGUAAGAGAGAUUGGAAGUUCACUAGGAGGAAUUGAGCUUCAUACUGUUUUUUUUUUCCUCAGGGUUGAGAAUGCUUAAUGUAGGUGGCCUAUAUGAUCUUCUACUUCCAGAAAGUUGACGAGCAUAUCGUUCAUGUAAACUUCUAUGGUCUGUCUGGUCUGUUGUGCAAACAACAUGUUUAUCUGUUUACAAUAAGUGGAGCAGGCAUUCUUUAAGCGAAAAGUCAUGACCUUGCAGUAAUAGAUUGCCUUCUGACAUCAUGAAGAAAGUUUUCUCAUGAUCGUCUGGAUACUUGAGUAUUUAGUUUUAUCGGGAAAAAGCGUCUAUGAAGAUAUCAGCUAGUAUUAUAUUGUUACGUCAUACUGUUGCGUCGACUAUGUGAGACAAAUAUUGCUUGUAAUACUUUUUCAUAUAUGUUUUAUUAUAUAUAGUUUUGUAAUUCUUAUUAACUUCAAACAAUCUUAAGGACUAUAAUUGCAAAUAAUUUCUUUUUUAAGAAAAUAUUUUUUUUAUCAUUGGUGAAAGUCACCCUUAAACCUCAAAUUUAAAGUUAACUAAACUUUAAAAGUAACAUUGCUCUUAGAAAUGCUCUAAAAGUAACAUUGCUCUUAGAAAUGCUCUUAGUCAAAUAGAGUAAGUUUUGGGUUUGAAAGUUUGGAAAAACUUAGGGUAUCCUAUUGGUAAUUACUCAUUUAUUAACUUCUGUAACAGUAACCAAUUGAGGCAAGGACAGAAAAACCAGAAGAAAUGAGCAUUGCGUUGUCAUCGAUCUCAUGCUUCGUCUUCUAAAGAAUAAUAUUUUAUGUUAACUUGACGAUUGUUUCUUUUCCUCUAUAUCUAAUUAUCUACUGUAGUUAAACAAUACGGCCAAUCUCUUUAAUUGACUUGAUCUAAUAAAUGAUUCUAGCCUUUAACUUGAGGCAAUCUAAAUAGAAUAAGAAAAACCAGAAGAAAUGAGCAUUGCGUCUUCAUUCUUCUCAUUCUUUGCCUUGCAGACAAAACACGACCUCUAUAUGAACGGAAUAUGCCUGGCUUAAUUGCUUCAUUCAACCUUCAAAGAUUAUCUAUAAAUGUGCAAGUAUUUAUGUCUGGUGUAUAACAGUUACUUCUUCGAAUCAUGUCAUUGAGUGUGCCAAUAAGACGGACCGAUGGUGCACCCAAUGGCGCAUUCAGGACUUUUGGCCUCUACUGGUGCUACCACUGUCAUCGUACGGUCAGGAUUGCAUCAUCAAACCCAUCAGAGAUCGCGUGCCCUCGAUGCUUAAGGCAAUUCGUUGUGGAGAUCGAGAUGAGACGGCCUCGGGUGACUUUCACUCAUGCCGCUCCACCUUUAGAUGCUUCUCCUGAGACACGCCUUCUCGAAGCUCUGUCCCUCAUGUUUGAUCCUCCAAUCAUAGGUAGAUUCGGUGAAGACCCAUUUCUCAGGGCAAGGUCCAGAAACGUGGAACACGAACCAACAACACCCCUACCGCACCAUCGUCGACGCCACAGCCUUGACAAUAAUAACGAUGGCAGUUUACCUCCACCAAGAAGAACAUAUGUAAUACUACGGCCCACUGAUCCAACCAGUCCACUUGGAAACAGGAUUGAGCCAGCACCACGCAGGCGUAUGAACCCACAUGAUUUCUUUACUGGAGGAUCAGGUUUAGAACAGCUGAUCGAACAGCUAACGCAAGACGAUAGGCCUGGACCACCACCUGCACCAGAACCCACCAUCGACGCCCUACCGACGGUAACGAUCACAUCAAAACAUCUAACCAACGACACGUCCCAAUGCACGGUGUGCAUGGAGGACUUCGUUCCUGGCGGGGAAGCUACCGAACUACCAUGUAAACAUAUAUACCAUAAAAACUGUAUAACUCCAUGGCUAAGGCUUCACAAUUCAUGCCCAAUCUGCCGCCGUGAUCUGCCUCCUCCGGUCAACAACACCGUUACAGAUUCUCAGGAAAGGAGCGAUUCUACUAGAGAAGAGAUACCUGAAAGAAGGCGCCCUAGAUGGAUGCAGUUCUGGAACAUUGGGCCUUUUAGAGCAAGGUAUCAGAGGGUUAGUCCAGAAGAAACAGCGCACAGGAAUACUCGAGGUAACAGGAGCUAAAAAAAAAAAAACUGAAUAUUUCAGGGGAAACAAAAAAAAAGUGUAUCAUUUGCUAAGAACAUAUGUAUAGAAGCUGUCCGAAAAAUAAUAAUAAUAAUAAUAAACUCUGGCUAACGUUUCACCUUUCAUGCUAGGGGUAACAGAACUAUUUAAAUGAGAAAGACAACUAAACUUAUAUCUCUGAUUCUUCCUGCAGCUCAGUUGCAGUGGCGUCACUGUAAUAUCCUAUAGCUUCUUGGACUCGUCCAUUACCCAGAGGAAAGAAAAUGCAGUGAGCAAUUGAGGAAAUGUAGAACAUAACACUAAAACAUAUAUUAAUGACUGGUUUUUAAAUGCACAGAAGCUUGCUAGAGAUUUCACACAUGGCAUGUCCCAUCUGUUAUCUGCAAAUUCAAAGGAAUAAUACCAAAUAACAACCACUACUUUGGAUUCCAAAGUAACAAGUUCCAAUCAGAAUAUAAAAUUCAACAAACAUAAUACGCAAAUUUCGCAUCGCUGCAAAAACUAGCUUAUAGGAGAGUAGGAAACCCAAAUAAAAGUUGAGUAGAUUCAACAAAAAGAGAUGACUCUAUUUGCAGUAGCGGUCGGCCUUCUUCUUGACCCGAUCGUCGAGAGCCUCCGCCACCGAAUCGAAGUUCGAUUUAGGAACGUAACCGAACUUCUUCGCCUCCACGGGGAAAAGCUCAUCGUACUUCCUCUUCUUCGCGGCGUCGAUUGAAUAGAUAUCGUUGUCUUUACCAUCUGCUGCGGCGGAGGAAGUGGCCGGACCGUCGUCGGGAGUCAUCUUUUCAACAUUGGGGGCGGCGCCGUCGUCGAGCUUAUCCUUGUUCUUCUUCUUCUUCUUUGGCUUCUUCUUUUUGAUGGUGGCUAGAUCGCCUCCUUUAAACGCUAACCUUCCACCCUUCGCCCUCUCGUAAGGAUCCGACAUCGCUUAGAUUCGGCACCGCUAUUCUCUCUCUCUCUCUCUCUACGGAGUUUUUUCUUUGUUAACUAAAAGCAGAAGGCCGCCCUUGUUUUAUAUUUUGUUCAGAGCCGCGGCUCUUAUUAAUUAUUAUCACUAGGGAUAUAUAGGAUAUCCGAAUCCAGAUCCAGCAAACAUUAACCCAGAGGCCCGAACCCAUGUUUGGAUACUUGCUAGACAUUCCUCCUUUGUUUGGGCUGGGUUUAGCCCUAAUAAAAGAAAAACGCAGAUUAUAUAAACUAACCGACGAUUUCUUUAGUACAUUUUUAAAACUCUAUAAAUUAAUAUUCCCUCCAUCUCAAAAAGAUAAAUAUUUUUUAAAAAAAUAUUUCAGUUAGUACAUUUUUUUAUAUUUUCAAUGCGUAAAUUAAUUGUAAAUUGUAAAUUGUAAAUUGUAAACUUCAAAAAACAAAAUUGUGUUUACUAAAGUUUUAUUGGUUACAAGUUGUGGGGAAUAAUUAAUUACAGAAAUUAAUAUAUUGGUAAUUUAAAUCUGAUAUGUUUUCUUAACAAGUGUGAAAAUAUUAAAAUAUACAUCUUUCUGAAACAUAAUACUAGAUAAGUUAAUAAAUUUUACCAGUUUUGAGUUACAUCAAUGUAAAAUAUAACACAAUUCAGUAAGAUAAUAAGAAAAUAUUUUUUAAGAAACUUUAUAUAAAUAUAUGGUCCUAAGAAAAACAAAAAUGAUAUUGUAUAGUUUUUUAUUCCCAAAGAAGUUUAUAUGUAAUUUUUCUUAUUUUUUCUAAAUAUAUUGAUGUUAUUUUAUCAUUUUGCACGUAAAAUCUAUUCAUAUUUAUUAUAUCUAUUUUAAUACACUAAAUAAUCGAAUAAGAACAACUCAAAAAUGGUAUAUAUAAAAUUUAGUCAAUAUAUUUAAAUUCUAGUGUUGACAAGUCAUACUAGAAUCAUUUAAUUAAUUAUUUACAUUAAUCAAUCAAAUAUUAAUAUAUUUUUGUUAGAGAAAUAAAUAAUAUUCAUAGAAAGUAUUAAUUAUAAAUAAGAAUAUAAAUAAUAAAUUAAUUUUAACUAUAAAUUUGAAUUUUGUUUUUAGUUAUGACAAAAUAUGUUGAGAAAAAAUCUAAUAAAAUCCUACUGAAAUUUCAAAAAUAUUUUUUAGAAAAUAGUGCAUUAAUUAAUUCUGUAAUUAGUAAUAUAAUAUUAUUAUAAAUUAAUAUUAAUUAAUUUUUAAUAUAAAAAUCUAUGCUAUUUGAUAAAUUAUAAUUGUAGAUUAUAUUAUCUUAAAAUAGAAUUACUAUAUAAAUUAAAUAUGACAAAAUUCUGUUAAAAUUGGUAAAUCAACAGAAUUCACCAAUUUAACAGAAUUGUUUUAACUCCACUGCCUGCCAUAACUGUCUUAUUUCGAAAAUGAUUUGAAUUUUUUAGAGAAUAUAUAAGGAAAUCUCCAAUCUUAUCAUCAUGCUUAUCUUAGGUAUGGUGCGUCCACAAACGCGUCUAUCAUAGAAUUCAAGUGUGUCAACUGUCAUCCUCUCUUCAGGGAUUAACUAUCCGUGUGAGUGAGAGAUUUACAUGCAUACGUUUUUUCUAGAAAAUCACUUUGAUAAGUGGAAAGUUUCGUUAACUUUUCAAAACAAUUAUAACAUCCAUAUGCCUCCGAAAAAGAAGAAAAAAACUCGUAAUCUCCUCCGGGGCUCUUCGAAGAUGGCCCGUCUCCAAGGAGCGUUGAAACCCUCCACUUCGGUCCGGUCGUUACAACAGUCGUCUCUCGCCGGCGCUUCAAGCGCUGAUGCUGUAAUUGCUGCUUCGGUGGCACCCACGACUGAGGUUUCGCCGUCGACCCCUGAGGUCUCUGUAGAUCUGAGUUUGGGUCACCUACCACUACCGCUAGCUCCUGUUCUUGAGUUUGGCAAUUCAUCACCUCUCACGCCAUGUGAGCUUGACGUUACCCCUACAGUAUCGGAGGAGGUAACUCCUGACGCUACAAUAGAGGUUUCCCUUCCAAUCCAGGAAGUGGUUAGUAGAGACAUCCCUCAUGGAGCCCUGCAGAAGGCUGCUACCCUAGGGGAGUACUCUGGAACUAAGAGCUACGCCAGUUUAGUCAAGGACUNNNNNNNNNNNNNNNNNNNNNNNNNNNNNNNNNNNNNNNNNNNNNNNNNNNNNNNNNNNNNNNNNNNNNNNNNNNNNNNNNNNNNNNNNNNNNNNNNNNNUCCCCGCUCCCUCUCUCCCCGCUCUCUCUCUCUCCCCGCUCUCUCUCUCCCCGCUCUCUCUCCUCUCUCUCUCUCCCCUCUCUCUCUCUCCUCUCUGCUCUCUCUCUAUCUCUCUCUAUCUAUAUAUAUAUAUAUAUAAUAUGAUAAAAAUAUAUAUACAAAAUUACUCUAAAAAAAUCUAUAAAAAAAAAGGAAAAAACGAAGAGAUUUGGUAAAACUUUCAUAGUUCCUAAUCGGCAAAAGAAGAAGAUGCCUGGGAAUGAUCGUCGACCUCUUGUUGUCUCUGGCAACAAGCUCUUAACACCUGAAUCACAGAUCUUAGAAAUCAGACAAUGAUUUUCGCUAAACAAAAAUCAGAUCUGAAUAUAGAGACUUUUACUUCUUCAGCAGCGUGGAGGACGGCGGCCAUGUAAACCGGGAGCUCCACCACCAAGUCUUUGAGCCUUUCUUCAGGAAACGAGUGAUUGGGCUCUGAUCGAUUUCGAAACCGGUUUGGUCUCUGUGCCACCGGCUGGUUCUUCCUCUGAAACCAUUCUUCACUAUUUCCGGCGGUGAAGAGAUUACAACAGAGAGAGAGAGAGAGAGAGAGAGAGUGGAAGGAGGUUUGUAUUUUGACAUUAGCGGUCUUCUUCGGACAUGGAUGUAAUCGGAGAAGAAAGAAGGUUUGUUGUCUGAUUAUAGAUAGUGUUUUUGAGUUUGGUUUGGUUUGUUGUCUGAUUUAAAGUGUUUUUGAGUUGGUGUGUUGUAAUAUUUAUAGAGAAGCUAGCGACUUUCGUAACGGCUAUAUUUCUCUUAAAGGUUUGAGUCGGGUCUCGAUCGCCACAAAACGCGUGCGUUUUCUCCUAACGGUAAUAAUGUUGGAAUCGAACCGGUCUUGCAACCACCACCUAAACCGGUCUUCUUUAACGACUCUCCAGGCCCAAAUUCAAAGCCUUUGGCCCAACAAGUUAGAUACAGCCAUUGGGAGGCGGUGGAGGCUACAGACUAUACCAACAAUGAACUUGGGGGAGGAGUAAAGAUUCGAACUUUUUUCCUCUUUCUCCACAUCUUUGGAAAGAAACAGAGAAUGGAUCCAAUAGAGGAGGAGGAGAAGAAGGUGAGAGAGAGAAUCAGAAACAAAGUCAACCAAGUCAGUUCUGUCUCGCAGUCUCUUCUCUCUCCAUUACAAGACCACAUCAACUUCACCCUUCAGGUUACUUUUUAACUCUUUCUUUGUCGGAACAAAGUUAGUUUUCACAUACCCUUUUACUCUGUUUUUCUCCCCUGUAGUUGCUAAACGGUUAAAGUUAGAUUCUUUGUGUAUAUUUUGUUAGUUCUGAGAUUAUGUAAAAAGUGUGUUUUUUUGGGAUUGGUGCAGAAAGCUUACUUCAAAUGUGCGUACGAGUGCUUUGAUAGGACAAGAACACACGCUGAGAUUAGCCAAUGCGCAGAGACUUGCAGUGCUCCCAUCACAAACGCUCAGAAUCAUUUUGAUAAUGAGAUGUCUGUGUUCCAAGUAAAUCUCUUAUAUUCAUUCUAAUAAUUGCAUAAGGAUUAGUGAUUGAAAGUCUGAAACUUUCAAUGAAGAUAGUGUUGGUUGUUGUCUCUUGUUGAUAAUCACUUAACUGAUGAAUGUAGGAGAUGUUGAAUAGAUCACUUGUGGCUUGUCAAGAUAAGUUUGAGGCUGCGAAGCUCCAGAGGACGAGGAAUGAAGCUGUAGUUGGUUUGGAGCAGUGCGUGAACCAAACCGUUGACGACGCUGUGAAGACGCUGCCUAGUCUCGUGUCAAAGAUGAAGAAGGCUUUGUCUGUAUCAGACUGAGAAGCUCUGCAGAUUCUAUUAUUUUUAUCGUGACCAAGAAAGACUUUCCGAUUCUAUUAUUUUUAUCUGUUAUUGAUAUUUUUGAACUCAACUCGGCCAAAAUGCAAUACCAACUUCUUCAGAUUCUUUUUAUAUCUAGCAAAGAAAUGAGAUUAUUGUUGAGACAAAUGAGUCCAGGUUAAACUAUUCUCGACGAAUCCAAACUGUAUGGCUGUUGCUGAAUAAUUGUCAAGUGAGACAAUGAUGAGCGAGAUUGCGGUGCGGCCUGUCUCAUCCCAUUCAUCUUCUCUCAAAUAACUCGGGUCGCCAAGCGGUCCCAUUCUCAUCCUCCCCAUGUAUCUGAACUAAGGCCUUUAAGAAAAAAAGAUGUUAGAGAGGAGAUAUAUAAAUAGGGUAAACUUUGUGGAGAUUAAACAAGGUUCCGAUGAGUUUUUUUUGUGUGGGAAGCAAGCAAAUAAAAGUCAAACUGGAUUUAAAUAAGCCUGGAGAAUUGUGCUUAAAAUGACUCUUCCUUUGGAACUAGAACACUGUUACAGUUUCCUAUGUAGGUCUGGUAUGUAAUAAACACAACUUUUAGUGUCUUUCUUGGUCUGUAUAAACGAGCCAAGUUCUUGGGAAUUGAGAUUAAGAAAAAAUAAUAAACAAAGGGUUCCCAUUGUGCCCGUGAGGCUCAAGUCUUGAGUAUGUAACUUUGUAUCAAUUUCAAUCAGCUUUUGGUCUUCAGUUUGUCCUAUUACACCAUGCCAAGAUAACUUGCAGUGCAAGGUGCUGUGUUGGUGACAACAUAUGUAUGUAUUGAUUUGAAUAAUAUGUUCUCCUACUAAAAGAUUUAGUUCACAACUGAUGUAUGUAUUCUAAGAUUGAUUUCUCUUUAUAGAUGUCAUUCUAACUUCAUAAUUGAUAAGAAUAAAACUAGUAUUCUCAACUAUAUAUUGUGCCUUGCCACAAUAUGAAGCUUCUGAUUCUAUCACAAAUGCACAGAACUAUUUCAAUAACGAGGUGUUUGUGUUUCAAAUCAGUCUAUAUGCUACGUUUAGAGUUAAUAAAAAAGUAAAUUUGAAAACUUAAAUGAAUACUGAAAUAUUAGUGAUUGAUGUUUGAAACUUUGGUUUUAAACGAGUUUAUGAAGUUACCAUGUGUUGUCUCUUGGAUAAUUGAUAUAAGAAUAAUUGCUUAGUUUAAUUACUACAUAUCGGUAGACCAUAUUCAAGUUUUUGAAUUUUUUUACUUAAAACAUGUAGGAGAGGUUGAAUAAAUCUGUACAUUAGCGGUCUUCUUCGGACAUGGAUGUAAUCGGAGAAGAAAGAAGGUUUGUUGUCUGAUUAUAGAUAGUGUUUUUGAGUUUGGUUUGGUUUGUUGUCUGAUUUAAAGUGUUUUUGAGUUGGUGUGUUGUAAUAUUUAUAGAGAAGCUAGCGACUUUCGUAACGGCUAUAUUUCUCUUAAAGGUUUGAGUCGGGUCUCGAUCGCCACAAAACGCGUGCGUUUUCUCCUAACGGUAAUAAUGUUGGAAUCGAACCGGUCUUGCAACCACCACCUAAACCGGUCUUCUUUAACGACUCUCCAGGCCCAAAUUCAAAGCCUUUGGCCCAACAAGUUAGAUACAGCCAUUGGGAGGCGGUGGAGGCUACAGACUAUACCAACAAUGAACUUGGGGGAGGAGUAAAGAUUCGAACUUUUUUCCUCUUUCUCCACAUCUUUGGAAAGAAACAGAGAAUGGAUCCAAUAGAGGAGGAGGAGAAGAAGGUGAGAGAGAGAAUCAGAAACAAAGUCAACCAAGUCAGUUCUGUCUCGCAGUCUCUUCUCUCUCCAUUACAAGACCACAUCAACUUCACCCUUCAGGUUACUUUUUAACUCUUUCUUUGUCGGAACAAAGUUAGUUUUCACAUACCCUUUUACUCUGUUUUUCUCCCCUGUAGUUGCUAAACGGUUAAAGUUAGAUUCUUUGUGUAUAUUUUGUUAGUUCUGAGAUUAUGUAAAAAGUGUGUUUUUUUGGGAUUGGUGCAGAAAGCUUACUUCAAAUGUGCGUACGAGUGCUUUGAUAGGACAAGAACACACGCUGAGAUUAGCCAAUGCGCAGAGACUUGCAGUGCUCCCAUCACAAACGCUCAGAAUCAUUUUGAUAAUGAGAUGUCUGUGUUCCAAGUAAAUCUCUUAUAUUCAUUCUAAUAAUUGCAUAAGGAUUAGUGAUUGAAAGUCUGAAACUUUCAAUGAAGAUAGUGUUGGUUGUUGUCUCUUGUUGAUAAUCACUUAACUGAUGAAUGUAGGAGAUGUUGAAUAGAUCACUUGUGGCUUGUCAAGAUAAGUUUGAGGCUGCGAAGCUCCAGAGGACGAGGAAUGAAGCUGUAGUUGGUUUGGAGCAGUGUGUGAACCAAACCGUUGACGACGCUGUGAAGACGCUGCCUAGUCUCGUGUCAAAGAUGAAGAAGGCUUUGUCUGUAUCAGACUGAGAAGCUCUGCAGAUUCUACUAUUAUUUUUAUCGUGACCAAGAAAGACUUUCUGAUUCUAUUAUUGAUAUUUUUGAACUCAACUCGGCCACAAUGCAAUAUCAACUUCUUCAGAUUAUUUUUAUUUCAGCUCUUAUUAAACUCUUGAAACACAAUACAUCAUAAAAUUCAUAUCUAGCAAAGAAAUGAGAUUAUUGUUGAGACAAAUGAGUCCAGGUUAAACUAGAGUACUAAAAAAAUCUCACUACUCCUCAUAUUUAUCCUAUUCACACCACGUAAGAUGUAUCUCGCAUAGAAAUUAAUUGAGACCAAACGAUAAGCAUCAUAAUAUCCAAAGAAGCCAUCAAAUUCAUUGCGAUCAAGUACGUAGCUUGUAGUUCAAAGCACAGGAACAAAAACUUACGUGGUGUCUCAUGAGAAUCAAGCAUAGCAAAAGUCUGAAAUUACAUUGAAGAAACCUCAAGUCAUGCAUGAGCUAAGGAUGGGUCACUUACUCUUUGCUUUUGCGAGAAUAUCAUUUUACAAUUCCAUGCAUAAGUCUAAGAGGUUUUAAAGAAGCAAGUCAAGGUGCAUGGUUAUAAGCAUAUGCCGUAGUGAACAAUCAUUCAACCAAAACAAUUAGGUUAAACUGAAAACUGAUUUUUAUUAAAAAAAUGAAAAAGAUGAAAAACUCAUCCAUUAAAGUACGUAGCUUGUAGUUCAAAGCACAGGAACAAAAACUCAACAGUACCAAACGUCUUAGCAUGAAAGCAAACUAAAAAUAUUAAUCAAAGGUUAAUAAGGAACUGAAUAGCUUUAUUAAUCUUGGAGAGUAUACGGUCUUUGAGUUUGGACUUACAACGUCGGCUAGGCUUGACAGGAAAACCGUCGACAAUCUUCGGGGUUUGGUAAUGAAGUCUCGUGGUUGUAUGAUCCAGUGGUUCCAAAGGAAUGAGCUGGUGAUCAUAGGUAGCUCCAAACCUGGUUCUAGGGACUGCGUCAAUGCUGCUUCUAUUGUGAGAGACAUACAUGCCGAUUGAUCUAAGAUAGCAAUAUUUUUUCUCGGCGAAAGACCCAAAUAAACCACCAAACUCACUACGAUCACGUACCCCCACAUCAAUUUCUCUCUUGCAGUCUUUAAGAUGCUCAAAUUUCUUACAAAACGGUCCAUGCUUCCUCUUGUUGGUGUGAAAUGUCAAAGACGUGAUUCUAUGUUGAUAAUGGACUCCACUCAACGCUGUCACAUAUUCAUCGUGUUCCAGUCUCACCUGUAUAUAAGUUGCUUUAACUUCGUCAGAAUACAAAAAAAAAUCUGCGUAUUGUUAACAAGAUCCUACUAAAACUUACUCUUUUGAUGUGUUGACCACCGGAGUAACCGUGCUUUUGAGACUCGACAUGAGCUCCUUCAUGAAAAUAUAUAAACUGGAGAGAUUGUAUGCCAUAGUCGUCGAAAGUAACAUAUAUAUUAGAGAUCAUGUUUUUUCCCAUCUCGUCCCAACUCCUAUCGGUACUAAGACGAGUUGACCCCAUUGGUUCCAGUUUGAACAUCUCUGAAUACCUUUUUGUUUGAUAGUGGUAAAAUAAAUUGUUCUUGUGGGGGGGGGAUACAUAUUUAUAUACUUAUAGGUAAAAAGGCUUACAUAAUUUCUAUAAGAAAACUUCCCAAAUAAAAAAAAAAUGUAUAAAAAACUUCAGAAGAGUAAGUUUACUAAAUUUAAGAUCUAAACCAAAAAUGUAAUCUAAGUCAUUUCCUAAUCUCUUCUUGUUCAACUUUUUAAUUUAUUGUAAUGUAUUUUUUUUCGCUUUUUAUUCGUACCUUCCUCUUUACUUUUGAUUACAUAUAUUCGAAAGUAUUUUUAAUUUUCCUUUUUUCUGCGAGGUUCUUUGCAAACAAGCCAAUACGCCGAUUCUUUAGAAGAUUUGUGGGGAGCAAGCAAAGAAAAAGGUCUAAGUAAAUUCAAGAAUUAACCCUCGAGAGACUCUUCUGUUUAUGUAAAAAAAAAAAAAAAUCCAUAAAGAGAGUUUGUGAAACAAGAAAACUCUAUUAAGGGAAUCAUAUAAAAGAGUCAAGUAGAAAUCUAACUAAUAGCCAUGUCAUGAUCUGGAUUAUUGGGGUUUUACGAGUGAAUCUGCUUGCUAGCUCAGUAACCAUGCAGUACACCUUGUUCUAAAAAUUGGUCUAGUGAGCGUUUAUGCGUCUGCUAGGCCUAGGCAAAUCAUUCAUAACCAAAACGAUUUUUGAAAAAUGCUUUUAACAUCUUGAGUAAUAUACUAAUAUGUCAUAUCAUAUGCAUAUGGGUCAAAAACAACACAAAAGAUAAAAAAAUAAAACCCUUUUAAUUAGCUGAGAGUUAAGAAUUAAAAAGACAACAUUAAGACGACUUCCCUCCAGUAAAACUAAGAGUAAACUAAACAACAAAAUCGAAAAGGCUAACUAUUGAGCGUUGCUUGGUUUAUUGUUUUCACGUUUAACCACCGUGCCGGUCAUUGGAGUGGGACUAACGUAGAUACCAAUCGCUGACAAGUAGUGACUAUUGUAAGUCCCAAAGAAACCACUAAACUCACUUCUAUCACUUAUUGCCGGAUCAAUCUCUAUUGUGGAACAGCUUCUACCACAACCAUCGCUUGAACGUCCAAUAGGCCCGUGCUUCCCACGGUUAGUGUGGAACGUCAAAUUUAUUAUUCCUCCCAUCUUUUCCACUACGCCACUCAAUCCAGUUAUAUAUUCAUCUUGAUUCAGUUUCACCUGCAUGUGUUCAAAAAGAAAAUAAAAAAAAACUUCAUUAGAGGCCAAAGGAAAAGUAAAAGAAGGAUUUUUUUUUUAACGGAUACAAAAACUUACAGUUCGAAAGCUUCCUUCAGAGAAACCAAACGUUUCAGACAAGACUAGGGCUCCAUCCUUCAAGUAGCCAAACUGAACACAUGUAAUGAAUUCGCUGAAAGAAACGAAUAUAUGAGAGAUCAUGGUGUGUCCCUUCUCGUCCCAUCGAGAGUCGGAAGAUGGAACUUUCUUUCCCACUAGUCCUGCCCUAAUCAUCUCUCUGGCUAAUUAUUAUAUUGUCUUUGUUUAUCGGAUGAUGAACUAUUCGUAUGAACAUGUCUAUAUUUUUUUUUUGACAUCGAGCAUGUCUAUUUAUAAUUACACCUUGAGAUUUCGUGUUCCUAAUCUUAUCUACAUUAUGAUUAUUUUUUCUCCUAUUCCUUAUGUGUUUUGGCUCUAAACAUGUAAGUAUUCGUAGAAAAGGAAAGUCAUUAUUAUAACUAGUCAUUUUAUUUUAAAUUGAUAAUUCUAUGACUCAAGGAAUAAUUACGCCUUAUUGCAUUUAUUUUAUUAAAUAAACACCAAAUUGCGUUGCACAUUGUAAAAUGCAAAUAUACAGUUUGACAUAGUGAGAGGGAGAAAACAAGAAAGAAAUACAAAGAAGACGUUCCUUGUAGGUCAAGAAACUACGAGAGGAAAUUCAAAUCUCAGGCUGCAUUUUCUCGCACUCUUCUCGGAUCGACUGGAAAAGCAUUGUCGAGAGGUAACGUUCCCCAAAGCUCGGAAACACAACCUGGCAACAAAGAUUCAUCAACUCACAUAUCAAAGUUCAAUCAAAAUCUGUUCCUCACUCUUUUCACUCAAGAACAGCUAAAAAUUUCACUUGGUUCCCCACUUUGGGAUAAUACUAUAGACAUCUACGCUCCAUGAUCUCUCUUUUUUCCUUUCUGGUCAAAUGGCUAGGGUUCAGUGAGGCCCUUUCUGAUCAAAGGGUUAGUGAGGCAAAGAGAUGAAGCCAACACAAAGAGUAGGUAUCUAAAGGCCUUAAGUGACUAGACGUGUAAAGUACAUCAACUACUUGAGAAAGAAAACAAAGCUCAAGUGCAGUAAGACUAGGCUAAGGUUCCUUCAUGAUUUCUAUCUGCUGCUGUGUUGUAAAUAGAUAAUAACUCAAUAAAUCUAUUUAACUAGUGGUCGGUCACAGAUACAGGACAAGGGUUAGGUGAGGGAGAUGCGAUAUGCCAAACAGGGAAUCGAAUCCUUCUGAUGAAAAGACUUAACAAAUCAAUUCUUAUCACCUACUUCCAUCAAGAAAAGAAGAUAAAGAGCAAAGAUGGAAGCAUUGAGGACUUACAGCUAUGAGUUUCCCGGCAUUUUCAGGUCUCUUUGCGACCUGGAUUGCAGCUGCAGCAGCUGCUCCUGAUGAUAUACCAACCUGAAAAUAGUUCACUAGUCAUUAGAGGGUUUCUCGUAUGCAUUCAAAAGCUGUUAUCCCUCAGAGAUAUUAUGAACAGAAAAAAGACUAACCAACAAGCCUUCUUGUAGAGCUAGUUGCUUUGCAGUUUCAAUAGCUUCAUCACUAGAAAUCUGAUAAGAAAGCAAGGAAAACAUGUAAAUCUUUGUAUCUCAAGACCACAGCUCAGUAAAAGAUAAAAAACUAACAAGAAAAAUAGCACAUGUCUUGUUUUAGAGAACCAACAUAAACAAACAGAUCAUUACCGAUAUGUAUUCAUCUACAACAGUCUGAUCCAGAUUCUUAGGAAUAAAUCCAGCUCCAAUCCCUUGAAUCUUGUGAGGUCCUGCACUCCAAAACACAAGACAAAUCAAUCACAGGCUCAGAGAAUAAUAUCUCAGAGAUGCAAGUAAGCAAAAAAAUCAAAUGCCUCUCUUAACCUGGUUUUCCUCCAGCAAGUAUAGCACUUUCUGUGGGUUCAACACCAAUAACCUAAUACACAUAAACAUCAACUAAAUUAAACAUAAGUUUUCAUACUAUAUAGUUUUUAACAUCCACAUCCUUUGCUAGGUACCUUCAGUUCAGGCUUUCUUUCUUUAAUGAACCGACCAACACCAGUAAUGGUUCCACCAGUUCCAAUUCCAGCAACCAAUAUAUCCACCUUGCCUCUUGUAUCUUCCCAAAUCUCAGGACCAGUAGUCUCGUAAUGAAUCUGCAUAUUCUCCACAUUCAAAAACACUAACAAAUACUUGCAACUUAAAGAACAGGAACCACAGACCUUGGGAUUGGCUGGGUUAUCAAACUGUUGGAGCAUGUAGGAGUUGGGAGUGUUCUUCAAAAUCUCUUCAGCCUUCUGAAUAGCACCAGUCAUGCCUUUGGCAGGCUCAGUCAACACAAGCUCAGCUCCAAACGCCCUCAGAAGAACCCUUCUCUCCAAACUCAUGGACGCAGGCAUUGUCAAGAUAAGUUUAUAUCCCUUUGAAGCAGCGAUAAACGCAAGACCUAUCCCUGUGUUUCCACUUGUAGAUUCCACAAGAACACUCUAGCAAAAAAAAAAAUAUUAAAUCAAAUAAGAGGACUUAUAACACCAAAGAAUGAUGAGCUUUUUUUCACAAUACCUUUCCAGGUGUAAUAAGUCCUUUUUCCUCAGCAUCAGUGAUCAUACUAUACCCAAUCCUGAAACCACCAUAACAACAUAAGCUCAGAAUAAAUUUAUGUGAAGAUGUUAACCCAUAAAUCAAAAUUGGUUACCUAUCCUUGACACUGCAACAAGGCUCCAUGAUCUCAAGCUUAGCAGCAACACUUGCAACACAGCCCUUGACUAUAUUGUUCAAGUACACCAUUGGAGUUUUCCCAAUAAGCUGAAUCAAUACAAAGAUUAGACAAAAAAAGUCAAAGUCAGAGACUUUAUACUCAAUUUAGUUACUGUCUUCCCACAAAGUAAUAAACUUUAUCAACCUGAGCGGCAUUCUCGGCGAUGUUCAGACUUUCAACUCCAGCUUCUACCUUUGCAGACACAGCCUUGCACACAACAUCCUCACACCUCUGGCUCUUGCUCUUGAGAGCAGCCGGUAAAGGACAAAAAGUAGCCGCCUUUGUAGAGGAUAAGGAGAGAGAAGCUAGCUGUGGAGAGUAGUUGAAAGGACGGUGGCGAGAAGUCAACGGGUUAAGGAGGAAAGCAGAGGAAGAUGUAGCAGCAGCCAUGGUUUGAUGAUCUUUCGUCUCUCACUCACUUUCCCAAAAUUGUAUCCACAAAGAGAGAUGCUUCUCUCUCUCCUUUGAAGAGACGAUUCACUGUAGCUUCCAAAACGGCGUCGCUUUGGUAAAAAAACACAGAGGAAAUUAAAAAAAAGAGACUGAGUGACUGACAAUAAACGUUUGUGUUUUGUCUUAAUCUGAUUCUCUCUCACCAACCUAUUAGUCCAAAAAGAGAGGUGAUUGUGGAGCACAUGCUCUUCUUCUUCAUCAUCAUCUGUCCCUACCAAACCCCGAAAGGUCAAGUUCUAAUCUUUGGUUCUUUGCGAUGUUUUGUUGUCUGUGUAGCUGUUAAAGAGAGAAAAGUAUCAAAACUUUCAUUGUAUUAAGAUAUCUCUGUGUGUUCUGUGUUGUUCUGUUCCAUUAGAUCUUUGACUAAUUGUCUGAUUACUAGUUUUCUAUUGAUAAGUAAUGGUGUUUGUUGAUUGACUCUACAGUUUAGAGUUCGCUUGUACUCUCUCAUAAGAACUAAAAGAUGUCUUCAGAGGAGAAUAACCUUAUAGAAAUCUUGGAGGAAGGUCACAAAGUGGACAUAGCCAAGUACAUUGACUACGUCACCACCCCACAAGCCGGCGCCAUAGCAACAUUCUCAGGCACUACAAGAGACACAUUCGAGGGGAAAACAGUUAUGGAGCUGAGGUACGAAGCAUACGUACCAAUGGCAACAAGAUACCUCAGCUCCAUCUGCGCAUCCGCUAGAUCAAACUGGGACAUCCAUAAGAUCGCUGUCGCCCACCGUCUGGGGGCAGUUCCUGUUGGAGAAACCAGCGUGUUCGUGGCGGUCUCGUCUGUUCACCGUGGGGACGGUUUAGAUGCUUGCAAGUUCUUGAUUGAUGAGCUGAAGGCUUCGGUUCCGAUAUGGAAGAAAGAGGUGUAUGCUAAUGGAGAGGUUUGGAAGGAGAAUGCUGAGUUUCUGGAGAAGAGGUUGGAGCUUGCAGAGACAAGAGGCAGUUUAGUGAAGAAACAUGUGGCUGGAGAACAUAAGAGAAGUUGCUGUGGAAGUAAAGUUAGAGUACAAGAAGAUGAAGAUCAUACAGACAUAGCAGGAGAUAACAAAGAGUGAUGUUUGUUUUGCUUUCUCUAGUGUUUUUAAAACCGGACCGACCGGUGGUUACACCAGAUUCUUGAAAAUACAGUAAAACCUCUAUAAAUUAAUAAUGUCGGGACUUUGAAAAUUUAUUAAAUUAUAGAGAUAUUAAUUUAUAAAAAAAUUCUUAUUUAGAUUUUUUUAUUUUAAGAUAUAUGUAUUCUAAAAUAAGAAAAUUAUUUGAUUUUACUGUAUAGAAUUAAUUGUUAUUUUUUGAAAUUUGACAUUUGUAUUAAUUUUAUUAUAUUAUUUGGUGUAUAUACAUAAUAUAUAUUGCAUAAAGUUUAAAAUAUUAAGUGUGAAUAUAAUAUAAAGAUAAUUCCAUUGUGAAUAUAAAACAAACAAUAUAAUAAUAGGUUCUUAUUUAUAUAAAAUAUGUAUACAUAUAAAUUGUUAAUUUAUAAUUUUAAUGGGACUAUAUAAUUAUAUAAAAUAUGAUUAUCUUAUUAUUUUAUAAAUUUAUGUCUAAUUUUGAAUCGGUCUAAGUUGAGACUGGUGAAAUUUAUUCAUUUAUAGAAAUUAUUAAUUUAUCGAUUAUUAAUUUAUUGAGGUUCUACUUAAGCACCAACCUAGAAAUCAAAGGAAAAAAACAACUAGCAAACAAUACGACGUCGUUCACUGAUUCAGCUUCAUAAACUCAUCUUCAGUCAAUGGGCAGUCGGGACAACAUCUAUUCGGUGAUCCUUCCAUAUAUCAUAUCAAAAGCAUGUCUCUCUUCAGACAAGGAGUGAACGGGACAACGACAUCAUUAGCUAAUCCAUUUGCAUUAUUGCAAGAAGCCUGAGCCGAUCCAUUAAUCCUUUGCAAGACGAGAUUCACAUUGCGCAUUACAAUAUCGGUACAUGGUUUCUCCCUACUGCAAUCCAACAUAACCGCCACUUCCGUAUUCGAUGUCCCUUGUAUAUCUUCAUAUCUCACAUUUGAUAUUUCAACUCCAGAUUCCUGUAAUAAAAUUUACAAAUUAAUUGACUCAAUAUAUAUAAAUAAUUAGGGGUAAUAAGAUACGGUUAUUUAAUUUAAUUUUUACCUUUUUAGGGCAAGGUUUGUCAAGACAAUAGUGUUGGUUAAUGAUGAUAGGGUUCUUGACCAUCUUCAUUUUAAUAUGUUGGAAAACAAUGUUUCUAACAAAACUCUUGCUAUAUUUUCCCCAUGUCUUGAUCCUUACUCCGUUAUCCGUUGACGUGAAAUCCACGUUACUCACCAGCACGUUCUCCACUCCUUGCUCGUCCUCUGAUCUUCCAAGACUUCCAAUACUAUGUUGGAGGAUCCACAAACCAAAUUAAGUCGAGAUAUUAAGUAACUUGUGUCACACAAGUUGUGUGGCAAGAAAUGAAUUUUUUUGUUACCUGAUGCCAUGGCCUGGACCGCAUUGAAUGCCUUGUAUAGAAACAUGAGUGGAUCCUGGACCGAUGGAGAUGCAAUCGUCCCCGGUUCCAAUUCUUGAGUUAGUGAUAUUCACUGAGUGAGACUUCCCGAUGUGAAUCCCAUCGGUGUUAGGGCUAUCCGCAUCAGCAAAUCCCUACUGCAAUCCAACAUAACCGCCACUUCCGUAUUCGAUGUCCCUUGUAUAUCUUCAUAUCUCACAUUUGAUAUUUCAACUCCAGAUUCCUGUAAUAAAAUUUACAAAUUAAUUGACUCAAUAUAUAUAAAUAAUUAGGGGUAAUAAGAUACGGUUAUUUAAUUUAAUUUUUACCUUUUUAGGGCAAGGUUUGUCAAGACAAUAGUGUUGGUUAAUGAUGAUAGGGUUCUUGACCAUCUUCAUUUUAAUAUGUUGGAAAACAAUGUUUCUAACAAAACUCUUGCUAUAUUUUCCCCAUGUCUUGAUCCUUACUCCGUUAUCCGUUGACGUGAAAUCCACGUUACUCACCAGCACGUUCUCCACUCCUUGCUCGUCCUCUGAUCUUCCAAGACUUCCAAUACUAUGUUGGAGGAUCCACAAACCAAAUUAAGUCGAGAUAUUAAGUAACUUGUGUCACACAAGUUGUGUGGCAAGAAAUGAAUUUUUGUGUUACCUGAUGCCAUGGCCUGGACCGCAUUGAAUGCCUUGUAUAGAAACAUGAGUGGAUCCUGGACCGAUGGAGAUGCAAUCGUCCCCGGUUCCAAUUCUUGAGUUAGUGAUAUUCACUGAGUGAGAGUUCCCGAUGUGAAUCCCAUCGGUGUUAGGGCUAUCCGCAUCAGCAAAAACUUUAACGCCGUCAAUCUUAACGUUAUUGCUCUGGUCGAUAACUAUAUGGAACUUCUGGCUAUUGAUCGACGUUAAACCGUAGAUACUGAUGUUAUUCGAAUCAGUAAAUAACAAAGUCUGCAAAAACAGUUCACAAACAAGUAAAGUUAAUAUAUAAACUGCAUGUAUGUAUAUCAGGGAAGUUUAUAGUUACUUGUGGGUCAAGCGAACCUUAGCACCAGUAGGGCAUUUUUUGCCACCACUGUUCUUGCAUUUCCACAAACUAGAGCCUUGUGCGUCAAGUACACCACCGUAGAUUGAAACGUUAGUGACUCCAUUGAACAUGAUCCAUUGUAGUGAGCUUGCGAUAACUCUAAAAUCCUCCGGUGCAAUAAUUGAACCGGCUAUACGAAAAGAUAUUGGAGCAUUCGUACAUUUGUUGCCUUGGAAUACAAGGUUUCUGACCAAGAACCGUCCUUUUGGUACAAUAAUAGUUGUGGGAUUAGGAGAGGCACAUGCGACUUGCCAUGCGGCUAAGAAGGCUUUGGUUGAGUCUUUUAAGCCAUCUGGUUUAGCUCCGUAGGUUAAGACAUUGAGGGAUGUGAUUGGGGUCGGUUUGGCUAAUGAUGAGAUUAGGAUGAAAUCAAGAAAGAUGAGAGUCAGAGGAAGAAGAAGAAGACAUGAUGUUUUGUGAAUCAUUUUUGUGUUUUUUUUUUCAGAGAAGGUUAGUCUAUUGAGGAUGGAUGAUAUUGAGAAGAAGGUAUGUGAGAGGGGAAUUUAUAUGUUAGUUUAGUAACGUAAUGGUUUAAUUUGAGGCAAAAUAGAUUAUGAUUGUAUAUGGAAGUUUAUAUUUUAUUUUAUUAAUAUAUAAUUUCGUCAACUUGUACCCAGAUUCUGCAAUAUGGAUAUUAUUGAUUUAGUUCAAGAAAAUACUAUUCACGAGAUAAAUUUCCAUGUAAAACAGCAUUACCGGUAACCGUAACUGUGCACGAAAUUAUACUAGUCCAAUUAGACAAAGAUUUAUGAAUGAUUUGGGGUUUAUUGAAUAGUUAGUAUAAUUAAUUGGUGAAUAUUUGGUUGAAACUGAUUAGGUUCUAUAGAUUUAGUAGUCUUUCUCUUUUUAGAUUGAUUAAAGAUUGAGUAAAUGAAAAAUAUUUGGUAGAUCUUAUGAAUUAUGAUUGUACGUUUUCCCUUGUAUGUAUUUUUGUUAUUAUUUAUUUUUAAAUAUGAACUAAUGACUAUUAGUGAAUAGUGAUUUAAUAAAAGUUUCAUCAUGUAUACAUAUCUCACAUGCUUGUUCAAAUUCUUUGAUAAAGUAAACCCUAAACUCCCUGCUGAAUAACAGAAAAUCACAAGUCAUUUGAAUUGACAAAGAUAAAUAACAUACAAGUAAGCGGAAUUAAUUGAUGAUUAGUAGAAAACAUGUUAUAAAUUACAAGAUCAGUGGAUUAAUGAUCAGUCAACGUUUUGAAUAGAUUUCGAAACAGGUUGAUUGUUAAUUAGACCAAAGAGGAUUCUCCCAUCGGUAGAGAAUAUAGAAAUGUAGCAAUGCACAUUCACAACAUUUUACAGAAGCCAGAAGGUAAUGAAUAAAUAUAGAGUUGUGAAGUACAGGAAACAUGCAUGAAACCAAGGAUGUCCGUAGCUUUGCUUGCGUUAAAGUCGCAAUUCACUACGUAAGAUUUUGUUUCUUGAUUUCUUUAUGUAUUCAUAUGUGAAAUUUUAUAUAAAAAGUUAGUUCAUCUAUUACAUUUUUGGGUCGAUGACUAGUAUCUAAUCGUCUAUUACAUAACCCCAAAGAAAAAUCAUAGCUAAAACUCAUAAAGAAAACUACUAUCAUUUGAAACCUUUUAUAAUUUUAGAAAGUGCAGUUAACAUUUUGCUUAUGUUAGCAAAGUUUAUCCUUACGUUACUGAAAUAUAAUGAUCUGAGCCAAAACUUUAAUCAUUACUUUAAAAGUUCAUACCAUAAGUUCGAGUACAAAAAUUUUUAAAGAUCAAAAUAAGUAGCAACAUAGAAACCAAAGGAAAAAAAACAACUAGCAAACAAUAAAGCGUCGUUCACUGAUUUAGCUUCAUAAACUAAUCUUUAGUCAAGGAGCAAUCGGGACGACAUCGAUUCGGUGAUCCUUCAAUAUAUCAUGUCAAAAGCAAGUCUCUCUUUAGACAAGGAGUGAACGGGACAACGACAUCAUUAGCUAAUCCAUUUGCAUUGUUGCAAGAAGCCUGAGCCGACCCAUUAACCAUUUGCAAGACGAGAUUCACAUUACCCAUUACAAUAUCGGUACAUGGUUUAUCCUUACUACAAUCCAACAUAACCGCCACUUCCGUAUUCGAUGUCCCUUGUAUAUCUUCAUAUCUCACAUUUGAUAUUUCAACUCCAGAUUCCUGAAAUAAAGUAUACAAAUGAAAUGACUCAAUAUAUAUAAAUAAUUAAAGGUAAUAUAAGAUACGGUUAAUUAUUUUCUAUACCUUUUUAGGGCAAGGUUUGUCAAGACAAUAGUGUUGGUUUAUGAUAAUCGGGUUCUUGACCAUCUUCAUUUUAAUAUGUUGGAAAACAAUGUUUCGUACGAAACUUUUGCUAUCUUUUCCCCAUGUCUUGAUCCUAACUCCGUUAUCCGUUGACAUGAAAUCCACGUUACUCACGAUCACGUUCUCAACUCCUUGCUCGUCCUCUGAUCUCCCAAGACUCCCGAUACUGUUUUGAAGGAUCCACAAACAGGUUAAGAUAUUAAGUAACUUGUAUGGCAAGAAACGAAUAUUUUUGUUACCUGAUGCCAUGGCCUGGACCGCAUUGAAUGCCUUUGUAACAUCCCGAGUUGUGAUAUGUGAAAAAAGGCUUAAGAGAAUUGAUUUGGCUACCUAUGUCACCAAAGUUGACUUACCUUUUCCGGAACACAUCCUGAAAGAACUCCAGAGUUAAGCGUGCUUGAGCUGGAGUAGUGGAAGGAUGGGUGACCUAUCGGGAAGUGAUUCGCGAUAGCGUGCGAGUGAGGCCAAAGCAUGGGAAAAGGUCGGGUGGUGAUUGCAGGGUCAGUAAACAAUGAUUUCGAGCCUUGGAAAAUUAACGGACCGACCGUCAGACGGGAUGGGGCCCACGGGCCGAGAGAGCGUGUGGGUGGCCCAUUAGCCGUGGGCGGGUCGGGGCGUUAUAGCCUUGUAUAGAAACAUGAGUGGAUCCUGGACCGAUGGAGAUGCAAUCGUCCCCGGUUCCAAUUCUUGAGUUAGUGAUAUUCACUGAGUGAGAGUUCUCGAUGUGAAUCCCAUCGGUGUUAGGGCUAUCCGCAUCAGCAGAAACUUUAACGCCGUCAAUCUUAACGUUAUUGCUCUGGGACUUCCCGAUGUGAAUCCCAUCGGUGUUAGGGCUAUCCGCAUCAGCAGAAACUUUAACGCCGUCAAUCUUAACGUUAUUGCUCUGGUCGAUAACUAUAUGGAACUUCUGGCUAUUGAUCGACGUUAAACCGUAGAUACUGAUGUUAUUCGAAUCAGUAAAUAACAAAGUCUGCAAAAACAGUUCACAAACAAGUAAAGUUAAUAUAUAAACUGCAUGUAUAUCAGGGAAGUUUAUAGUUACUUGUGGGUCAAGCGAACCUUAGCACCAGUAGGGCAUUUUUUGCCACCACUGUUCUUGCAUUUCCACAAACUAGAGCCUUGUGCGUCAAGUACACCACCGUAGAUUGAAACGUUAGUGACUCCAUUGAACAUGAUCCAUUGUAGUGAGCUUGCGAUAACUCUAAAAUCCUCCGGUGCAAUAAUUGAACCGGCUAUACGAAAAGAUAUUGGAGCAUUCGUACAUUUGUUGCCUUGGAAUACAAGGUUUCUGACCAAGAACCGUCCUUUUGGUACAAUAAUAGUUGUGGGAUUAGGAGAGGCACAUGCGACUUGCCAUGCGGCUAAGAAGGCUUUGGUUGAGUCUUUUAAGCCAUCUGGUUUAGCUCCGUAGGUUAAGACAUUGAGGGAUGUGAUUGGGGUCGGUUUGGCUAAUGAUGAGAUUAGGAUGAAAUCAAGAAAGAUGAGAGUCAGAGGAAGAAGAAGAAGACAUGAUGUUUUGUGAAUCAUUUUUGUGUUUUUUUUUUCAGAGAAGGUUAGUCUAUUGAGGAUGGAUGAUAUUGAGAAGAAGGUAUGUGAGAGGGGAAUUUAUAUGUUAGUUUAGUAACGUAAUGGUUUAAUUUGAGGCAAAAUAGAUUAUGAUUGUAUAUGGAAGUUUAUAUUUUAUUUUAUUAAUAUAUAAUUUCGUCAACUUGUACCCAGAUUCUGCAAUAUGGAUAUUAUUGAUUUAGUUCAAGAAAAUACUAUUCACGAGAUAAAUUUCCAUGUAAAACAGCAUUACCGGUAACCGUAACUGUGCACGAAAUUAUACUAGUCCAAUUAGACAAAGAUUUAUGAAUGAUUUGGGGUUUAUUGAAUAGUUAGUAUACUUAAUUGGUGAAUAUUUGGUUGAAACUGAUUAGGUUCUAUAGAUUUAGUAGUCUUUCUCUUUUUAGAUUGAUUAAAGAUUGAGUAAAUGAAAAAUAUUUGGUAGAUCUUAUGAAUUAUGAUUGUACGUUUUCCCUUGUAUGUAUUUUUGUUAUUAUUUAUUUUUAAAUAUGAACUAAUGACUAUUAGUGAAUAGUGAUUUAAUAAAAGUUUCAUCAUGUAUACAUAUCUCACAUGCUUGUUCAAAUUCUUUGAUAAAGUAAACCCUAAACUCCCUGCUGAAUAACAGAAAAUCACAAGUCAUUUGAAUUGACAAAGAUAAAUAACAUACAAGUAAGCGGAAUUAAUUGAUGAUUAGUAGAAAACAUGUUAUAAAUUACAAGAUCAGUGGAUUAAUGAUCAGUCAACGUUUUGAAUAGAUUUCGAAACAGGUUGAUUGUUAAUUAGACCAAAGAGGAUUCUCCCAUCGGUAGAGAAUAUAGAAAUGUAGCAAUGCACAUUCACAACAUUUUACAGAAGCCAGAAGGUAAUGAAUAAAUAUAGAGUUGUGAAGUACAGGAAACAUGCAUGAAACCAAGGAUGUCCGUAGCUUUGCUUGCGUUAAAGUCGCAAUUCACUACGUAAGAUUUUGUUUCUUGAUUUCUUUAUGUAUUCAUAUGUGAAAUUUUAUAUAAAAAGUUAGUUCAUCUAUUACAUUUUUGGGUCGAUGACUAGUAUCUAAUCGUCUAUUACAUAACCCCAAAGAAAAAUCAUAGCUAAAACUCAUAAAGAAAACUACUAUCAUUUGAAACCUUUUAUAAUUUUAGAAAGUGCAGUUAACAUUUUGCUUAUGUUAGCAAAGUUUAUCCUUACGUUACUGAAAUAUAAUGAUCUGAGCCAAAACUUUAAUCAUUACUUUAAAAGUUCAUACCAUAAGUUCGAGUACAAAAAUUUUUAAAGAUCAAAAUAAGUAGCAACAUAGAAACCAAAGGAAAAAAAACAACUAGCAAACAAUAAAGCGUCGUUCACUGAUUUAGCUUCAUAAACUAAUCUUUAGUCAAGGAGCAAUCGGGACGACAUCGAUUCGGUGAUCCUUCAAUAUAUCAUGUCAAAAGCAAGUCUCUCUUUAGACAAGGAGUGAACGGGACAACGACAUCAUUAGCUAAUCCAUUUGCAUUGUUGCAAGAAGCCUGAGCCGACCCAUUAACCAUUUGCAAGACGAGAUUCACAUUACCCAUUACAAUAUCGGUACAUGGUUUAUCCUUACUACAAUCCAACAUAACCGCCACUUCCGUAUUCGAUGUCCCUUGUAUAUCUUCAUAUCUCACAUUUGAUAUUUCAACUCCAGAUUCCUGAAAUAAAGUAUACAAAUGAAAUGACUCAAUAUAUAUAAAUAAUUAAAGGUAAUAUAAGAUACGGUUAAUUAUUUUCUAUACCUUUUUAGGGCAAGGUUUGUCAAGACAAUAGUGUUGGUUUAUGAUAAUCGGGUUCUUGACCAUCUUCAUUUUAAUAUGUUGGAAAACAAUGUUUCGUACGAAACUUUUGCUAUCUUUUCCCCAUGUCUUGAUCCUAACUCCGUUAUCCGUUGACAUGAAAUCCACGUUACUCACGAUCACGUUCUCAACUCCUUGCUCGUCCUCUGAUCUCCCAAGACUCCCGAUACUGUUUUGAAGGAUCCACAAACAGGUUAAGAUAUUAAGUAACUUGUAUGGCAAGAAACGAAUAUUUUUGUUACCUGAUGCCAUGGCCUGGACCGCAUUGAAUGCCUUGUAUAGAAACAUGAGUGGAUCCUGGACCGAUGGAGAUGCAAUCGUCCCCGGUUCCAAUUCUUGAGUUAGUGAUAUUCACUGAGUGAGAGUUCUCGAUGUGAAUCCCAUCGGUGUUAGGGCUAUCCGCAUCAGCAGAAACUUUAACGCCGUCAAUCUUAACGUUAUUGCUCUGGUCGAUAACUAUAUGGAACUUCUGGCUAUUGAUCGACGUUAAACCGUAGAUACUGAUGUUAUUCGAAUCAGUAAAUAACAAAGUCUGCAAAAACAGUUCACAAACAAGUAAAGUUAAUAUAUAAACUGCAUGUAUAUCAGGGAAGUUUAUAGUUACUUGUGGGUCAAGCGAACCUUAGCACCAGUAGGGCAUUUUUUGCCACCACUGUUCUUGCAUUUCCACAAACUAGAGCCUUGUGCGUCAAGUACACCACCGUAGAUUGAAACGUUAGUGACUCCAUCGAACAUGAUCCAUUGUAGUGAGCUUGCGAUAACUCUAAAAUCUUCCGGUGCAAUAAUUGAGCCGGCUAUACGAAAAGAUAUUGGAGCAUUCGUACAUUUGUUGCCUUGGAAUACAAGGUUUCCGACCAAGAACCGUCCUUUUGGUACAAUAAUAGUUGUGGGAUUCGGAGAGGCACAUGCGGCUUCCCACGCGGCUAAGAAGGCUUUGGUUGAGUCUUUUGAGCCAUCUGGUUUAGCUCCGUAGGUUAAGACAUUGAGGGAUGUGAUUGGGGUCGGUUUGGCUAAUGAUGAGAUUAGGAUGAAAUCAAGAAAGAUGAGAGUCAGAGGAAGAAGAAGAAGACCUGAUGUUUUGUGAAUCAUUUUUUGUGUUUUUUUCAGAGAAUGUUAGUCUAUUGAGGAUGAAUUGAUAUUGGAGAAGAAGGUGUGUGAGAGGGGAAUUUAUAGGAAUGUUAUGUUAGUAAGGUAAAGGUUUAAUUUGAGGCAAAAUAAAUUAUGAUUGUAUAUGGAAGUUUAUAUUUUAUUUUAUUAAUAUUUAAUUUCGUCAACUUGUACCCAGAUUCUGUAAUAUGAAUAUGAUUGAUUUAGUUUAAGAAAAUACUAAUGAUCACGAUAUAAAUUUCCAUGUAAAACAGCAUUACCGGUAACCGUAACUGUGCACGAAACUAUACUAGUCAAAUUUGACAAAGAUUUAUGGGCAUUAAUGAUUUGGGGUUUAUUGAAUAUAGUUAGUAUAAUUAAGGGUACUAUAGAUUUGGUAUCUCUUUCUCUUUUUAGAUUGAUUAAAGGUUGAAUAAAUGAAGAAUAUUUGGUGUAUCUUAUAUUUUUUUUUAGCAAUGGUGUAUCUUAUAUAUGAUUGUACUUUAUACCUUGUAUGUAUUUUUGUUAUUAUUUAUUAUAUAAAGUUGACUAUUAGUGAAUGGUGAGUUAAUAAAGUUUCAUUAUGUAUACAUAUCUCACAUGCAUGUUCAAAUUCUUUGAUUUUCGGAUCACUAAAUUAAAUCCUGGACUCCCUGGUGAGUGGUGAAUAACAGAAAAUCAUUAGUCAUUUGAAUUCAAUUCGAAAUAUAACUAACUUAAAAUAUUAGUAAGCAGAACUAAAGAUAAUUAGUAGAAACCAUGUUAUAAAUUGCAAGAUCAGUAGAUUAAUGAUCAGUCAACGUUUUGGAUAGAUUUCAAAACGGGUUGUUUGUUAAUUAGACCAAAGAGGAUUCACCAAUCGAUAAAGAAUAUAAAAAUGUGACAAUGCACCUUCAAAACAUUUUACAAUAGGUAAUGAAUAAAUAUAGAGUCGUGAAAUACAGGAAACAUGCAUUAAACCAGGGAUGUCCUUAGCAUUGCUUGCGUUAAAUUCACCCUUCAUAACGUAAGAUUUAGUUUCUUGAUUUCUUUAUACAAGUUGUAUCGAUCGUUUUUCUUUAAAAAAUAACAAAGGCCUAAUUAUUUUUUUGUAUUUUUGGUCAGUCAGCAAGAUCAAAAUGUUUUUAAUUUAUUUGAGACCUAAAAUAAAUUUUGUGAACAAAAUAAUCUAUAAAUUUUUAUUUUGUAAAGAGUGGAAUGAUAGUGACUUAAAAACUGUUAAACAUCUUCUUUACAUUGAAGAAUAAAAUGAGGUACCAAAAUAAUGCAAGUGACAACCGAAACAAUUAGCAGACCUUUGUUAUACAAACAGAAGAAAAUUGCACGAAAUUGAUGAGAUCAUGAGACUUGUCUUUUUUUGAAACACUUUUUUUUUAAACACUGAUGAGACUUGUCUUUUAAUAUAUUUUCUCCAAGAACAAAUCACAACUGUAAAAGCCAUAUAAUCAAGAAAGUUAAAAAAAAAUCCCAAAUAGGUAAGUAAAAAUAAUAUUAAAUCUAACAAAUAACAUAACUUACGCAACACAUAUGAAAUCAUCAAUGCUUGCUAUGAACCAUAUCCCUACAAAGCAAGGCCAGGCUCUCGGCCUAGUGGACCGUCAACAGCCACAGGCUCAUGCAUCUCAAUUUACAAUACUUUUUAAUUUUAUGUAAGAAUAAUUAAAAAAGAGAGACAUAUAUUCAUUUCUGUCAUAGGCAGUUUGGCUGAAACAAUCCAGCUUCUAUCCCUCCGGCAUGAACACAAGCCGACGCAGCCGGUUUAUUACGGUACUUUAAUUUCACAUCCUUAAGUCGAAUUCCGGUACACGGUUUCUUAGGACUACAAUUAAGUCUCACUCCAACUUCAGUUGCCGAUGUUCCAUGUAUAUCAACGAACAACACAUCGCUGAUUUUGAUACCCGAAACCUGAUGUUUUUUUUUAAAAUAAAAUUAUUAUAUGAAUAAACUUCACUAGUAAGUACCAUUAUGUAUCUGUAUUACUUAAUCAAAUUAGGUAUAGUACCUGGCGAGGGCAAUUUUCGCUACGAGGACAGUAGUUUUGGUCAAUAAUUAUGGGGUUGUCUACGUUGUUCAUUACACAAUGUUGGAAGCGGAUGUUCCUAGCGAAUCCACUACUGGGCCUGGCCCAUGAUUUGAUCCUCGCUCCGUUUUGCGUCCCCGUAAACGUCACCGUUUUGACAGUCACGUUCUGUACACCUGACUCCACUGCAUCCUUUCCCAGGCUCCCAAUGCUAUGCAAUAUCCCAUCCAAAAUAUUGUCAAAAUUUUAAUUUUUCUUUUAUCAGAUCUACUGAUAUAUAAAAGCAUAUCAAUAGAAAUAUAAUUAUUAAUAGUAUUUUAUAUUCAUUUAUUCGAAAUAUUAUGUUUAUACGUGAUACUGACAUGAGUUAUAAAUUUUCACCAUAUGCCAGUUUUGUAAUUCAUUGAGAAGAAUCCAUAAUAAAUGUACAUAUACCUUAUGCCGUGACCGGGACCACAUGCUACAUUUUCGAUCCAUAGACCGUUGGUUCCGGGACCGAUGGAGACACAAUCGUCGCCGGUGGAAAUUUUGGUACUGAAGAUAGAGACGGUGGAGGAAGACUGAACGUGGAUACCGUCUGUGUUGGGGCUGUUUCCUGCGGCUAAUACUUUGACUCCUUGAAGCUUUACGUUGUGACAACCGUUGAUGACGACGUGGAACAUCUGGCUGUUGAGUGACGUCAGCCCGUAGACCACAAUGUUUCUUGAGCUCUGAAACCCUAUGGUCUGAUUCUCAUGAUAAACACCGUCUCAUUUAUUAAAUUACAUUAAAGAUGAUAUUGAUCUAUCUAUGCAUGGUGUUAUGGUUCCUCACUUGGUCCAUGUGAAUUAGGAAUGGUUGAAAUGUUUUUAAUAAAUCGUCAAAACUUCAUAAUUCAGAAAAGUGUGUCAUUAGUUAUAUAAUUCUUAUUUUGAAAUGAAUUUAUCGAAUGUUUAAUUAACUGAAUUGAAGGUUAAUUGGUCAAAUCUCUAGCACGUUACGUACCGUGGCUCCUCUAGGACAAUUCUUGCCGGAUGUUUUACAACCCCAUAGAGUAUGAAUAUUGUUGUUGUAUUGAUUAUUGAGUUUGGUUACACUUUGAAUAUAUACAGCAGAGACUCAUAGAACGUGCCUAACGUGCACCUAACGCGUUCCUAUAUCUCAGGGAUUACACAAGACUCAGUCUAGAUAUCUUAACAACCUAACAUGCCCCCUCAAGAUGGACGGAGGGUUGCGAGGCCAAUCUUGUCUGAAAUUGAACGAAACUUGGCGCGGGAUAGAGGUUUUGUUAGAGCAUCAGCAAGCUGAUCUGCGGAAGCAACAUGUGAAACGCGAAGAUAACCUGAUUGUACUAGAGCCCGGAUGAAGUGAAAGUCAACGGCAACAUGCUUCAUUCUGGAGUGAAAGACAGGGUUUGCACAGAGGAACGUUGCUCCUACAUUGUCACAAUAUAUAACAGGAGCUGUUGAUGGAGGAAGUCCGAUUUCACCAAGGAGAGUGACGAUCCAUUGGACUUCAGAUGCUGUAUCAGAAACUGAUUUGUAUUCAGCUUCAGUAGAAGAACGAGCCACUGUCUUUUGCUUCUUAGAGGACCAAGCAACUAGAUGUUUGCCAACGUAUACAAGAUAAGCUCCUGUAGAAGUGUAGUCAUCUUUGUCACCGGCCCAAUCUGCGUCGGAGAAGGCAUGAACUGUUGGUGGAGUGAUUGCAGAGAAGUGAAGACCAAGAUAUUUUGUGCCACUUAGAUAUCGGAGAACUCGUUUGGCAGCCGUCCAGUGAUCUGUACGAGGCUGAUGCAUAUACUGCGAGAGUUUGUUUACAGCAAAAGCGAUGUCAGGCCUUGUGAAUUGGAGAUAUUGUAAGCUCCCAAUAACAGAGCGGUAUUCACUCGGAUCAGGGAGAAGAUCGCCAGAGAGAACUGUUAGGGAGGGCUGCUCAGCCAUGGGUGUGGCAACAGGCUUCGUCGUGAUCAUGUUCGUACGAUAGAGAAGAUCAUUGAUGUACUUUGUCUGUGUAAGCGUAAGACCGGCCUGAGUUCUGGUUACUUCAAUGCCCAAGAAAUAGCCCAACUCUCCCAUGUCUUUGAUAGAAAAUCGACGAGCUAAGAGAUCAAUAAAUGCCUGAAUGUGAGCAGGAGAGUUACCCGUAACGACUAUAUCAUCUACAUAAAUUAGAACAAACACUGCAAUCCCAGACUUGUGAAGCACAAACAGAGAGGUGUCUGAAACAGAGUUGUAGAAUCCCAGCUCAAGAAGAAAGUCACGAAGAGCAUUAUACCAUGCGCGCGGAGCCUGCUUGAGUCCAUAAAUAGCUUUGUUAAGUUUGCAUACAUAAUCAGGUUUGUCAGUAUCCACAAAGCCUGGUGGCUGCUCCAUGUACACAUCUUCCUGCAAGUCACCCUGAAGAAAAGCAUUAUUAACGUCAAGUUGACGUAAGACCCAACCUCGUGCCACUGCUUGACCAAGAAUCAGACGUAUUGUUGGCUGCUUAACCACUGGACUAAAUGUCUCAAAAUAGUCUAUCCCUGGUCGUUGGUGAAACCCUUUGGCAACUAAUCUGGACUUUUUGCGCUCAGGUUUGCCGUAUUGAUUUCGUUUGAUGCGAUAUACCCAUCUACAACCAACUACAUUGUAGCUAGGAUCACGAGGUACCAGAUUCCAGCUGUUAUUUUCAGCUUGAGAGUUCAUCUCUCCACACAUUGAGCCGCGCCAUUGAGCAUCUUUAAGUGCCUGAAUAUGUGUGCGCGGUUCAAUCUCAUCAUCUAAAGCUGCAACAGUAUGGAGAGCAAAGCGUGGAUUUGGUUUGAUGAUAUGAUUCUUCGAUCGUGUUACCAUUUGGUGUGUGUUGGCGGGUGGAGCAUCAGGGACCGAUGUAUUUGGUGGUGGUGCAGUGAUGAGAGGUUGCUGUGAUUGUGCAGGCGAUGUUGUGUCCUGAGCCAAAGCAGAUGAGGUGUCAGGCGCAGGAGGCUGGACAGUAGCCAUAGGAGUGAGUGAUUGGGGAAGUGGAGAAACCAGAGGACUGAGGUCUGGUUCGUUUGUUGAAGUAGGAAGUGGAGUAGCUUUGUGUUGGAAUGGAAAUGAAGAUUCAAAGAAUUCAACAUGACGGGAAGCAUAUAACCGAGAGGAUGAUUUAUCAAAACAGAGAUAAGCACUUUGAGAUAGAGAGUAACCGACAAAGACGCAAGGAGUAGAGCGAGUGUCUAGUUUGUGGGAAGAAUAUGGCCUUAGCCAAGGAUAGCAUAGGCAGCCAAAAACCCGAAGUUUUGAGUAGUUGGCUUUUUCUGCGAAAAGCUUUUCAUAUGGAAUGGAGAAGUUGAGUGAUGAGCUUGGAAGGCGAUUUAUAAGAUAGACAGCAGCAGCGAAAGCAAACGACCAGUACUCUGAAGGCAUAUGAGCAUGAGAUAAGAGCGCUAAGCCCGUUUCGACAAUAUGUCUAUGUUUUCGCUCAGAGAUACCAUUGUGUUCAGGAGUAUGUGGAGGUGAAGUUCUGUGUGAAAUGCCAUGUUGUGAAAGAAAGGAUCUCAUAGCGAGGAACUCACCGCCAUUGUCUGAAUAGAAGGUGACAAUGCGUGUUUGAAACUUGUUUUCAACAAGCUCUUUAAAGCGAAUAAACACAUCAAGAACCUGAGAUUUUCGUUUGAGAGGAAAGAGCCAAGUGUAUCGUGUAAAAUGAUCAACAAUAACAAGAUAGUACUUGUAGCCAUCGAAGGAAAACAGUGGGGAUGUCCAAACAUCUGAAUAUAGAAUUUCAAGAGGACGAGAUGAAGAGAUAGUGUUUGUACCAAAAGAGUGUUUGUGACUUUUAUUCAUAGAACACGAGUUGCACAACAGAGGAGGCAUAAUUUUAUGUGAAAAAGGCAAGGAACAUUGAGACAAAACACGUUUCAAAAGAUCAAGAGCAGGAUGGCCAAGGCGUGAAUGCCAAGCAGUCAUUGAGGUUUUUAUUGCAGAAAGAGCUUGAAUUUGGAUCGAAGAUGGAGCAGAAUCCAACCACUCAUACAUCCCGUUGCUAGUUUGUCCUGUUUUGAGCAGCGCCCCCGUGACUAGAUCCCUCACCUGAUAAGACCAAGGAUCAAAAGUAAUGGAAACAUUAUUAUCAGCACAAGUUUGUCUCACUGACAUGAGAUUCUUCUCAAUAUUUGGAGCAUAAAGGACAUUAUUCAAGUGAAUAGAUCGAGAUGGCAAGGAGAGAAUGGUAGAACCAGUGUGAGUAAUCGCGUGGCCUGAUCCAUCGCCGAGUGUCACAGCUUCAUUGCCUUGGUAAGGAGAGUGAAGUGCUAAGUUGUUGAGAUCGGAGGUGAGAUGGUGAGAAGCUCCACUGUCAAGAAGCCAUGAAGGUGUAUCUGAUGAAGGAUACAUAGAAGCAACAUGAGCUCUGGGUUGCCACAGUUGAGCUGCGUGUUGUUGAGAACCAUCAGCUGAAAUGAGACGAAACUGAGAACAUCGCUGGGCGCUAUGCCCCUGAACACCACAAGCUUGACACUUUCCCAAGUAUGGUUUGGGUCCACGUGGUGCGUAUGUGCCAAAGGUUUGUUGUUGGGGACGGUUAUUAUAUGAGUGAUGUUGCUGGCGAUUGUCAAAGUGAGGUGAUGACGAAGGACGAAAUGACGUCUUUGGUUUGUGUGUAACUGCGUUUGCAGAGACGGGGAAGAUAGGAGCAGGUUGUACACAAAGAAGAGCUGCUUCCCUGUUGACCAGUUUGUCACGUAUCUCUUCAAAGGUUGGAGGAACAUCUCGGCCAUUGAUCUGUUCAGCUACACCACGGUAAUCAUCAUCUAGUCCAUCGAGAAUGUACUCGAUGAUAUCCUCAUGAUCAAGUGGCUUGCCUAAUAAGGCUAGUUGAUCAGCCUUUGUUUUGAUUGACUGCAGGAACUCAUCAAUAGAGCGGUUUCCUUUGGUGCCCUUCUUCAGCUGAUCUCUGAUUUGUUUCAUGUGACCUCUGGAAGGACGACCAAACGUUGAUUGCAGAGUUGUCCACGCCUCAAGUGUUGUUGUUGCCGUGGAAACAAGAGGUUGCAGGGCCACAGAGAUUGACCCAAGUAUUGCCGCAAAGAGCAAUUUGUCUUGUCUUUGCCAAGCUGAAUACGCCGGAUUUGGCAUAGUCAGAUCAUUGUUUUGGACCGUCGGUGAUGGAGGAGCAGUAUCGUUGGUGAUGAAUUGUUUGAGGUUGAAGCCAUCGAGAAAUAGAGAAACUUGUAAGCUCCACGUUAUGUAGUUUGAGGCUGUGAGUCUAGUCACAUUACUCAUGUUCACCGAGAGUAUAGGAUUUUGAGGAUCAUUAGGGUUAAUGAUAGUUGCAGAGCCAGGUGUGGCUGUUGAUACAGGAGAUUGAGACGCCAUUGUUGCGUAAAAGAAAAAGAAAAAUAGAGUUUUAGGUUUGAUCAGAUCGUUGCUCUGAUACCAUAUGAAUAUUGUUGUUGUAUUGAUUAUUGAGUUUGGUUACACUUUGAAUAUAUACAGCAGAGACUCAUAGAACGUGCCUAACGUGCACCUAACGUGUUCCUAUAUCUCAGGGAUUACACAAGACUCAGUCUAGAUAUCUUAACAACCUAACAUAGAGAAGUUCCUUGAGCGUCAAGAACUCCGCCGUAGCCGUAGACGGUGACUCCGUCAAGAUGCUGGAAAAGAAUCCAGUAAUCUUCAUUACCGAUAACUCUAUAAUCAGCCGGAGCCACCAAUGUACCGUCGAUACGGAACGUGAUGGGCUUGGGCUUGCACUUGGAACCGUCGAAAUUAAGGCUCCUUAACAAGAACCGGCCUUUAGGAACCACAAUGGUCACGGGACGAGACGAGGCACAAGCCGUUUCCCAAACCGCCAUAAACUCUUUGGUUGCGUCUGUUUUUCCGUCCGGUUUUGCUCCAAAGGACAAGACGUUGUAGGAAUGAGCAAUGCAAGAGGAGAUGGAGAAGAAGAAGACGAAGAGGAAAAGAAGUGAAGCCAUUGUAUGUCGCUAACUUACACUUGUUCAGAGAUAAUUAAAGAGGGAGAGAGAGUGGAGUAGUGCUGUAGUGGUGGUGGUGGUGGUGUUGGAAGCUUUAACGGUUAUGGAAUGUAUUUAUAGUGCUUGUCUUGUAUAUGAAGAGUGUUUUGUUUUUUUCUAUAUUGGUUUUGGCAUGUAUAAAAAAUUAGGUGGAAUUUGUUUUGCAUGAUUGUUAUCAAUACUAUUAAAUUAGAAACAUGACCAAUUGAUAAUAGUUGAGUCCAACUAUUUAUUUAAACAGUCACUUAUUAUUUUCUUUAUGUAACUGUAUUUAAUUAUAUUUAAACACUAACCACAUAUGAUAAUAUCGUAACCUCUCCUUAAUUCCUAUAUUUUCGGAUCCAUAGUUCUCAGUUAUACUAACUAAAAUCCACGGUUAUGAAAAUAAAUGACAGUAUAUGUCCGACUAAAUAUAAACGUGAUCUCUCAUUUGUAUUGUUUUGUGAUCAAUGUUUACAAUAAGAAACACAUUGAUCUUUGCGUGAAGUUAGCUCUUGGUAUGGUCAGAGAAAGGUGAAGAUAGACGGAUGGAUUCAUGUCGUAUUAUGGGUUUAUGGUUCUCGCUGGUGGUGUAAUGGGUAAAUCAAACGGAAAAAAAUCAGAAGCGACUGAAUUAUUGGAGAAGACAACCUCAAGCUUCAAGAGUUUUGUUUAUGUGGAGAAUAAAAUAGUAUACUAUAUAUAUAAAAUAUUUUUCACUUUUAUUCUCACCCUUAAUAUUACUAAAUAAAAUAAAUACUAUUUUCACCAACAAUUACAGUAUAAGUUUAGAUUAUAAUUAACUUUGAUAUAUUUCAAAAAAAUCAUUAUCACACUACAACAACAUAACUUACAUAUCAGCUCAAGAAGUUAGAAUUUAUUGGACUAGACGUUAAUUUGUUCUAAUUCUGAAAGUUUUACACAUACACUAAAUCUAUCAAUUAACAAAACACAUAAUGUUAAAAUGGAGUUUAACGGGUUUAAGUGGAUUUUUAAUAGAACCUAUAUUUUGACGGGUAUUUUUUGUUUUAUUUUUUUUGUGAAAUUUAGUUUUAUAUUUGUAUUUUUUGUUAUUAUUUUGUGUUUGAUAUUAAUUUAAUUGAUAGAAUAGAUACAUAGAUUUGCUAAAAUAAAUUAAAUUUUAUAUUUGUGUAUAAAUUCAAAAUUGAAUUAUUUUUACCAAAUUUAUGUAUAUAUUCUAUCAAAUUAAAUUAAUAUUAGCACAAAUUUUAUUACAAAAAAAUUAUAAAAACUAAAAUUUUUUAAACAAAAAAUAUACCCGCCCUUUCAAAGGGCGGGUCAAAAUCUAGUUAUUCAUUUAAAACGCAUCACAUGUAAGUUGAAUACUAAGCUCAUAAAAUAUUUUUAAGAAAGUUUUGCUAUAGGUGUGAGAAAAAUUAGAGCAAUGCUGAGCUAAAACUGACAAAAAAACAAAUAUCAUAAUUGAAUAGCACUUUGGCAAAACAUUUAAUUUUAGCUUCGGAUUUUACAGAUUUCAAGGAAUGAUUCGAGUUUAGUCCUGAAUUUAUAAAAAUAAAAAUUGUUGUUAACAUGAUAAACUUUUAUAUAAAUCUUCUUAGUUCAUUUGUUUGCAAUUGUAAGAGAUUAGAUUAAAAAAACUCAUCUUUUUAUUUAUUCUGAAAAAAACUAUGUAUGCCGCUUUUGUCAAAGAACUACGUAAAGGACAAAACGUAUUCCUCAAUUUUCUUUACACCAAAAUAGGAUGUGAAUGCAAAAGCAGGAGAAGUAGAAUAAAAUGUUGAAAAGUGAAACUGCAAUGGUCAAUAUAUUUUCAUUGGAGAGAUACAUGAAACAAUGUACGUGGAAUUGCGGGGAGUUAGUUAAUUUAUGAAAAGAACACGCAAAGUCUAUGCACUUUUGGCUACACCUCCAACGUGAUCAAUGCCGCAAAAUUAAUCUACUUUUGUUUACUUUAUCAAAUCUAACUUUCAAAAAGUUGUAUUAGCGCAGAUCACGUAGUGUGGAUAGAAUCAAUAUAUCACAAAUUCAUUUUAGACCUUUGGGAAAAUGGUAUUUUUCGUGAAAUGGUUUAUGCUUAGUGUUUGUCUAAUUACGCCCAAUUAUCUAAAGUUCCCGUACUUAAUAUUGUCUGCACAAUGUGAUUAUUCUAUUAAGACUUUAAAAGUAUAUCGUUGUAAGUAUUUUUGUGAUUAUUCUAUUAAGACUUUAAGAGUAUAUCGUUGUAAGUAUUUUUUUGUCAAAAAUUCGUUUGUAAAACUUUAGUAAAAAAAGUAUUUUGUGUAAUCUGACCCGUCAUAGUCCGUGGAGGAAAGGAAGAGUUGAAUUCCAUGUGAUAGAAGAAUUCGUUUAUUAUAUGUUUGUCUAUCUAACCAAACAAGAAGUUUUUGGAUUCAGUACUGCUGACUAGCCUGACUCCGAAGUCCGAAGUCCAAAGUCCAAACAAUGAGUUUAUUAUAUUUUUCAUAUUAAUUGUCGUUUUAGUUUUUAAAUUUUAUUUUAUUAUAAGUGUUCUUUUACAUUUUUAUGGUAAAUAUUAAAUAUAUAUUUUUUCAGUUUUUACUUUUACUCUUAGCUCAAUAAUCAAUAAAAUUAAACACAAUCAUGUAUUAAAUAGAGGUAAGAGAACACAUUUAAUUACUUUUUUUAAUUCAUGUACAAAAAUCUUAAAUGAUAUUUAUAAUAAAACGGAUGGAGUAUAUGUUUUGUUAAUAAGGGAAGACUAGGUGACACAUUGAAAAAAGAGAAACCAUUUUCCAUGUAUUUGAUUUUCUCUUUGUUGUAGGGAUCUGAGAUCAUAAUUUAUGUUUUUUUUUCCUUUCCUAUUUAAAGAAAAGGAUUAAUAAAUGAAUACUAUUUUUUUUGAACAACUAAUAACUGAAUAAUUAAUCCAUCAAAAACAACGGCUAUGGUUCUCUUGUUUAUACUUUUACUGUUACGUCAAGGUAGCAGCCAAGUGAGUUAAGCCUCUUGCGCAUUGAUCUUUGACAAUAUUGUGGAUUCAAAUUUGUGACUUAUUAAGACAAAAGUUUAAUGGUUGAAAAAACGAGGAAACUAACAUUAAGUGGACAUGAUUCACGUUGGCUAUGCUGCCUGGUGCCUAUCAGCCUAUGCAAUAUACACAAGAUCAACGCAUGUGGCUAUGUAUUUUAGUAAGCGAUUGGCUUUAAGGGGCAUCUCCAUCUCUACUCCAUUUAUUCCUAUAAAAUAGAGUAAAAGUGAAUAUGGAGUAAAAAAUUUUACAACCCAACUUCAUAUCUAUUCUAUAAUGAAAUUUACUACAUAAAUAGAAUAAUCUAUUUUUUAUUUGUUCAUCAGAGUAGUGUUAAAACAAUUUUAUUCAAUUUUUAUUUUUAUUCUAUUUUAAAAGAAAAAAAAUAGAGUUUUACAUUGGAAAUACUCUAGUGACAAAUUUUUUUUUGUCAAAAAUAAACUGGGUAAAUUACUAGUCAAAGUUCAUUAAUGAAAAUAUGCUGCUUACCGUGUACCUAUGUCACAUAUAUAUUGCAAAUGAACAAAAAAAAGUUUGUGCUAAGGUAAAAAAAU